This 98483-nucleotide long non-coding RNA is filed under the name Triticum aestivum (bread wheat). Its description in RNAcentral is "long non-coding RNA (TAES_LNC019974)". The stretch from base 877 to 1012 matches the Rfam family "MIR1120/MIR1122 microRNA precursor family". Lineage: Eukaryota; Viridiplantae; Streptophyta; Magnoliopsida; Poales; Poaceae. The record is from RNAcentral.
CACCUGUUUCUUUCGUUCUUACUACUUCCAGUGGGUAUUUUUCAGUUUAUUUUGUAAUUGUGCCGCCAUGUGUUAGCUGUAAAUACCGAUCUGUGAUUUUGAUUCUGAUGAUUUGUUACCUGUACUUCUAUCAUGGUUCAGAUUAGAACCCACCCUUAUUGUUUUGUCGAGAUGUGGGAAUCAAAGUAUGUUUUCCUUCUUCCUUCAGUUUCUGUGUGGAAAUCCUUUUCACUGUGGAUGACAAUUCUUAUCGCUUUGUCGAAAAACAAUUCUUACCGCUUUCAGUUGUACACAUCACCAUGCUGGCACUCUUGACAAGGAGAAGAACACUAUUGAAGGGUUGUUGCAUUUGUACCAUAAUUUCUUUUAACCAAUUCAUGCAUCUCCAUUAUGCAUGCUCAUACAGUGAUGCUCCUUCCAUUCCACAAUGUAGUGUGUAUAGAUUUUUUGAGAAGUCAAAAUUUGCAAACCUUGACCAAGUUUAUAGAGAAAAUUAUUUAUAUCUACACUACCAAAUAUAUAAAAAUAUGAAACUACGUCUUAUGAUAAAUCUAAUGAUAUAUGCUUGGUAUUCUAGAUGUAAAUGUUUUUCUCUAUAAACUUGAUCAAAAUUUGUGAGGUUUGAAUUUUUGAAAAAUUUACAUGCACCGAGGGAGUACAAGUUAUCUCAUACAUAAUGUGUCGAUCGAUUUAAUAAUUGGAGGAGCGUUAUGCAUGACUAUUGGAUUUAGUUCAGAUCCUUUAGUGCCUAUGCAUUUUAGCUUCAGAAGAGGAAAAUACCUAUCAUGUUGGCACACCUGAAACGGAAUCGAAUAUGUUUGGUGGAGUUAAAUGAACGUGUCUGCAGUGGUCAAUCAGUCAGUGGACAUGCAUAAAUAUAUACUCCCUCCGUCAGGAAAUACUUGUCAUCAAAAUGAAUAAAAAUGGAUGUAUCUAGAUGUAUUUUAGUUUUAGAUACAUCCCUUUUUUGUCCAUUUUGAUGACGAGUAUUUUCGGAUGGAGGGAGUAGUGAGUACAUACUACCUCACUUCAGUCUUCUGGUUAACAUAUUACAUAUGAGACCUGCACGAUGCUGAGAGUGUUGAAAAACUUGAUACAUGUCUCUGGAUUUAUGUCAAAACCUUCGCAUCUGUUCCAGAAUUGCAUGAUUCUACCUGUAUUUUUGUCUUCUCUCUCACAGCUGAAAGCUGCAAAUGAUUGGCCCACGACUCCAGGUUCAGAGGAAUCCUUUGAUCCCGUGUUAAUUUGUUUUGUUUUUCAUUUCAAGAAAGUAGGGAUUGACUGUUUAGAUUAGAAGACCUUACUGUUAAUCGCUAGAAAGUACUCCCUUUGUUCACAAAUAUAAGAUGCUUUGGAUAUUUCAAUAUGAAACAUAUGGACCGAAAUGAGUGAACAAACACAUUGAAAUGUGUCUAUAUACGUUUGAAUCAGAAAACAAAGUUAAACAUCUUAUACUAUGUGUGAACAGUAGAGGGAGUAGCAAUUUUUAUGAUCUAACUUGUGCUUUAUGAUUCCAUGUGUUCAUCUCUUAGUACAAUAGCUCUGAUAUAUGUUACCGUGGCAGGUUCUGAAAUGUCAGUUAAAUAUUUACUGGAAGUCCAAGAAACUAGCUUCCGAAAAUCUUGUGCCAUAGAUAGAACAUAGUUAAAUUCACAGCUGCAGUCCUCGUAUACAGUUCAGAGGAGUGAAUAGCACACUACUAUCACUUAUUGUUUAGCGUUCCAAAUAAACCAAAUAACCGAGUGGUUUACAUUUUAUCAGGUUUAUGACAGUUGGGGUCCGCAUAUAAGAUAAACCAUUUAUUUCAUCAUUAACUGAGAUGUGCGGCCCACAUGUCAGUGUCCCUUCCUCAUAUUCUAAUAAAAAAUCAUCAAUCCCCCUGUCUUUAUAAAUUUAAAAAUAUGUCCUUAUCUUUUAUAGAAUAAACACAAACAUUUUGUAAAAGCAAUCAGGUUCCUGCAAACAUUUUUAAAAAGUAUAAUCAGGUCCUUGCAAAAAAUAAGCAAUCAGGUCCCAGCAAUAUUAUUAAAAAAUAAUUGGGUCCCUGUAAUUAUUUUUAAAAGGGAACCAGAUGCCUGCCCCUUGCCGCCGCAAUGCCUUACCGUCAAAACGGCCUCUGCUGCUCCGCCGGCCGAGACGAGGCCCAGGGAGCCGCCGCCAUGGCGCAACCACCAGACAGUUUUCGUGUCUGCUGGCCGAGACGAGGCUAGGGGAGUCGCCGCCAUGGCGCAAUUGCCAGACAUUUUUCGAGUCUUUCGGCCGAGACGAGUUUCAGGGAGUCGCCGCCGCGCAACUACUAGAUAGUUUUAGCGUCUGUCAGCCUUCAGGGAGCCACGCAAUGGUGCUGUAAAGCUUAUGUUUUGGGGAACUGCUCGACACCCUAAACCGGGUGUGGCUAUCUCAUUAUAUAGUAGUAUCGAGAGGUACAGUACAAUGUUACAACAGGUAUACAGAGGCUACGUAUAUAUACAGUCUAACAGGUGCAACUGCCAGACAGUUUUGUGUCCGCCGGCCAAUAUGAAGCUCAAGGAGUAGGUCAAAGCGGUGCGAGAUCGGCGAGUCCUACACCUUCAAGGCCAGGAUGUGGCGUGCGCGGCCCGGCCGUCGACCCUGCUGGCUUCCGACGGUGGAGGGUCGUCGCCGGUCGUCGCCGGUUCGGGAGGGGAGGGGAAGGUCGUCGCAGGCUAGGAUCGCGGCUCGUGAGGGGCUAGGUGGGUGUCGUGCUCGAGAGAGAUCAGGGCGGUAAAGGGAGAGAAGAAAGAGAAGAGGAAGGAAGAGAUAUCGUACAUGUGGCCUCAUAUGUAAGUUAACGACCAAACAAAUGGUUUGUAGAAGCAUGUGCGACCUGUCAUAAACCGGAUCAAUUUUAAACCACAUGAUCACUUGAGUUUUCUAAAACAGCAAACCACCAAUCAGAUAGGUGACAAACAAAAAUAUAGUAGAUUUUUGAAAUCCUAACCCAAAACAUGAUAGUUUUAUGCUAUUCACUAAAGGGGGUACAUGUAAAAUAAGUAACACCCCCAACCCUGAAAAGUGUGCCAAAAAGCUGAAAUGUGUGUGUACAUAAGUAGUUAUUUGCUUUUAACCAUGCUUUGAAAAUCUAAAAUAGUUCCCAACAAAUGGUUGUGGAUUAUGUGUGGCCGUUAAGUUUCAUGCAUAAUUUGAUAUUUAUGACAUGUGACAAACAUCACAAGCUGGGGCAUAUAAAUUAAAGAUGCUUUUCUAGCCUCUAUGGACUUAGUUCAAACCAACUCAUCUUAUUUGUAUCUCUCUCUAGAAAAACACAUCCUACUCAUAGAACUUGGGCAGAUACUCUCUCUGUAAAGAAAUAUAAGAAUUAGAAAAGAAGUAUAAGACCUUUUAGAUCACUACAUAUGUUAGAAAUAAUUGGGCUUGACCCAUUAGCAAUUUCUGAAAUCUCAAAUCAGCCCAUGAGAAAAAUGGCAAGUGGUGGUGCUAAAGUUUAGUUCAUGAUAGGGGCGAGGGUCCCGAUCUUUCGAUGAGAUGAUAACUAUCGAUUUGGUGGAGACAACUUUGACGAUCUGACUACAAACAUGCACGAGUUGCGCCUUAGCAAUCGCUAAACCAACUCCGAGAGGUUAUUGACCACGCCGGAGCACGAUCAACCUGACCACGAAGGUCUAUUCCUGCAAGCAAUCGAAGAACGAGCAAGAAAUAUGAUAAAGCAAUAUGAAUAUUGCGAAUAUAUAUGAAGUAUUGAUAAUGGUGGGGAUCCGUAAGUGGUCUUGGUCUGGUCGUUGGACACAAACAAAGUACACGAAGUUGCAAUGGCUAACUUUUAACUAAACAAAUUCCAAGGAAAAAGCUACUAGAUGGAUCUACUUAUAUAGGAGCAAGGGAUGGCGGCCAAGGAGGUGGAAGGACGUCCCAAGGCAGCCUAAAACUAACCCUAGGUCGUACAAGGCUCAUGGGCCCAAGUGAAGGUGAUGCAACAUCUUUGGCAUUGUCACAGCCCUAGAAUUGCUAGUAGUUAGUUGCAUCUGUGAGCAUCCAUGCAUCAUGUUAGUUUCAAAUAAAUUUGAAAUGGGGAUGACAGAAACCCCCAGCACCUCCCCUGAAACUAACUAGGGCUUACUAAAAUUAGUUUCAAUAAACCCAAAAUGCCUUCACAAAAUGUUCAUCAUUUCUGGUUUGGGCUAAAACCCCUGGCAAAAAUGGUGCACACUUUUUAGGACAUUCUGGAGUUUUUUUGAAUUAAAUCCUAAGUAUUUGAAUUUGGACAUUUAAAUUCUAUAAAAUAUUUUAAAUGUCCAAAUAAUCUUGAAAGCAUUUGAGGGCUGUUGGAAAUAUUUUCAAAAGUGCCCACAAUUAUUUUCAGGACUUUACAAAGUGAGUUAGUAUUUUUACUAAUUCAAAACAGAUCAAAUAAAUAGAAAAGAGAACAAAAUAAAAAAAAANNNNNNNNNNNNNNNNNNNNNNNNNNNNNNNNNNNNNNNNNNNNNNNNNNNNNNNNNNNNNNNNNNNNNNNNNNNNNNNNNNNNNNNNNNNNNNNNNNNNNNNNNNNNNNNNNNNNNNNNNNNNNNNNNNNNNNGUGGCCGACGCCCGCCGGCACGCGCACGGCCACCUCCUGCUUGCCGCUUCGCCCCGGCCUUCCUGGGGACUGCCACGCAGGCCUUGGACCCCCCUCGUCCUCUCCCCUCUCUCCCUGGAUCUCCUUCCCCUCCCCUGCUCUCUCUCUCUCUCGCGGCGCCACCGCACAGAGAGUCGCCGACGAGAACCACCACGGCCACAGCCACCCCCUCGCCCUUCUGUUGUGCCCACGAGCUCCGCCCCGUCCCCCUCUUCCUCCUCACCAAGACGGAAGGCGCCGGAAGCCUUGGAUGUCGCCAGUUCCGCCGUUCCCCUCCUCGGCCACCGGGGAUCACCGCCGUCGAUUUGCCGCCGUCUCCGCCUCCCCGAGCUCGCUGAGACCAUCUCCAACCCCACUGUGAGCUCCGUCAUCUUCUCCCCUGCUUCCCGCGCUCGUACGCACUCUCUAGCCACCCCCUCUAUCAGAACCGAGCCGCUCCGCCGCACGAGCUCGACGCCGGCGUCACUCCGGUGAUCCUUUUGGUCACCGCUGGUGCCUAACGCAUUCUCCGCACUCCGCAAUGUCUCGCUAGUGCCUCUGUUCGCCCGCUAGCACGCCGCAGCAGCAAAACGACCGAGGCCCGAGCACCGGCCGCCGCCCAGCUUGUUGCCGCCGCCGUUGCACGCCAUCCCAGCACACACCGAGGCCACCGUCAGAUGCGCCGCAUCACCGGCUUUCGAACGCGCCCAGCCUCGCUUCCAUCCGACGCCGGAGUUGUCCGGACGGGCAUCGCCGCCGCGCUCCGGUUAUCGCCGGAGUUAAUCCGGUGAUGUGGUAGAUUAAGAGCUAAUGACGCAGUUAGUUAACCCUCCUAGCUCACUGACACCUGGGCCCCACGCCAUAAUUAACCUCAGUCUAAUUUCUGCUUAGGGUUAACUAAAUCAAGCGGGCCCACGCGUCAGCUUUGACCAAGCUGAUGUGGCCGUUGACUGGCCCCACACAUCAGUGACCCAAGCCAGCCCUAAGACACUGACGUGCGGGUCCCAGUUGUCAGGUUUGACCCUGGGCGACCCAGUUGACCUGCUGACAUCACAAUGACGUCAUGCUGACGCAGUAUUGAUUUUCUGGAAUUAAAAUAAAUCAGGAAAUCCAGAAAAUGUCCUAAACUUUGGAAAAUCAUAGAAAUUAAUCUAUAACUCCAAUGGAAAUAAUUUAUAUAUGAAAAAUUAUCAGAAAAAUUCAAGGAAUCUGAAUAUGGCAUUUUCAUGCAUGUUUGAACAACUUAACCUCCCUGUUUAGCCAAAACAUGAUAAUGCACCAUUUGAAUUCAUAGUUUGAAUUUGAAUUUGAACCUUGAGUUCAAUUCAACCCAAACCUUUCUGUUACUAGCUGCAUUAGCUCAAUCAACAGCAUAUUUCCAUGUCACAUUCAUGCAUCAUACUGUUGCAUUGCAUUGAUUGUGUUUCUUCUCUGUUGCCGGUAUUCGUUCCCUCUCGGUAGCCGAUGUUUCGACGAUGAGUUCGAUGACACCGAUGAAGAACUAUAUUAUCUUCAGAAGUGCCAGGCAAGCAAAACCCCCUUGUUCAUUCCGAUACAAUCCUACUCUCUCGCUCCUGCUCUCUUUUACUGCAUUAGGACAAUAACGAUUCAACUGUUACAUACUGCGAUAGCUGAACCCCUUUAUCCUCUGCAUGACCUGUCAUUCCACAGUAAAUAGAUGAAACCCACUAGUAUGAGUAGGAGUUGUUUGAGCCCUGUUGUGCCUACUCAUUCAUGUUUGUUUGUCAUGCCUGCUACUGCUUAGAGUUGAGUCGGGUCUGAUUCAUCGGGUAUGAAUCGAAAUGAUGAUGAACAUGUCCUACUGUGUGUGAGCUAAGUGUGUGAACACGAUUUGGUAAAGGUAGCGGUGAGAGGCCAUGUAGGAGUACAUGGUGGGUUGUCUCAUUGCAGCCGUCCUCAGGAACUGAGUUCUGUGUUUGUGAUCCAUGAAACAGUUACUACCACACAUUGGGAUCCUUAAUUGACUCUCUCGGCUUCUUAAUCACCCUUGUCCUCUGUCCAGGAGUUGCAAGUAGUUUCUGGUGUUUGUAGUAUGCUGGGGGCCGCACGCAGCGCUGACCGUAGGGGUGGGCUGUGUUGCGGUAGGCACGUGGCACGGUGUACCGAUUCGCCCGUUUGGUGUCUCGGGAACCCUGUUCACAUCGUUCGGGGCCGUUAGUGGAAACCUCGGCCGGACUCCCUGCGGAUGGAACCCGAAUAGGCGAUAAACCUGGACUAGAGACUUGAGUGUUUAGGUAGGCUGUGGCCGACACCCUCGCUGGGCUUCCGCUUGAAGGUUGCCGAGUACAUGUCGUGUAAACGGCGGUAAGUGGUGAGAGCGUGUGUGAAGAAGUACACCCCUGCAGGGUUAACAUCAUCUAUUCGAAUAGCCGUGUCCGCGGAAAUGGACUUCUGGGUUGCCUAUAUCAGUUCAUAGACAAGUGAAAGUGGAUACUCUAAAAUACGCAAGAUAAGCGUGAGUGCUAUGGAUGGCCUUCUCGUAGGGAGACGGAAGUGGAUCCAUAGUGGUGUAUUGAUAUGGUGAAUAUGUGGACUCGUGUGCGCCACCUCAAAAGAGUCGCUUGCAGUCGUAGUUCAGGAUAGCCACUGAGUCAAAGCUGGCUUGCUGCAGUCAAACUCCACCACCCCCUUUGUUGAUACUGAUGCAUGUGUAGUUAGCUCUGAUGUAAGUCUUGCUGGGUACAUUUGUACUCACGUUUGCCUAUUUUAUGUUUUGCAGAGAGACUUCAGUCUCACUAGUAGUACCGCUUGGACUUCGACGUUUAGCUUGAUACCUCAGCUACGAUCUUGUGCCCUCGGCAGGAUCUGGUAGAUAGUCAGGCUUCUCAGCCUUCUUCAUUUAUAGAUGUCUGUACUCAGACAUGUUUAGCUUCCGCAUGUGCUUGAUGCUUGUAUGCUCUGAAUGUUGGGUCAUGAGACACAUGAUUGUAAUAUCUCGCUCCUCGGAGCCUAAUGAAUAAAUACUUUGAGCCGUAGAGUCUUGUUGUGAUGCCAUGUUGUAUUUACACAUAUCGAGCAUAUUGUGUGUAUGAUGAUUGAAAUGCUUGGUAUGUGUGGGAUCCGACUAUCUAGUUGUUUAUCCUUAGCAGCCUAUCAUAUGGGGAAAUGUAGGUCUAGUGAUUCUGAGCGAUAGUAGUCCGCUACAGCCCGGUUCACCGGAGUCCUGCUAGCCCAGCACUACUGCUUGGACACUUGACUGGCCGGCAUGUGUUUCACGUUGUUCCUAUGUCUGUCCCUUCGGGGAAAUGUCUCGCGUGUUAUUCGGAGUCCUGCCUAGCCUGCUACAGCCCGGAUUACCGGAGUCCUGUUAGCCCAGUGCUACAGCCCGAAUAAAUCUCGUGCUGACCGACAUGCUCAAUGUGAUUCAUGUAUGCCUGUCCUCAUAGGCUAGCGCCGCUUUGGGUUCACGACUAGCCAUGUCGGCCCGGGUUCUCUGUCAUAUGGAUGCUAGCGACACUAUCAUAUACGUGAGCCAAAAGGCGCAAACGGUCCCGGGCCAGGUAAGGUGGCACCCGUGGGAGUACCGUGCGUGAGGCCGCAAAGCGAUAUGAUGUGUUACAUGCUGGAUCGAUGUGACCUUGAAUCGGGGUCCUGACAGCGUUGGUAUCAGAGCCUGACUGCCUGUAGGAUUACCAAGCCAAACUGGUCGAAGUUGUGUCUAGAAAUGCUUUAGUUAUGUAAGGGAAUUGAUUGUGGAAGGGAACGUAAGGCUCUUUUACUCCUUAUACCUCAUGGCCUUCUGAUCUGAGUCAACCUCUUCUUUUCUACGGGGGUUAAGAACUAGGCCUUCUCAUCUAUCUAUCAGGAUGACGUGUUACUAAACCGUAGUUGCCUAAGAUUGUUGAGUUCAAGUCUCAAAUCAGUUCCUACUACUUCCAUAUGUUCUUAGCUGGUCUCAGAACAUUGAUAUUGUGAUGUUGAGUGGCUAUACCACCAUUUUUGCAGGUUGUCUCAAAUCUUUUGAGCAUUUACAGCCGUUAUGCUGUCCGAGUCAUCCCAGGUCUCUAAACAGUCUGAUGCAUUUGCAAAUCCUUUCUCUCCAUUCCCGAUAUCCUUUUUGGUCAGAAUAAGCACACUAAUCGGUCUGUUGAGGUACUCCGUUGCCUCGACAUGUAUGUUGGAGCUAUUUUUAUGACCCUAGGUGUUUAGGGAGUCACCUAGUAAUCUAGCAAUGCUAUGUGUUCCCGGUGUGAUGAUUCUGGCCACCAUUCUCGAAAGCAUCCCGUGAUGCCAUUUAGUAGUAGGCAUUCUACUCCUGGGUCUUGAACCCGAGAUUCACCAUACUUACCUCAUGUUGUUAGUAUUUGCUAGUCCCUUUAGAAUAUUAGUAACCUUUGCGUUAGUCCGCGAGGUCCAUGGUACUUCCUUCUUCCAAAUGCCAUGAACCAUCCUUGGCAGAAAUUCGUUUUGAAUCAAAAUAUCACAACCAGGGUGUUCUUGAGGAGUACUCCAUGCAUAUUGUGAUUCUGCCAGUUCUCCCUUUCAGCAUGGGUUAUCCGGAAGAAAUAUGUUGAACUUGGUUCGACAUAUUAAUCUAUGCAUCCACAACUCAGAAAGUUAUAUGUUCCUUGAGUUGACCCUCUUCAGCUGUAUUCCGACCCUAGUCUAUCAAUUGAUAGUCAGGAAUAGUUGUGCAUUCGUGUUCAUCGAUGCCUAUUAUUCUUGUGGUCUGUCAAGCCAUUCUAGUUCAGAAUGACUGGGAGAAACAAACUCCAGUACCUCAUCCAUAUCUAGGGGUGGGUCAAAGCAAUUGUAUUCUGCAGGAUGAAUGCCAAUCCAGCUUUUGUCUUGUUCUACCUUGGAGUGUUACCAUCUUUAUGUCAAGAGUGUCAUGAGAAUUGCACCACCUCUUAUGAAUUCUUGACGCAGUAAUACUUCUCGCUAUCAUUAUUCAUUCCUCGGUUUCGUGUUAUUGUAACCGGAAUGCCGACAAGUGAAUCAUGUUGUGUGAAAUCAAUACUCCUAGCAACUGUGUUGCUUGGUAGUUAAUGGACACUAUUUUCAAUCUUAGCAUGCUGGUUACUAAAUCAUCAUCCUAAGAUUGAUCGUGCUACCUAGUCCUUAUUUCUGGUGCACUCUUCGAUCAAUGAGUUAGGAUUUUGCCAAACCCUCGCCCCUUUUGAUCACAUCAUCUUGCCCUGAAAAGCAAGAUUGGUCUCGAGCUUAGUAUCAUAUCGGUGAUUCGUGAUUUUCCGAAUAUCUUCUCGGAAGUGUUACCAGGUUGUCACCUGACCGCUAUGUUGAGUUCGUGAUCCAGUUGGUUUCUUGUAAACCACCCCUUCUCCAAGAAUCCGUGUUGGAUAUCCCGGAGCUGGUUGGUUAAGCUAAACAACAACUUGGAGAGUUGGAAGAUAAAAGCUUAAUCCACCUAGUUCAUCUCUAACGGAUAUCCUUGUGUGUGUGUGUUGAAGAGAGAUGAUAUCUUCCUCGAUUGAUCCCUGUGAUCAGUUGUUGAACCUAUUGUCUUACCAAAUCUUUGAUUUGAGUAUGGGCUAUCAUCAAGUCAAAUCAGUACCAACGAUGUUCGUAAUGUUGUCUUACCCGUGGUUGAUCCCUCGAGCAUACACCAUUAUAUCAUUUGGUCUGACCAAUGCUAUCACCGUGUUCACAUGAUGGUGGAAGUCCAGUGAUAUGGAAAUUCCGAUGAGUUGUUGUUGAGCCCAUCAGCAGCAUUUUGUCUCCCCCAUGAUUCAUGCUGAACAUCAACCUAGUGUUGAAAAUUUUAUAAGCAAUGCCUUCAUGUUCCGCUCAUGAGGUAUAUGUUUGGAUGCAAGGAGUGACUUCCUCUAAUUCACGUGCGUUUGAUGUAAGUUGUCGCCAUGAGUUUGAGAAAGGUUUGUUUUGUUUUCCUUGGAAUCAUCCCAAAUCAGUCAUGCAUACGUGCGAAGUAUUCUAUGGUUUGGCAGAUUGAUUACCUCCACUCCAUAUGUGUUCCUAGCACACCAAGCCACUAAUUGAUUUGUCCAGGGAGGAGAAGUUCCUUCUUAAGAGCAUGCCUUAUGCAAGGACUUCGUAAUCCUUGAUGAUGGUUCCCCAUCGGAACUCGAUAGUGUUUAUUGUAAGACUACCAUGUGGUCAUGCUUGUCUAGGACAGUGUGUUCACAGGCUUGUAGCAGAACCAGCUCAUGUUUUGGAGCUUGCUAUUGUAGUUCAUUUCCCGAGAAUCUCGCAACGCCAUCUCGUCGAUUUGUGUUGCAAACUUUCAUUUUCUUCUAGACUCGAUAAGUCUGGAAUAUUCUGUUACCAACCAGAUCUGAAUCUCAGGCAGAUAUGAUGGUUGGAACUUUUCCAAGAUCUAUUAUGUAGGUCCCGACAAGGUUGAUGUCUGGCCGACACACCUAGCCGGAAGAUCUAUCAUUGUAGUAUCUUGAUUAAACUAUUUAACCAUCUUCUUCAUGAGGAUCUCGCGCGACUUAUUAUAGAAGUUGCUUUCUAGGGAUUCUUGUGCUCUUGGUUUCCUCGAUUAAGCUAAAACCAUUCAAACGGUGAAAUCACCCUCGUUGAGUUAUUCUCAGUCACCAGAAUCAUUCCCAGCAUUUGCAUUUUGUUCCCAGCUUGCACCUCAGCAUGAUGUCUAGAAUCAUCUUCAAAAGUGGACUUACCAUGGGUCCCAUCCAUUUCCGGUGAUAAGCAAAAUCAUCUAUUGCGUUGUCUUCAACAAGGUAGUCCACAUCUUUCGUUCUAGUCCAAGUAUGUCACCUUUCGAACUCCUUCAAACGAUCGUUUGUGAUUGCCUUAGGCUGGUAUGAAGAAUUUCAAUGAUCUCUGUAUCAGAAGUAAUUCUUUUUGCCACUUAAGGGAAUAAUACUACGAGUCACCUUCUCUGAGGUGCCCCGUUAUGGAAUCAUGGCAAUUUUCCUUGCUACUUUGAAACCCUCGUCAAAUUGUUUCCUCUGUCGCUCCUGAUGCAAGUUUUGCCUCUCAGCUCCCGAGAUGUUCUAUGUCUCAUUUCGUGAGUUGAUCCUGAGUUGUUCGAUCUUCGAGAAGAUCGAUCCUUCUGGAGUUUUCUCUUUUCUCUCAUUGUCAUGUUGGACGUAGUUCUCAAAGCAAGAUGUCAAGAUCAAGGUGAUGCAAUCAACAUCUUCGAGAAGGACAGUUGGAUCAAGAAGAUUGUAUUAGUUUUGUGACCCCUCUGUCUUCUUACCUCACGUCUUGAAUCUCGGGCCGAGAUUCUUGUUUAGUGGGGGUGAGUUGUCACAGCCCUAGAAUUGCUAGUAGUUAGUUGCAUCUGUGAGCAUCCAUGCAUCAUGUUAGUUUCAAAUAAAUUUGAAAUGGGGAUGACAGAAACCCCCAGCACCUCCCCUGAAACUAACUAGGGCUUACUAAAAUUAGUUUCAAUAAACCCAAAAUGCCUUCACAAAAUGUUCAUCAUUUCUGGUUUGGGCUAAAACCCCUGGCAAAAAUGGUGCACACUUUUUAGGACAUUCUGGAGUUUUUUUGAAUUAAAUCCUAAGUAUUUGAAUUUGGACAUUUAAAUUCUAUAAAAUAUUUUAAAUGUCCAAAUAAUCUUGAAAGCAUUUGAGGGCUGUUGGAAAUAUUUUCAAAAGUGCCCACAAUUAUUUUCAGGACUUUACAAAGUGAGUUAGUAUUUUUACUAAUUCAAAACAGAUCAAAUAAAUAGAAAAGAGAACAAAAUAAAAAAAAACAGAGAGAGGAAACUUACCUGGCCUUACCUGUAGUCGGCCCAGCUGCAGUGGCCGGCCCAACACUGUUGGCCCAGCCCAUCUCUCCCCCUUGUCUUCUUCCAGCUCAGGCCAGAAGGACUGGAGCGCGCGUGGCCGACGCCCGCCGGCACGCGCACGGCCACCUCCUGCUUGCCGCUUCGCCCCGGCCUUCCUGGGGACUGCCACGCAGGCCUUGGACCCCCCUCGUCCUCUCCCCUCUCUCCCUGGAUCUCCUUCCCCUCCCCUGCUCUCUCUCUCUCUCGCGGCGCCACCGCACAGAGAGUCGCCGACGAGAACCACCACGGCCACAGCCACCCCCUCGCCCUUCUGUUGUGCCCACGAGCUCCGCCCCGUCCCCCUCUUCCUCCUCACCAAGACGGAAGGCGCCGGAAGCCUUGGAUGUCGCCAGUUCCGCCGUUCCCCUCCUCGGCCACCGGGGAUCACCGCCGUCGAUUUGCCGCCGUCUCCGCCUCCCCGAGCUCGCUGAGACCGUCUCCAACCCCACUGUGAGCUCCGUCAUCUUCUCCCCUGCUUCCCGCGCUCGUACGCACUCUCUAGCCACCCCCUCUAUCAGAACCGAGCCGCUCCGCCGCACGAGCUCGACGCCGGCGUCACUCCGGUGAUCCUUUUGGUCACCGCUGGUGCCUAACGCAUUCUCCGCACUCCGCAAUGUCUCGCUAGUGCCUCUGUUCGCCCGCUAGCACGCCGCAGCAGCAAAACGACCGAGGCCCGAGCACCGGCCGCCGCCCAGCUUGUUGCCGCCGCCGUUGCACGCCAUCCCAGCACACACCGAGGCCACCGUCAGAUGCGCCGCAUCACCGGCUUUCGAACGCGCCCAGCCUCGCUUCCAUCCGACGCCGGAGUUGUCCGGACGGGCAUCGCCGCCGCGCUCCGGUUAUCGCCGGAGUUAAUCCGGUGAUGUGGUAGAUUAAGAGCUAAUGACGCAGUUAGUUAACCCUCCUAGCUCACUGACACCUGGGCCCCACGCCAUAAUUAACCUCAGUCUAAUUUCUGCUUAGGGUUAACUAAAUCAAGCGGGCCCACGCGUCAGCUUUGACCAAGCUGAUGUGGCCGUUGACUGGCCCCACACAUCAGUGACCCAAGCCAGCCCUAAGACACUGACGUGCGGGUCCCAGUUGUCAGGUUUGACCCUGGGCGACCCAGUUGACCUGCUGACAUCACAAUGACGUCAUGCUGACGCAGUAUUGAUUUUCUGGAAUUAAAAUAAAUCAGGAAAUCCAGAAAAUGUCCUAAACUUUGGAAAAUCAUAGAAAUUAAUCUAUAACUCCAAUGGAAAUAAUUUAUAUAUGAAAAAUUAUCAGAAAAAUUCAAGGAAUCUGAAUAUGGCAUUUUCAUGCAUGUUUGAACAACUUAACCUCCCUGUUUAGCCAAAACAUGAUAAUGCACCAUUUGAAUUCAUAGUUUGAAUUUGAAUUUGAACCUUGAGUUCAAUUCAACCCAAACCUUUCUGUUACUAGCUGCAUUAGCUCAAUCAACAGCAUAUUUCCAUGUCACAUUCAUGCAUCAUACUGUUGCAUUGCAUUGAUUGUGUUUCUUCUCUGUUGCCGGUAUUCGUUCCCUCUCGGUAGCCGAUGUUUCGACGAUGAGUUCGAUGACACCGAUGAAGAACUAUAUUAUCUUCAGAAGUGCCAGGCAAGCAAAACCCCCUUGUUCAUUCCGAUACAAUCCUACUCUCUCGCUCCUGCUCUCUUUUACUGCAUUAGGACAAUAACGAUUCAACUGUUACAUACUGCGAUAGCUGAACCCCUUUAUCCUCUGCAUGACCUGUCAUUCCACAGUAAAUAGAUGAAACCCACUAGUAUGAGUAGGAGUUGUUUGAGCCCUGUUGUGCCUACUCAUUCAUGUUUGUUUGUCAUGCCUGCUACUGCUUAGAGUUGAGUCGGGUCUGAUUCAUCGGGUAUGAAUCGAAAUGAUGAUGAACAUGUCCUACUGUGUGUGAGCUAAGUGUGUGAACACGAUUUGGUAAAGGUAGCGGUGAGAGGCCAUGUAGGAGUACAUGGUGGGUUGUCUCAUUGCAGCCGUCCUCAGGAACUGAGUUCUGUGUUUGUGAUCCAUGAAACAGUUACUACCACACAUUGGGAUCCUUAAUUGACUCUCUCGGCUUCUUAAUCACCCUUGUCCUCUGUCCAGGAGUUGCAAGUAGUUUCUGGUGUUUGUAGUAUGCUGGGGGCCGCACGCAGCGCUGACCGUAGGGGUGGGCUGUGUUGCGGUAGGCACGUGGCACGGUGUACCGAUUCGCCCGUUUGGUGUCUCGGGAACCCUGUUCACAUCGUUCGGGGCCGUUAGUGGAAACCUCGGCCGGACUCCCUGCGGAUGGAACCCGAAUAGGCGAUAAACCUGGACUAGAGACUUGAGUGUUUAGGUAGGCUGUGGCCGACACCCUCGCUGGGCUUCCGCUUGAAGGUUGCCGAGUACAUGUCGUGUAAACGGCGGUAAGUGGUGAGAGCGUGUGUGAAGAAGUACACCCCUGCAGGGUUAACAUCAUCUAUUCGAAUAGCCGUGUCCGCGGAAAUGGACUUCUGGGUUGCCUAUAUCAGUUCAUAGACAAGUGAAAGUGGAUACUCUAAAAUACGCAAGAUAAGCGUGAGUGCUAUGGAUGGCCUUCUCGUAGGGAGACGGAAGUGGAUCCAUAGUGGUGUAUUGAUAUGGUGAAUAUGUGGACUCGUGUGCGCCACCUCAAAAGAGUCGCUUGCAGUCGUAGUUCAGGAUAGCCACUGAGUCAAAGCUGGCUUGCUGCAGUCAAACUCCACCACCCCCUUUGUUGAUACUGAUGCAUGUGUAGUUAGCUCUGAUGUAAGUCUUGCUGGGUACAUUUGUACUCACGUUUGCCUAUUUUAUGUUUUGCAGAGAGACUUCAGUCUCACUAGUAGUACCGCUUGGACUUCGACGUUUAGCUUGAUACCUCAGCUACGAUCUUGUGCCCUCGGCAGGAUCUGGUGGAUAGUCAGGCUUCUCAGCCUUCUUCAUUUAUAGAUGUCUGUACUCAGACAUGUUUAGCUUCCGCAUGUGCUUGAUGCUUGUAUGCUCUGAAUGUUGGGUCAUGAGACACAUGAUUGUAAUAUCUCGCUCCUCGGAGCCUAAUGAAUAAAUACUUUGAGUCGUAGAGUCUUGUUGUGAUGCCAUGUUGUAUUUACACAUAUCGAGCAUAUUGUGUGUAUGAUGAUUGAAAUGCUUGGUAUGUGUGGGAUCCGACUAUCUAGUUGUUUAUCCUUAGCAGCCUAUCAUAUGGGGAAAUGUAGGUCUAGUGAUUCUGAGCAAUAGUAGUCCGCUACAGCCCGGUUCACCGGAGUCCUGCUAGCCCAGCACUACUGCUUGGACACUUGACUGGCCGGCAUGUGUUUCACGUUGUUCCUAUGUCUGUCCCUUCGGGGAAAUGUCUCGCGUGUUAUUCGGAGUCCUGCCUAGCCUGCUACAGCCCGGAUUACCGGAGUCCUGUUAGCCCAGUGCUACAGCCCGAAUAAAUCUCGUGCUGACCGACAUGCUCAAUGUGAUUCAUGUAUGCCUGUCCUCAUAGGCUAGCGCCGCUUUGGGUUCACGACUAGCCAUGUCGGCCCGGGUUCUCUGUCAUAUGGAUGCUAGCGACACUAUCAUAUACGUGAGCCAAAAGGCGCAAACGGUCCCGGGCCAGGUAAGGUGGCACCCGUGGGAGUACCGUGCGUGAGGCCGCAAAGCGAUAUGAUGUGUUACAUGCUGGAUUGAUGUGACCUUGAAUCGGGGUCCUGACAACUUGUAGUUUGACUCGGAUUCUGCUGCAACAUCAGAUUGUUUCGGCCAUAACUCAACGCUCCGGAUGAAUUUGAAGGUGAAUCCAAUUGUGUUGGAAAGUGCAUGAAAUCUACUUUUUAACAAAAAAAAAGAAUCACCCAAUUCGGAGUCCGUAUGAAAAAGUUGUUGGCGUUUUGAAUCAGGUAUGUCUGUGCAGUCCGAAUCUGAAUCCAGAACGUGAGAGACUUGGACUCUAUCUUCUCUUGGCCCAAAAGUGACGUGAAAGGACUUUUUGAACAUAAACUAAACUUCUCCUUUUCCCUUAUCUUCAUAUGUGGAUUGUACAAAUGUCCCAUACACCUGCAAUUAGACAAAACACAAACGUGUGUGAAGUAUUUUUGUUCUGGAUAAUAUAAAUAGAUUAUUGAAUAGUUUGCACUAGAAAUCACAUGACAAAUAUGCACGUAUACAAUAUUUUUGGUCGUAUCCAAGGUAGUCAUGUCCUCAUCAGUUCCAUACCCCUAGUUGAGGAAGUCUUGGACCUUUUUAUAUAAUGGGUUCUCUACACCACACUUAUUGAGGUGUGAAGGAGAGAAAUAGAAGAACACACGCGCACGCGCUAGCCGGGCUCGAGGCGGGCGACAUGCGGGCAGUGGCGAAUCCAGGAAGAAAAUGAAGGGUGGGCUCAAAGUUAACGGCGAGAAAACUAAACGCCAUUUUAAAGAGAAAAAACAUCAUCUCCUAAUCCUUUGUUGAAUAAGCUAUGAUUUUUCCAGAAUACUACUGAAAAUAUGGAUUGUUUAUUGGCAUUUUUUUGGAAGUGUCAAAUUUUGAACGGAAAUUUAAAUCUGUCUAGCCAAAUAGUCGUUAUCUCUCAUUCCCCCUUUUUUCAAACAAGCUCAAACUUUCCUAGCAAAAUACAGGCACUAUCUCUGAAUACCUUUCUUCAAAUAUCAAAUUUUGAACCAAUUUUUGAAUUUGUUUAGCGGAAACAUGUAGUAUUUGCUGGAUGUUUUUUUAAAUAUCAAAUUUUGAACCAAUUUUUGAAUUUGUUUAGCAAAAUACAGGCACUAUCUCUGAAUACCUUUCUUCAAAUAUCAAAUUUUGAACCAAUUUUUGAAUUUGUUUAGCGGAAACAUGUAGUAUUUGCUGGAUGUUUUUUUAAAUAUCAAAUUUUGAACCAAUUUUUGAAUUUGUUUAGCGGAAACAUGUAGUAUUUGCUGGAUGUUUUUUUAAAUAUCAAAUUUUGAACCAAUUUUUGAAUUUGUUUAGCAAAAUACAGGCACUAUCUCUGAAUACCUCUCUUCAAAUAAGCUAAAAAAAAUCAGAUUGCUACUGAAAACAUGUACUUCGUAUUUACUGUAAUUGUUCUGAAUUUUUUGAAAAUCAAAUUGAACUUUAUAUUUGGUAUUGCCCAUUUAAACAGACAAAAUUUGGUAUUGCCGGCUCUCUGCUUGACUGGCCAGCCAUCGGGCAUCGCUAGAUGAGUGUGUGUCAUCUCGCUCUCAUGUGUACCUACUUGAUGUGUUUUCCGCUACUUGCUUGUGUACUAUUGGUGUUGUUUGCUGAGAGCCUGAGACCGAGAGAUUGGGUUGCUGGGUUGGAUGAAGUAUAGUAGUAAAAAAAAUUAUAUUUUUGGAGGGUAGGCUAGAGUCUGUUGAAGCCCCCCUACUGGACUCGCCACUGCAUGCGGGUGAAUGAUCCGCCGAAAUUCAGGUUGUUGCCUUGCAAGGGCGCAACUUCCUUUUGCUGUUUUAUUUUUUGAUGUCUUUUCAGACAAGUUGGUUUGAGAUCGUGAUCCAACAUGAUACCGCCUCUGGUCCUAUUAUUAUAUAUACUGCUACCAGUCGCAGCCAAAGAUGUUUCAUGUACGAUGCUUAUGUAUGUGCAUGUUUUUCUGUUCACCUAGUAUGGUAGAUCGUUGCAUGUUAAUUUCUAUUAUAGUCAUAAAUUAUUUACUGGAAUUAAUCAUAAAUUUGCCUAGUAUUCCAACAGCAGGUAGGAACUCUAAAAAAUACAUGCGAUAUUUUAAAAAAUGGUGAGAACACGUCAGCUGGGAGCACAUAAUCCUCCAUGCGCGCCCUGCUCUGGACCGACACAUGGAUAUACUGUACCUAUACAGUACUCCCUCUGUAAACUAAUAUAAGAGUGUUUAGAUCACUACUUUAGUAUUUUAAACGCUCUUAUAUUAAUUUACGAAGAGAGUAUUAUUUAAAGUUCCGCGCUGAAGCCAGCCAAGCCAGGUCUUGGGACGCGGCCGGGACAGGGGUGGAUGGUGGACGGGUCCGUCGGGGCACGGCAGCACCAUGUAGCAAUCGCAUGCAUCCUCUGCUCUCCGGUUUAUUGUGCACAGCAGCUCGAUCAUUCGUCGAUCGCUCAAAACAAAUUCCAUACGUGCUGCACCUAGUUAUACGUAAAUCGCUUUGGAAAUUUCUCGGGUGCUGCCGUGCGGACGCGCGGCUCGGUGUUCACACUUUGACAGUUGACACACGCCGGAGGCAGCUUCGUCCGUUCCUUCCUUCCUUCCUUCGUUCGCGCUUGCGCCUGUUUUGCAAGAUUUUUUCUCUAGUACAGGCGCAUAUAUAUGUGGGUCCGUCUAUGUCACAUCUAGAUGUGAGAUAAUAUCUCACAUCUAAGUAUGAUGUCAGCGCCAUCUAUUUUUUUCAUUGUUUCUCCUGUUUGUCUGAUUUUAAUUCGUCAAAGCCCAAAACUAAAACCAGCUCGCAUGUGUCCGCCUGUGCGGCCGUCUUAUAAAUCUGGUCGCUACUGGUCGCUAGCUACACACACACAAGGCAUGUGCGGCCGUCUUAUAAAUCUGGUCGCUACUGGUCGCUAGCUACACACACACACAAGAAAAAAAACUGAUCGAUACUCACUAGUGCUAACAUCGAUUAUCUAGCUUUGUCGUUUGAUCACUAUACAUUUACAAGUCCGUCUCUCAUUGCUAGCUUCUAGACUACCAAUGAUUUUCUUUUUUUGCCUUUUGAUUUUUUCGCUUUCACUCUUAUAUUUAUAUUUAAUUUUCAGUAAGAAACAAAGUUUCAUCAAAACAUAUUUCAAAAACAUGUUCACGAAUUUACAUAAAAAAAUCAAAUUAUAAAAAUGUUAACGAAUACCAAAAAUGUUCUAGUAUACAGUGAACAAAUCUUUUAAUAUUUGAUGAUCAUUUUCUAAAUACACACUAAAUCUUUUGAUGUAUACAUUGAACAUGUUUUUAAUAUAUACUAAAUUUUUUAUAUACGAUGAAUUAAAAAAGCGGACUUUUUAUAUACAUUGAACUAAAAGCGAACAGGCUAAAAAAAAGGAAAACCAAAUAGAGAAAAUAGAUAAUAAGAAGAGAACAAACAAAUAAUACAUUUUUUAUUUUUUUAAAUGGUAAGCACGGACACUUGUAGUAAAAUGAACAAAUUUACGAAUUUUGGAAUAUUUAUGGAAAUUUUUGAAUUUAUGAAAAGAGAAAAAUAAAAAUAAAAAGCGAAAAAAUGAGAUCAACAUCUGAAAAAUAGAUAAUUUAAAAGGAGAAGAAAACCAAUGAAGAAAAAAAUAACAAAAUAAAAAAAGAAAAACAUUAAGAAAACAAAACAAAAUAAAACAUAAACGUAUCCAGGGGAGGCUCAUCUGCGGUUUGUUUGCUCACGAGGAUGACCCCCAGUGGCGAGUCGAGGAUGGACUCGCAAUUGGGACUAAAAAAGGUCGGACCCAGUUGCGAGUCGAGUUUUGAUUUGCAUCUGGGACAGAAAAGGUUAGGCCUCAGUUGCAAGUCGAGGGUAGACAUGCAACUGGACAAGGAAAGGUCGAAGCUCAGUUGCGAGUCGUGGACUUUGCAACUCAGACCAAAAAAUAGGUUGGGCCCCAGUUGCAAAUCGAGGGUGGACUUGCAAUUGGGACUAAAAAAAAUCAGACCCAGUUGCGAGUCGAGGGUGGACUUGCAACUCAGACAAAAAUGGUUGGACCCUAGUUGCGAGUUGAUGGUGGACUUGCAACUCGGACAAAAAAGGUCUGAGCCCUAGUUGAUGGUGGAGUUUGCAACUCAAUGGUCGACUUGCAACUAGGAUGAAACAAGUUAUGGGUCCAGUUGUGUGUCAAGGAUGGACUUGCAAAUGGGAUGAUAAACAAAAGACAUCAACUAGUUGCGAGUCGAGGGUGGACAACUACGAGCCCAAUUGAGAGUCAGAGAUGGACUUGCAACUAGAACAACUACAAAAUUACGAGCCUAGUUGCGAGUCAAGGGUCGACUUGCAACUAGGAUACAACAAACUACGAGACGAGUUACGAAUCAAUGGUGGACCUGCAACCAGGCCAAAAACAUUAGUUGUGAGACAUGAUGGACUUACAAUUGACACGGAAAAAGUGAGACUCGGUAGUUACUUGAGGAUGAACUUCCAACUGAUGCAAAAAAAAAGUAAGGCCCGAUUACGAUUCAAAAGAAACAUCGAGGCCAGCGGCAAGUCGAGGGGGACUUAAAACUGGAGACAAAAAAUGCCAGUUAUGAGUUGAGAAUGGACUUACAACUAGGACAACUACAAACUAUGAGACGAGUUGCGAGUCAAGGGUCGACUUGCAACUGGGAUAAAACAAACUACGAUCUUACUUGCGAGUCAAGGAUGGACUUGCAACUAGGAUGAAAGAAAAAAACUAAGGCCCAGUUGCGAGUCAAGGGUGGGCUUGCAACUGGGAUAAAAAAAUACGGGCCUAGUUAUGAGUCGAGGGUGCAUUUAUACCUGAGACUAGUAUAUAAAACUAUGAUACGAGUUGCGAGUUGAGAGGUUGGACUUGCAACUGAGAUGAAAACAAGCACACCCUAGUUGCGAGUCGAGCGUAGACUUGCAACUGGGACAUCAACAGACUAUGGGACCAGUUGCGAGUCGACAGUGGACUUGCAACUAGGACAACAACAAACUAUGAUCCCAGUUGCAAGUCUAGGAUGGACUUGCAAUUAAGACAUCUAUGAAACAAAUCACCCAGUUGUGGGUCAAGAGUCAACUUGCAAAUAGAAUGAAACAAACUACGGUCCCAGUUGUGAGUCAAGGUUGGACUUGUAACUGGGAUGAAAACAAAACAGGUGCCUAGUUGCAAAUCGCGGGUGAGCUUGCAAUUCAGAGAACUAUGAGCCCAGUUGCGAGUCAAAGGUGGACUUGUAAUUGGGACAACUACAAAACUACAAGUCCAGUUGCGAGUCAAGGGCCGACUUGCAACUAGGACGAAACAAACUACAUUCCAAGUUGCGAGUCAAUGGUGGACUUACAAAUGAGAUGAAAGACAGAAACACAGGCCCAGUUGCGGGUCAAAAGGUUGGCUUGCAACUCGGAGGGGGGCUUGCACGUCACACGACUAUGAGCCUAAUUGCGAGUUUAUGGUGGACAUGCAACUGAGACAACUACGAAACUAUGAGCCUAGUUGCGAGUUAAGGGAUGACUGGCAACUCAGACGAAACAAGCUAUGAGCCAGUUGCAAUCAAAAGGUAGACUUGCAACUGGGAUGAAAAACAAAACACAUGUUCUAGUUGUGAGUAGAGGAAGGGCUUGCAACUUGGACAACUACAAAUCCAGUAGUGAGUCUAGGGGGACUUGCACCUGGGACAACUACGAAAUUACGAGCCAGUUGCGAGCCAAGGGUUGACUUGCAACUUCGAUGAAACUAGCUAUGGGCCCAGUUCAGAGUCAAGGGUGGACUAGCAACUGGGAUGAAAAACAAAAACACAUGCUCAAAUUGUGGGUCGUGAGGGGGCUUGCAAGUCUGACAAUUACGAGCCUAGUUGCGAGUCAAGGGUCGACUUGCAACUAGGAUGAGACAAACUACAUGUCAAGUUGCGUGUCAAUGGUAGACCUGCAACUGGGAUGAAAAACAAAAACACAUUCCCCAGUUGUGAGUCGAUGGUAGACUUGCACCUGGGACAACUACGAACUACAGGCCUGGUUGCAAGUCAAUGGUCGACUUGUAACUAGGAUGAAACAAACUACAUGCGGGUUGUAUGUCAAGGGUGGACCUAUAACUGGGAUGAAAAAUAAAACAUAGGCAAAAUAACCGGGGUGAAAGAUUGGUCAGUGAGAAGAUGGGGAAUAAGCUUCAUAGUUGAGCCCCCCAAACACCAACAUAUAUAGGCUCAUGUGAAAAUAAAUGCGAGAACAUGACAGAAAAAACGAAACGGAACAAGAGGACGGGCGACAAAAAGAACAAGCUGACACAGAAGUGCAUGAUCAAGUUUGUGCGAACAUUAAACCAAACAAAUCAAACAAUUAUAGAUUUAGAUGAGCUAAAACUUAUCUAGAUUAGAUUUAGCAAAUCUGAAAUCAAAACAUCUAGUUACACUCCCUCCUAGCUACACGGUCAAACAAAAAAUAAAAGAAAAACAGGGAACAAAGAGACAUGUGUUCCUCCACAAAAAGGCUAGGCCCACACAAAAAUCAAUAUGCAAAACAUAAUAAAGGCCCAUUAAAAAAUGUCAUAUCUGGUCUCACGCUUCGCUAAGGACAAACAGAAAACAUGACGCAAGGACACCGAGCAUGAAUCAGAAGCACGUGUAUCUAACGGUAUAUGAGUUAUAUGAAAAAUUGUUAACUCUCAUAUAGAUAAUAAUUAGCAAACCAAUCUGAAACAAUACCUCAGACCGCGUCGCAAAAAUGGCCUAACAAAAGACACACGCGUGGACAAGCCGACAAAUAGACACCAAACACACGACACGACACAGAGCGCGUGUGACAAAAUAACCCGCAAUCAAGAUUUGCACGACAUUUCAAGCGAACAUAUGACAGAGUGAAAACAAGUUCAUGUUUUUUAAACGAAGAAAUAAAGAAAAAAAGAAAAAUAAUAAAGAAAAAGGUGAAAAUAGAAAAAAUAAUAAAAAAUCAUGAACUUGAAAUAGUUUAUAAUUUAAAACAAAUAACGAAAUAGAAAAAACAAAAUAAGGAAAACAAAACGGAAACGGAAAAAACAAAUACUGUGAGUCAAAUGGAAGUGUAGAAAAACGAGAGGAACUAGAACGGUGUAGCACAAACUUGUGAAAAGAAAUAGAAAAAAGCAAUCGACGUGGCACUAGCAACGCAUAGGCUUUGUGAAAAUCAACAACGGAACCUUGCACUAGCAACGACCUGACAGGCAGCGCACGAGAGAACGCGCCGCAAGCCAGCGCACCAUCCAGACCAUCACGUUUUACACAAAUAUUAAAGACAGAUGAUCUAACAACUCUAGACUUAGAUGUGAGGUAGCUAUUUCAUAUCUAGAUGUGAAAUAGCAAACCCAUUCAAAGAAAUGUAAAUUCUAAAUAGUUUUCGGACACUUUAUAAAGUUUUCAUGCACAAAAAGUGUUGUGGAUUAAAAGUAAAGAAAAUGGAAAAUGAAAAAAAAUGAAAAAGUGAACACAAGCAGUUGUGUGGCAAGGGCGAGACAUGUAGUUGCGUGUUUGUUGGUGGACAUGCAAUGGACACCCGACAAACAAUUUCAUUUUGUAUCACAAAGUUAUAGUCGUGUUAAAGACAUUAGUUGCAGUUACGGAUGAUACUUGCAACUGUGUGUAUAAUAGAAUACAUUCAGCUGCCCUCCCAACAAACAUUUUUGCCUUGAAUUGCAGUUGCAUUGGAGGUAUGCAGUUGCGGGAUGAAGACGACACUGUAAUUACAUGUUUGAUGAUGGGCAUGCAUCUGACACGAACAAAAAUCAUGAAGUUUUUAAAGACAAAUAGAACAAAAAAUAAAAAAGAGAAAAACCGAACAAAAAACAAAAAAUAACAACAGAAAAAACGAUUGGAAGCUUCUCUCAAAACCGGUAGAAAGAGUCCUUCAUGGAUCAAGCUCAUUCACACACGUACGCUCCGGGGAGACAAAAAACCAAACAACUGGUAGAAAGCAAAAAAUCUCACAAGGACACACUCACAUACAACGACUAGACACAUUUUCCUUCAACAAUUCGCGUUUUCCUGGCUGAAAGCCCACAAAGCACAAAAACGGGGGACCCACAAAAAACAAAAAAGCCCACAACGGGCAGGCGGGUGUGCGCACGUACNNNNNNNNNNNNNNNNNNNNNNNNNNNNNNNNNNNNNNNNNNNNNNNNNNNNNNNNNNNNNNNNNNNNNNNNNNNNNNNNNNNNNNNNNNNNNNNNNNNNNNNNNNNNNNNNNNNNNNNNNNNNNNNNNNNNNNNNNNNNNNNNNNNNNNNNNNNNNNNNNNNNNNNNNNNNNNNNNNNNNNNNNNNNNNNNNNNNNNNNNNNNNNNNNNNNNNNNNNNNNNNNNNNNNNNNAAAAGCGACACAAGACACGGGCUGGACACGAGCUGCCCGCCUCGCGCGACACAGGCUGGACACAGGCUGCCACGCGCGACAAACACGAUGCUAGCAAGCGCACGAGCGAGACGAACAGUCUGCACAAAUCUUAAAGACAAACAAUAUUUAAGGGUUCUAGAUUUAGAUGUGAGAUACUAUUUCACAUCUAGAUGUGAAAUAGCAAACCUGCAUAUAUAUACGUUGGACGACACAUACGUUGCCAUCCUCGCAAAGGGAAAGAAAAGAGAGAGGUACGUGUAUGCUGUGCUGCUAUCGUAUCAUGGCCUUGCCGCCCAGAAGUACUCAUCUCACUUUACAGUCUGAUGACUCGACCAAGAAUGAUUCUGCGGACAACUAUCUUGGGUGUUGGUGUCAUGUCUUUGUCAAUGCAUGUGCUUGUAUACAGCGAUCGAUAUGUGUGUAUUUGUUGCAAUUUAACCGUAUUUGUUGCCUGAUGCGUGGUUGAUAAAAUGCCACUUGAGGUGUCGAACGCGCCCAGGCGCCGGCGGCCACCUGCUUCGAGCUUUCGCUGCCACCUGACCUGAUCGGUAGACGCACGGUGGUGGAUGCCCACUGGCCAAGAAAGAUUCUUCUCCUCUGCGUCUCCUCAAGUGGCCAAGAUCGAUAGAUGCACGGUGGAUGAUCGGUGCCAAGAAACAACGGGGAAAUCGGUGCGACAUGGCAUUAGGGGAAACAGCGUCUUCUCCGCGUGAGGGCUCGCGCGAUCUGCUGCAGCGCGAAAUUCACCGGAACGGCUCCCACGGCUGGACGGAGCGAUCGGCUCAUGCUCUGCCUGAUUGCUCCGUGGCCUGCCCGUUGACGCAUGACUUGGCCGGCCGGUCCGUGGCCUGCAGUGACGCCUGGCCCCUGGCCAUGUAGACGCGGAGACACAUGAGCCGCGGAGUGUGGCACAUGCUUGCUUGCAGUGGCGGAGACGGGGAGGACCAGCAGGGGCCCUAGCCCCCUUAACAUCUUUGAUUUAAGGCUAAUAUCCAUGUCAGUAGUGCUUAAUUGAUGUGUAAAAUGAAGCAUUUUGAUGAGCGGCCCCUCCCCAACAGGACUUUACAACACCUGGCCCUCCUCAUAUGGCUCCCUGCGUGAUGACAGCGGACACAAAGCGUGCGACGAUGGUUGGAUGCGAGGAGCGCCACACACGGUGGUGGACGACGGGUGAUCGGAUUACGCCGAGGCCUCCCAGCUGCCAGUCCUGCUAUAUGAUUUGCUCCAAAUUUGCAAAAAAAGGCCUCAUAUCAUGUUAACAACAAGAGAACCCUCACUCCACUCUUUCCUCCCCCAUCAUUGAGCAGGUGUUGUUUAUUACGUUGCUUUCUUCAAACAUAAAUAUAGUCAUAUAUGUUGAACUGUUCCUCUGAAUUUUGUUUUUCUUUGACCACCAUUUUUGUUUUGACAACAUGUUCAAAACAAGAUCAAUGUUGAGUAUAUUUUUCAAAUUUAUUAUUAUUAUUUUCAAAAGUAACUGUAACAUUUAUAUGUUCAUAUUGAAACUUAUAUUAACUUUUUCAAACUCUACCUCUCCAUGCAUCCACACAUCGAUCCCACGUGCACAUGCUUAAAUAAAAUUUCAAGUGAAGUUUCAAAAGGCAACAUAAUAAUAAUAAUCGAAAAGCAUUUUCGACAUGGAUCUUGUUAAAAAGAUCUCAUCAAGACAAUGUUGAAAAUCAAAACAAAUUCAAAAUCAAACAUUCGGUUCAAAAUAUAUGACCAUUUUUUUUUUGUGUUUGGGUCAGAAAAAACAAACAAAAAAAAUUUAUUGAUGGAAGAAUGGGAUGUGAAGUGCGGGUCACAUAUAACAAAAGCUUCCGUAAACAUCUUACAGUCCGACAUGUGGCGAAAUCUUAUCCGUUGCAUUUUUUCAUCUAGAUGUGCCCUAGACACAUCAUUUUUUCAUCUAAUAUAAUGGCCUGAAAGCUAUUGAUAGAUGCGCCUGGUGCACAGGAUACAUUCUGAGCCUGCCUGACCGAGCGGUGACUUCAUAACCAUCGGACGGGCACGAUCCCGCGGUAUGCACGCGUAAACCGCGCACAUCCCUUCUCCGCUAGCUCAGCUUCCCCCGCAUGAGUGUGCUCGAUCUUGAUUAAAUAGGUUAGCAGUUAGCUACUUAAUCACGUCGGGCAAGCCUCUAGCUAGCUAGCUAUAGAUUCGAUCGAUCCUUCGGCCGGCACGGCUUUGUCGUCAAGCCAUCAGCAAGUGCUGCACCAAGUAGCCAUGCCGGCCAGCACGCUGCUGGUGGUUGGUGGGUGGGUAUUCUCGCCGAUCAUCAAGGAGCUCAUCGGCGAGGCCAGAUCCUUGGUGAGCAGCAAGUACUCGAGCUUCAAACAUCUGACCAAGCACCUCCGUCAGCUUGUAGAUGUCCUGGAGGAGAUGACCGCGACCGUCGAGGCCGUGCAGCAGCAGGCUGAACUGCGGCGCUCCGACGAGGACGUCUCCGCCGGCGGCGGGAUGGCUAGCUGGGUGGGCCGGCUCGUCGACGCCAUCCACGAUGUGGAGUCCGUCCUGGACGUCUUCACCUACGACGACAUCGUCAUGUCCAACCUGCGCGACAACAAGGUCGCUCAGGUUGCUCACUCCGCGGCCAGAGCCGGCCGACGGCUGAUCGGCAGGGACAAGGCGUUCAACCGGCUCAAGAAACUCCUGGACGAGCUUCCGCUUAUCCAGCAGAGCCUGCGGGAUCUCGCCCAGCUGCCGCGGAACGACUCCGGCGGCAGCCGGGGCCGAGGAUACUCGCGCUCCGUGUCACGAAAGGCGACUGGCCCGCUGCUACCGGGGGCGACGGGCCAAGAACUGUUCGUGGGGUACGAGCGGGAGUAUGGCCGGCUCGUCUCGGCCCUGCUCAACGACGUCAGCGACCAGCCCAGUAGCAGCAGCAGCAACAAGAAUGUCGUGGCGGUCAUCGGCCACAGCGGCAUCGGGAAGACCAUGAUCGCUCGGCGGGCAUGGCAUGACGAGAGAAUCAACGGGAACAACAACAAGAAGCACUUCGAUCUGAUGGUGUGGGCGAGCGUUGGAUGCAUGUUCACCGAGACCGAGCUGUUGGCCGAGAUCUGGAGGUCCAUCCCCGGAUCAAGCGGCGUGGAGGAGAAAUGCGCCGCCGCGGGGAUGAGCUUCGGCGUGCUACAGCAGGCGAUCAGCGGGCUGGUCGGCUCCAGGAGGUGCCUGCUCGUGCUCGACGACGUGUGCAACGACGAGUCCGGCCGUGACUGGACGGAGAAGAUGAGGACAACUUGGGAGGACGUGCUAGCCCCGUUCCGGGACGGAGGCAACGGGAGCAGGAUCCUGGUGACGUGCCGAGCUACCAUCUGCGCCAAGGUGCUCGGUGCCGGCACCAAGAUCCCGCUGAAUGGGCUCCGUGCCGACGACCUCGUCCUCGUGCUCAAGAAAACCGCCUUCGGUGACGCCCAUAAAGAAACUCCGGUUCUCGACGGUGUGAUCAGGAGUGUCGCGGAGCAGCUGAGGGGCUCGCCAUCGGCGGCGAAAACUAUCGUCGGCAUGGUGAGGAAUAAACAACGGAAGAAAGACUGGAAGAAACUGUUGGAGAAGGUAGGGUCAUGGUACGCCGGUGAGGUUCCUCUUGCUGGCGCUGCCUACGAGUCCAGCCUGCGGUCUUGCUUGAAAUUUUGCAGCAUGUUCCCCGACAAAUGGGAGUUCGAGGCUGAAACGUUGGUCAAGAUGUGGAUUGCACAUGGCAUCAUCCGCGGUGACCACGGCCAGAGCAUGGAGGAUGUCGGGAGAGAAUACGUCAGAGCGCUACAGGCAAGGUCCAUGCUCAAAACCAUCUCCAGGGAUGGCAGAGCGACCUGCUUUGCCAUCCAUGAGCAGGUGUCAGUCUGCGCGACCGGGUUCUUGAGAUUAAGCAACGAUGAUCUUGUCAGAAGAAGGGGUAGCAUCCCGGCAAGUGUUCGACACCUAUCCCUGACCGGCGGAGGUUGCCUUGCCCUAGCACAGCUCAAGGACAACCCUGUGUUGAAGAAGCUGCGGACACUGUUAAUCUUCGAUGAUGGCCACUCAAGCUCGGGCACUGCUGUUUCCGCCAUUGACAACCAUGUACUGAAGCAGCUCAAGGCCGUCAGAGUGGUCGACUUUGCCGGCACACGCAUCACCGAGUUGCCGAAAGGCGUCGGCAAGCUGAAGCAUCUGCGGUAUUUAGGUCUGCCCGACUCUGUCAGGAGCAUUCCGGCCGCGGUUACCAAGCUGCUGCACCUACAGACACUGUCUCUCGGCAAAGACUGCAAGCUUGAUGGCGACCAUGGGUUCCCGGGUGAUGGCAUGAGCAGGUUGAUCAACCUUCGGCACCUCGACAUGGACAUGAAGUACGUUGCCAUGAUACGUGGCAUCGGGAGGCUGGAGAAACUCCAGGGAUCAGUAGAGUUCUGCGCCGACAGGGGAAGGGGGCAUGGCAUGGAAGAGCUCGCAGGCAUCCACUCCAUCCACGGCACGCUCACCGUGAAGGGGCUUCAGGCCGUCGCCAACAAAGAAGAAGCUCAGAAGGCUCAGCUCGGCAGGAAAGAUUUUCUCAAGACCCUGAAGCUAGAAUGGGAGCCCCCAAAGUUGGGGGACCGGCGAACUUGCUCCACCUCCAUGGACUCACACGAGCAAGUCCUCGAGGGGCUCCAGCCGAACGGUAGGAUCGAGGAGCUACAAAUCCAGAGGUACCAGGGCGCAUCGUCGCCUAGCUGGUUGGAGAGCAACCUGCUGGCGAGCCUGAGCCACCUGAAUCUCGUAAACUGCAGGAACUGGCGAGUGCUGCCAUGCCUGAGCCAGCUUCCUGACCUCAGAGUCUUGCACAUCAAAGAGAUGUACGCCAUUGCUCGGAUCGACCACAGGCUGUACGGCUCCGGCGUGCUCCAGUCGCUGGAGAAACUGGUGCUGAAUGACAUGCCCAGUUUGGUCGAGUGGAGCGCCGAAUCGAGCGACCGUGCGUUUCCUCGUCUCCAGGAGAUACUCAUCCUCAACUGCCCCAGACUGGCGAAGCUGCCCCGGGUGCCGGCCACCGUGAAGAAGAUGAGGAUAGAGAAGGACAGCAGCUCCUACUACCUGGACAUGGCCUUCUCCCCCAAAUCCAGCUCCUUCACGCUGGACGUCCACGGGGAGGCCCUCCAGCUGCUGCAGCAGGACUUGCUGCACCGGGAUCACGCGCUGGCCGUCAGCGCCUUGAGCAUCAGCAAGUACGCAGGGGAGAGCGAGGUGAACGUCAAGCUCCUGUCGUCGGUGCGGAGCCUCUCGCUGAGCCGAUGCGUCGUCACGGACAGGCUGCUGGGGGUGUUCUUCCAGAACCUGCAGUCCCUGGAGAAACUGCAGAUAUCUGACUGCGGCGACUUCCUUGAGUUCCCCGAGGACGCCAUGCCGCCGUCGUUGAAAUCCAUCGAGGUGAACCGAUGCCACCCGACGCUCGCGCAGAAGCUGCGUGGCAGCGCUAGAAUUUCUUCGAUUCCCAGGGUACACAUUUGCUGAUCGAUUUUUUUUUGUACUUUUUUUAGUGUGCUAUAUAUACUCCUGGCGUGGCAAAACUUUCAUUCAUUCAUUGUUAACUUGGGUUCAUUGCGUUGCUUGCAACUGAUCCAUUUUCUUUAGGAUCAGCUGAUCCAUUUCUUUGAGAAGCCAAACUUUCUUUCUGGAGCAUGCAAGACACGAUGGGGUCAGCAUUAUCAGCACAUUUAGGAACAGCUUGCCUUUAUUAUUGUACUGUGCUGUGCUGAACGUAAAACAAAGAAAUCGAUUAAUAACAAAGUAGGAGUAGAAACUACCCCCAUAUUAGUCUUGCUUUCAAGGGUUCGCUAGAGGAAAGAAACACAAGGGACUACGAAAGUAACUACUAUUCCGCAUUUAGCACCAACCGCGCGACGCGCGUUGCCGGUUCCAACUUCCAAGUCAGUCAACUGCACCAGGAGGUGAGCAUGAUCGUAAGGCUGCACCAAUGGCUGGGGUUUUCUCAAAAAACAAAAGGAAUGACUAGCGGAUGGGAGGUUGUCGGGACCUAUAGAUAUUCCCCGUUGAAUUUUAUACCAGAAGGCGCCAAACUGAAGAGACGGGAACAAAGCGGGCUCGAAAGCGCCAUGCACGCGCUUAAAAAUCUAACAUCUUAUUUUUAACAUUACCAAAACGUAUUCGAUGUCUAGCUUAGUACAUGCUUCUAUGUUGUCCAUUCCAUGUGUUUUCUAGCUUAGUACAGCCGCUCAGAUAUAUGUUACCGUGACAAGUGGUGGGAUUCUGAUACAGUACUUACCGGAAAAAACUGGCAUGUGUGCUGUUUGUGGCGUUGAACGGGAGGAUACUUUCCAUGCCGUAUGCAGAUGUCCGAUGGCGGGUGCGUUAUGGGACGCCAUGAGGGAGUCUUGGCCUUUACCAGCUCGAGCUGACAUUCAGUACACCGGGAAGGAGUGGCUACUACACCUCCUAGCCGGCUGCAAUGAGACCCAGCGCAUGAUCAUUUUGAUGACUUUCUGGCGUGCUUGGCACUGCCGGAAUGAGGUCACACAUCACAAGCCAGCGCCACCCGUCGAGACGCUUCCUCAAUUGAUACAUCGAGUCCCUUGUGUGCAUAAAAAACAGUAUCCCAAGGGGAAUAUUAUGAAAGGUAAGAUGGUGUUACAGUGUGCAGGCCAACAAACCGCCACAUGCUGAAACAGUGGUGCCUAGGUGGAUGUAGCCUCGUGUUGGAUUGGAUGGGCAUGGGCAAAACUCAAUGUGGAUGGCUCCUAGUCCUAUGUGCAUGGAGAGAGGGUACGGGUGGUGUUGCGGGACAAGGGAGCUGUGAUUUUCUCGUCCUGUCGUUAUCUCCGUUUCAUGCUACUCGCCGCUUGAGGCGGAGCUAGCUGCUUGCCUCGAAGGAAUUGGUCUGGCACUCGCUCACACUGAUAACAACCUGAUAAUUGAACUUGACUGUAAAGAAGCAGUGGACAUGCUGAACGACAUAUGCAUGAAUCGAUCAGCUGUGGCUAGUAUGGUAGAGGAGGUGAAGAGCCUGCCGCAUGGCGUCCGAAGUCACGAAAUCGUGCAUGCAGGCAGGCCAUGCAAUGCUGCUGCUCACUAUAUUUGGUGUAGCUCUGGGCCGGAGGAUUUAUGUAUGAUUUGUGAAACUGAGUGUAGACACAUUACUUAAUUAAUAUACACUCUUUUCACCCGCAAAAAAGAAAAACUUCCCGAAAACACACACACACAAAAAAAAAGCAGUUUCUGAAAAUCUUUUGCCAGAGAACAUGGCGAAAUUCAGUAGAUGUUGUUCUAAUCCAUGGCCGCCCGGUCCUGUGCCGACACGUGGACGCUGGCGAGGCCGUCCUGAGUAUUCCACGGUUUGACAUUUCCACACGCUCAAGGCUGACGUGGAUGCGAGGAUCGGACGGGUUGAGACACUAGCAUUGCGGCACCCUCUCCUCUCCUUUUCGAUUGCUCGUGGUGCCGUCGAUCGCUUCCAUAUCCAUAUGCAUGGCUUUGGAAACUUGUCGGGUGCUGCAGUGUGGAUGCGCGCGCGGCUCGGCGUUCACACUUGACACACGAUUCUUUUUCUCUCUUUGGAUUGACAGAAGGCUGUCGUCCUUUAGUUGUACUAGUCCAAUAGGUAGGCGCGUGCUGGACACACAUACACAUACGUUGCCGUGCCCAAAGCCUAAACCGAUGUGCAUAACUCCUUGUGCUCAUCCCUCCAUCCAUAGGCCAGGCUUUCAGACGAUUUGGUUUUGUUCUUCUCCNNNNNNNNNNNNNNNNNNNNNNNNNNNNNNNNNNNNNNNNNNNNNNNNNNNNNNNNNNNNNNNNNNNNNNNNNNNNNNNNNNNNNNNNNNNNNNNNNNNNNNNNNNNNNNNNNNNNNNNNNNNNNNNNNNNNNNNNNNNNNNNNNNNNNNNNNNNNNNNNNNNNNNNNNNNNNNNNNNNNNNNNNNNNNNNNNNNNNNNNNNNNNNNNNNNNNNNNNNNNNNNNNNNNNNNNNNNNNNNNNNNNNNNNNNNNNNNNNNNNNNACCUUUUCUAAAAAGAAAAGAAAAAAUCACUCGUCGCCUUAGCCACGCGUAAAGCCCCUUUGACUGCAACGAAAGCAGCGCGCAAACCUCUGUGACUGUGAUUAAACAAAAUCACGUACACCACUUGUGGUGUUCAACGCACCCAGCAGCCACUCACUAUACCUGCUCCGCGCUUUCGCCAUCGCUCGUUUUACCACCUGAUGGAUGAUCCAUCACACGCACGGACACGGUGGAUGGCAAUGCACCAAAGAUUCUUCCUCUUUUCUCCUCUCCGGUGAAUUACUGGUGCGUAGAGCAAUUAGCUGCUCACCUCCUUCAAUCAUUGACGCCUGGAGAGACCGAGGGAGAUAUCUUCUGUCCGUCCUGUGGCUGUGUGCUGCGCGUUUCGUUUCGUGGGCCACAACUUAACUUCAUUCAUCUCCUCCCUCCGCUCUACUGUUCGGCCCGUGGCCCGUGGUUCGAGACAAAAUAACCGGGACCCAGCUCGCAUAGGAAACAACGGGGAAAUACAUGGGGGAUCCGAGAAAUGAAUGAAUACAAUAAUAAUGGACAGGUACAUAUAAAUACCAAGUUGAUCCCAAUUAGUAUUAUCUUUUUGUGUGUGAAAAGAUUCCAAUUAUAUCGAUCUGACCACACCUUUCCACCAACACAGUAUCAUUAUUCAGUUGAGAGGUCACUGAGCAUAAAUGCCAUGUUGAAAUAAUCAACGGCAAGCAGCGACGGCCUUCAAUGUAGCUGGCAUCACUUGGAUUGCAACAACUGCAAUGCCAUCAAAGAGGAAAUGAAGCAAUUUCACCCAGUUACAACCAAUGAGAGGUGAAACCUACAAAUUUCUGAAAUCUGUCGCUAGGUGUUCUACGGAUCUAGAUGUAAUUUUUAUUAUUUCUAGUGCUCGUUGUACUACCAUGAUUGAAGAUGAAUAGAUUGAAAGUUUUCCCCGCCAAAAAAAAAAGAGCACCGCCAACUUGAGGUCAUCUUGCAUUGCCCCUGUGAAAGAGUAAAACGAGAGAGAGGGGAGCAAAUGAUGGAACAGUUAUCUCGUUGAUUGAAGAUUGGGGUAUAUAUACCCCCAGUACAAAGGCGGUUUACAAGGGGCAGUUGCUAAACUAGAGCAACCGACAUAGCAGGGAUUAUUCCCUAAUUAAUCUAAUUAAUUAAUUUCUAACACUCCCCCUAAUCAAUGCUUGUCUUUGCGAAUAUGCAUCGUCUUGAUAAAUAAUACUCCUUGUAUGUCUUCGCCUUUGAGAAUGUUCAUCAUCUUCAUCUUGAGAAAUCCUUGUAUAAUCAUUAAAGUCUCCUCCAAAAACCCUGUUGGAAAAAUAUGAGGAGAAUAGUGUAGAUAUGUUGCUAAAACUCCUUUAAACCCAGUGGGAAAAAACAAUAAGGAGAAAAUGAUGCAACAUAUAAUGAUUAUUGUCUCUUGAUAACUCAUAUGAGAAAAACCUUUGAAGAAGGAGAAAACUCAUCAGUGAGUUUAGAGAACAAUUAAUAUGUCUUGAGUACUUUCUUUAAAAACCUCGAUAGGUGUCGUGGGUUUGUCACGGCAGAUGUCCUAGCCAAAGGACUUAGUCGUGGAGCCAUCGCUACGGGUUAACUCGAAGGGGUUAAAGCAACACAAAGGACACAGGGAGUUUAUACUAGUUCGGCCCCUUCGAUGAAGGUAAAAGCCUACGUCUAGUUUGUGAUGGGAUUAACGAAGUCUCGAUGACUAGGGAGCAAAUCGCUUCACCUAGGCCUCGAGCUGUGGUUGUCUGUCCUUCAACCGCUAUCGGGCCGUCCCCUUAUAUACACGUCCCAAUCCCCGGUUCAUAUUCAUACCGGGUUGGUCUCUCCUUAUUCCUAACUUAUAAUACAAGUUUACAUACAAUCCGGGUUAUAGUUACAAAUACUAAACCGAUAACGGUCUUGGGCCUCUACAUAGCAUCUUUGGCUUCAACAUCCUGGAACUGCUGAUGAAGCUAACCCGGCCCAGGUGGGUCGGUUUACGCCCAGUAGUAAUAUCCCCAACAUUAGGCCCCAGGUUGAUUUGAAUAAUUUCAUGUCAACCCUUAGCAGAAAAAACUUCAUCUUCAGCAUCUUCUCGUAGUUGUUGAACCGUUGUGUCGUCACCUUCUCUGGUUGCUGUAAACCGGGAUGACGUCAACUGUCACUAUGAAAUGAUACUUCCCUUUUUUUUAACAGAUCUGCGACAAUCGAGGCGACUGCUCUGCUUUCGAGACCUGCGGCUCCUGGAUUCGCGCGCCCGACACAUGUGUCUUGCCUUAUAAAUAGGGGCGAGGGGUCAUUUCUUUUUCCCCUUCCUCCCUUUCUUCUUCGUCUUCUUCGCGCCGCCUGCCUCGGAGCUCCGCCGCUGCCGCCGACCUCUGCACAAUCUCGGCCGCUGCAUCAACCUGACCGGACCAGAAAAACGUGGCUCGCUUCCGCAUCCCUCCGAACUCCGGUAAGUCCUCUGCCUUCUCAACUUAGAUCUGCCACUUAGGGUUUCCUGUAUUCAUGGAGUUCUUCGCGUUCCCCGCGUUCCUCGUGUUCUUCGCUUACCUUGAAUCUGAACUAGGAUGCACUUUCAGAUAACCCCGUGACCUUUGCUCCGUCGAGUAGCAGUUUUCAACAUCUGUUUUUACUAUACCUGGCCCGUAGAUCUGAUCCAGAACUUGACCUUGCAUAUGACAUCAUGAUUAUUUAUUCCUUUUACAAAGUCGCUUAGAUCCAAUAUCAUACUGAAUUAAUGUGAAACCUGUUGUCGCACACUUGCUCCUUUCCCAUUCCCAUUGUUUCACGGUUUAGAUCCAGCGGUUUAACUUUGUUUGCAGAAAAUCACUCAAUCGGUACAUACCAUUAGUCCCCUUGUUGAACCGCCAGUAAACUCUUGAUGAACCGCAUUAAAUUACCAACAUCGGUUUGUAGUUGACCUCCUCCGGUUUGAUACCGAUAGCACUAAUAUAACAAUCUAUGCACAACACAAUCCUGAACCGGAACCAUUUCUGCUUUGUAGAUUUUCUCAUGGCCAAGCAAGUCUAUGAAUGUAGCUGGGCUCCAUCCCGGGUCACAGAGACUCAACUGAACAAUCUGGUGCUGACCGGUGCUUUGAGCAGCAAAAAUGCUAUCCAUUGGAGAGUGCCAGACAAGGAAUGCCCCCCUACACCUCGAGAUGGAGAAGUUGUUGUGUUCGCGAAUCACCUAGCCCGCGGUUUCAACCCGCCCGGUUCAAAAUUUUACCGCGACGUUUUGGCUGAUUUCCAACUCCAUCCGCAAGAUAUUGGUCCCAAUUCUGUCACCAAUAUAUGCCACUUCCAAGUGCUCUACGAGGUCUUCUUUCAAGAGGAACCUACAGUGGAGUUGUUCCGGGAUUGCUUUCACUUAAACCGCCGUACUGAAUUUACUGAUGGCUCCAACAUGGAAUUGGGUGGCGUGUCCAUCCAGAAGAGGAAAGAGGUCACCUAUCCUCACGCUAAACUGCAUAGUCACCCCCAAGAAUGGAACAAAACCUGGUUCAAUUGUAAAGACACUUCUCCAGAAGGCGAGAACAUCUUGCCCGGUUUCCGUCCAGAUCGGCUCAGCAACACUCACCCUUUUCCUCAGAGGUUGUCUGCUAAAGAGAGAAGCAAAUAUGCUCCCCAACUGUCUAAGCUUAGAGCUUUCAUGGCCAACGGUUUAACCGGAGUCGAUCUUGCUCGCUGCUGGAUCGGCUGGAGUAUACUGCCGCUUAGUCGACGCUCCGGUUUAAUGUGCGAAUAUACCGGCAGCGUUGAUGAUCCGUUGCGUCAUUGCAACAUCCAGCUUACGGAUGAUGAGGUCACCGAGGCUGUCAAGAAAAUUCUGAAUGAACCGGGACGCGUCUGUGCACAAACCGGCCUACUUCCCUUCUGCGCCGUUAAUAAACCUCCAGCGGUAAACCGAACUUUCUUCUCAUUAAAGCUGACAUUAUCUUGUACGUUUGACUGAUUUAGCAUCUGUCGAUAUAGGGUGAUGAUCCAUUUUGGAGCAAAAAGCUUCCUCAAGAAAAGGCAGAUAAACCGGAGAAACCAACCCGGCCCAAGACGAGGGUUGUCAAGAAGUCUGCUCAUAAGAGGAAGACUACGGCCUCCUCUGACCCUGCUGAUGAUGAUGUGGGUAAACCGAAUCUUGAAGCUGAACUUGAUUCACUCGGUUUGUUGUUUAUGCAAUUUAUUGAUGAUGCAACUUGUCAGGAUGACGCUGAAGCGAGCUAGGCUGAUGAUGUAGAGGUAAAUACCCUUUCUCCCGAUUCAAGCCUUCCGCCUUCACCCAAAAUCCGUCGAGCAAACCGCAAAGUUAAAUUUUCCCAUCCUCUUGCUUACUUGGAUCCCAAUUUUCUUAUGAAGACCCAUCAGCAUGAGGUGCGACGUACAACCCGACACAGCGGCCAGGUAGUCACCUCCGCCGGUUUACCAAACAGUCCGGUUCGGAGACGUCGCUCAAAGGUCUCUAAUUUGUUUGUCAAUACUUGUCCCAAAGCGGGCUGCUUUCGUCAACCGCUUAAUCCGUCUGACUCUGAUUAUCAGGUCACCUCGCACUCAUCCUCUGGCGAAUCCACCGGCACUCAGCUGCCUCCGCUCAAAACCGUGCUUGGGUACGUUUUUACCUUCAACAAGUUUGUCAAUUUGUUUAUAAUUUUCAACAUAUACUGUUUUGUAACCUUGCUGCUUUUCCAGGGCUAAACCGAGGCCGAGCAAAAAAGCUCGCCAAGAUAAAACUGCUGAGGAGAAUGCCCCUCCAGAAACGGAUGCUGUUCCGAACGCAGAAGCAACCAUCCUUGAAGACUUGGCUGAUGACCCACCAAUCAGAGACGAGGUUGUUGCUCCUGAAGAGAGUUCCGUUAACCCCUCCGGGCCUGCGGAUCAGCAGUCCAUUCUAAUUUUUACUGAGAAUACCAUCAAUCCUUCGAAGCCUGCUGACAGACCGACCGGGCCAGUUCAAACCGGUGAAUCCAAAGAUGAUGAAGUUGUAAUUACUGGCGUGGGCCGCACUGAACCGGGCACCCCUGUCGCUUUAGCCAAGCACACAGCUAAAGAAGAGCUUUGCACUUUAAACAAAGGGAAAUGGGAUAUUGAUCUGUCCACAUAUUCUGCUCUGAGCGCCCAAGAUAUUCACUCUGGUUAUUUGAACCGACUAUACACAAGCCGUGACUAUGAAGCCAACCUUGUAAAGAUGAUGAAAGACAAAUUUGAGGUAAUUUUCAUGCCUCUAUCCCUGCUUCUUACCACCGUAGCCCCCAAGGGUCGGUUUAACUUUAGUAUAGUUGAACCGAGACUUAUAAUCUUCAGACCACAGCGUUCAAAUUACUAUAGGAGCAAAUAGCCAUUAGCCCCCAAGUGCCAAGUUGAAUACUUGUAUUGAGCUUGGGACUUUUGAUGAAUAACUUAUAACUGGAGAUCAAAUAAGCAUUAGUCCCCAAGUACAAAGUACCUAACUUGUUAUGUGCUUGGUACUUCCUGUAUUUAAACCGUAUAACUGUCGAACUGCAGGCUGAACUGAAGGUCAAGGAAAGCCAAAUCGCUGAUCUUCAAGAGAAUGUGAAGUCCCAACAAGCAGAAACUUCCAAAGCCAAGGAGGAGCUAACCCUCGCUUUAGGCAGUAUGGAACAAUUGAAAGAGGGCUUUAAAAAGGAGCGUGCUGACUGGGCUACAGAAAAAGCCGCUUUAACCAAGAAGAUUGAAAACGCCGAAGCUGCUCUUAAACCGAUAACAGAUGAAUUAACUGGCGUAAAGCGACAAGUGCACGCAAUGACUGCAGCCAUCUUUGGUAAGCCUCCUGUGACUUGUGCAAUAAUCUUGAUCCUUCUAUAGAGCAGCUCGGUUUAUGAUCUGCUGAUCGUAUUACAGGCACUCGUGUCCAUCACUUGGGAUCGGAUGUGCGUGUGAAGCUGAAAGCCGUCUAUACUUUAGUCGAGCAAUUGUAUACGGGUGCACAGCGGAUUAUCACCGUUGCUUCACACAACAAUCCUGCACCAACAUUGAUCCAAGAUACGCUGAAAAGGCUGUCGAUGCUUCCUGCUCGGAUUGAAGAAUUAAAAAGGUCUGCUGCUCGAACCGGAGCUAUUAAUGCCUUAAUCCGGGCCAAAGCAUGGGUGCCCGAUUUUGACCCUGUUGAAGCAGCUCAAGGUUACCCUAGCUUGAAAGAAGACGGCUCCGAAUUUGACGAAGAAGAGCUGAGAAAGAUAAACCGGGCAGUGCGCCCUUUAGCCUGCCAAUUGGCAGAGGAGGCAAACUUGACCCAUUACCAAGCCCAGUACAAUGAUCAGAACACGCGGGUAGCUGCACCAAUCCCUGAGGCGGAGAACUUAAUCCCUCCAAUCCGUAAGCACACCUAUGCCCCUGAUAUUGAACUGUCUUCACUGAUACAUGAGGAAGCUGUCUUUCGAGCAUUAAUGGGAAUCGACUGGACCACUGUUGACUUCCAGCCGCUGGCUAGGGAGGAGGAUGCUGAAGCGGCGCAAAAUGACCCGGAACCAUCAAACCGGGAUGGCACGCAGGCGUGAACCGAAGGGAGUUUGAACUAGUUUCCCUUCGUUACUUUUGUCAAGAAACAAUCAUCUUAUUUGGGCACCAUGUUGCCUUGUAAUAGGAUAGACCGUACGUUAUACUUCAUGAGAUGCCUUCGUGCAUCAGUAUUGAUACCAUCCUUUGGAAAAUCCUUAUUAUCACUUAUAUCUCCUGCAAUCACGAAAGUUUAAACUACCCGGGCGGUUGUACCGUCCUCCGGUUUGUAAGUAGGCAUAUAAAUACGCAAGAAAUUUUUGCAAGUACGAUUAACCUUCAUGAUACGAAAUACCUGCCAUGUCAUGGGCAUAAAAUAGGCCUCUGUAGCCAAAGUUGAAGCGGGAGUUGAUAACUCUUAAACCGUCAUGGGAGAACCAGGCUCCUAGGUAUAUAACUCUGGUUUACAAUGUAAACCAUGAUUUAAUGAUAGUAACCUGUGGUUACUUUUAAAAAGGAUGAUGCUUUAGCACAAAACAAUCAAACCGAGCCAAAAAAUCUCAAUGUGUGAAAAAGAGGACCAUGUGUCGCCAAAUUGGCUAUGUUGACCCGGCACAAAAUACUACGGGUGCUGGAAAAAAGUGAUAAAUUAUCAACUCAUAAAAAGGAAAAAAAAACAAAAUCAGCAACAAAAUUUGUUGCAAAAGAAUAGCUCUUAAAGCUUGGUCAGAUGGAAUUACCAUGGUCAGACGCAACCAAGCCCCCCGAAGGCGUAGCGAUGGUGCCGGUCAGCCAGGACCCCAAAAUGACGCGUGGCAUUAAGCCGGCCAAGUGGCAUUGCUAUGGUUCGGGUUCGACCAAAGCCCCCAAAUGACUCUAGGCCCGGAGGCCGACCAAGAGGCGUGACCGGUUCAGACGUGACCGUGUACCCAAAUGAUUCUAGUGGCUUUCGCCGACCAAGUGGCAUUGCAUCGGUUCGGACACGACCGAGCCCCCAAAUGACUCUAGGCCCGUAGGCCCACCAAGAGGCAUUGCAUCGGUUCAACAUGACCGAGCCCCCAAAUGGUUCUAGUGGCUUUCGCCGGCCAAGUGGCAUUGCAUCGGUUCGGACACGACCGAGCCCCCAAAUGACCUUAUAAAGAUAGCUAUGUUCUCUUUGGUUCGAACACGACCUAUGUUUGAACAGGAAGCUUCAAUCGAUCUUUGUUAAGAUGGGCACGGGGUAAACCACACAUGAUAUAAGAAAGCAGAUACCCCGCUUUAGCUGAGGAUCCGGUUUAUUAUAAUAUAUACACUGUCAUGAUAUGUACAUAAGCAGAGCCCAUGGCUCAAGUAUAGUAAGGUCGGAGAUGAGCUAUGUUCCACGGCCUAUCAGUCUCCUGCCCUGAUUUGCGUGAGUCUUUAUGCUCUCGAACAUCUAUCAGGUAGUAUGAUCCGUUGUGCAGAUUCUUGCUAAUCACAAAAGGCCCUUCCCAAGGUGGAGAUAACUUAUGCAUCUCGGUUUGAUCUUGAAUAAGUCGAAGCACCAAAUCUCCUUCCUGGAAAGCUCUGGUCCUGAUCCGACGACUGUGGUAGCGACGAAGGUCCUGUUGGUAAAUCGCCGAGCGGGCGGCUGCUAUGUCUCGCUCUUCAUCCAGCCGGUCCAAAGCGUCCUGUCGAGAGCUUUCGUUGUCCGCUUCAACAUACGCCGCAACACGGGGCGAAUCAUGAUGGAUAUCACUAGGAAGAACCGCCUCUGCCCCAUAAACCAUGAAGAACGGUGUAAAUCCAGUUGAUCUGUUCGGAGUAGUGUUGAUGCUCCAUAACACAGAGGGUAACUCCUCGACCCAACAACCCGGCGUUCGCUGCAAAGGAACCAGAAGCCGGGGUUUAAUACCUCUCAAGAUCUCCUGAUUAGCUCUUUCUGCUUGUCCAUUGGACUGCGGGUGCGCUACUGAUGAUACAUCAAGGCGGAUGUGUUCACGCUCACAGAAAUCCUUCUUGGCACCUUUAGAUAAAUUGGUACCAUUGUCUGUGAUGAUACUGCGGGGAAAACCAAACCGGAAAAUCACUUUCUUGAUGAACUGAACCACGGUGGCCGCAUCACACUUGCUAACAGGCUCUGCCUCUACCCACUUUGUAAAUUUAUCAACCGCCACCAGAAGGUGGGUCUUCUUGUCCUUGGACCUUUUGAAAGGCCCGACCAUAUCCAGCCCCCAGGUUGCAAACGGCCAAGUAAUUGGAAUCAUCCUCAAUUCUUGAGCCGGAACAUGAGCACGUCUUGAGAAUUUCUGACAACCGUCACAUCGUCUGACCAGACCCUCCGCAUCAGCAUGAGCAGUCAGCCAGUAGAAACCGUGACGGAAUGCUUUUGCCACUAAAGACUUUGAACCGGCAUGGUGACCACAAUCUCCCUCAUGGAUCUCUCGCAAUAUUUCACGGCCUUCCUCAGGAGAUACGCACCGUUGAAAUGCCCCUGUCAUACUGCGAUGAUGUAGCUCACCGUUUUCAAUUACCAUGGACUUAGACCGCCGCACAAUUUGUCUAGAAAAAGUCUCGUCCUCUGGUAACUCGCCUCGGUUCAUGUACGCCAGAUAAGGAAGCGUCCAAUCCGGGAUGACAUGUAACGCCGCCACCAAUUGAGCCUCCGGGUCAGGAACCGCCAAAUCUGCUUCGCCAGGGAGAUGAACCGAUGGAUUGUACAGCACAUCAAGGAACACAUUAGGUGGCACCGGUUUACGUUGCGAACCAAGUCGGCUUAAAGCGUCUGCCGCCUCGUUCUUUCGUCGGUCCACAUGGUCCACUUGAUACCCUUUGAAGUGACCUGCAACCGUAUCAACCUCACGGCGAUAAGCAGCCAUGAGUGGAUCUUUAGAAUCCCAUGUACCAGACACCUGUUGGGCCACCAGAUCAGAGUCGCCAAAGCACUUAACCCGGCUUAAAUUCAUCUCCUUAGCUAUCCGGAGACCAUGGAGCAAGUCCUCAUACUCCGCUGCAUUGUUAGUACAAGGGAACAUUAAACGGAGAACAUAACAAAACUUGUCACCUCGUGGGGAAGUUUAUAUGACUCCAGCCCCCGAGCCUUCUAAUUGACGUGAUCCGUCAAAAUGAAUAGUCCAAUAUGUGUGAUCCGGCUUCUCUUCAGGGACCUGUACUUCAGUCCAAUCAUUGAUGAAAUCCACCAAUGCCUGAGACUUGAUUGCCGUGCGAGGUACAUAUUUUAAACCGUGCGGCCCAAGCUCAAUAGCCCACUUGGCAAUCCGACCAGUUGCUUCCCGGUUUUGGAUGAUAUCCCCCAAAGGAGCAGAACUGACCACCGUGAUAGGAUGCCCUUGGAAAUACUGCUUCAGCUUCCGACUUGCCAUAAAAACUCCAUAUACCAGCUUCUGCCAAUGCGGAUAUCGCUGUUUGGACUCAAUAAGCACUUCGCUGAUAUAAUAAACCGGACGCUGAACCGGGUAUUCUUUGCCUGCCUCCUUCCGUUCUACCACAAUAGCCACACUGACCGCGCGCACAUUAGCAGCAACGUACAACAGCAAUGGUUCCUUCUCAAUGGGAGCGGCGAGCACGGGCGGAUUGGCCAACUGUCGCUUUAGAUCCUCGAACGCCUGAUCCGCGGCGGAAUUCCGGACGAACUGAUCCGUCUUCUUCAACAAUUGAUACAAAGGAAUUGCCUUCUCUCCGAGGCGGCUGAUAAACCGACUCAGUGCAGCAAUUCGGCCUGCAAGACGUUGGACGUCAUUAAUGCACUUCGGUUUAGCAAGAGAGGUAAUAGCUGUGAUUUUUUCUGGAUUGGCCUCAAUUCCCCUGUUGGACACCAGGAAACCCAAUAACUUGCCAGCUGGUACGCCAAAAACGCACUUGGCCGGAUUGAGCAUCAUCUUAUACGUCCUGAGGUUAUCAAAGGUCUCCUUCAAAUCAGCAACCAAUGUCUCCUUCUUCCUUGAUUUGACCACAAUAUCAUCCACAUAGGCAUGCACGUUGCGGCCAAUCUGUUCAUGGAGGCAAUUUUGCACACACCGUUGGUAAGUUGCCUGGGCACUCUUGAGCCCAAAAGGCAUAGACACAUAGCAGAAGGCUCCAAAGGGAGUAAUGAACGCCGUCUUCUCCUGGUCCUUAACUGCCAUUUUUAUCUGAUGAUAGCCGGAAUAGGCAUCCAAAAAACACAAACGCUCACAACCCGCCGUAGCAUCAAUGAUCUGAUCAAUACGGGGGAGGGCAAAAGGGUCUGUAGGGCAAGCCUUAUUUAAAUCCGUAUAAUCCACACACAUGCGCCAAGUGCCGUUCUUCUUGAGAACCAGCACUGGAUUAGCAAGCCACUCGGGAUGGAAAACUUCCACGAUGAAGCCAGCUGCUAAAAGCCUGGCCACUUUUUCUCCAAUAGCCUUUCUUCUCUCCUCGUUGAACCGACGGAGGUACUGUUUCACCGGUUUAUACUUAGGAUCCACAUUAAGUGUGUGCUCAGCGAGUCGCCUCGGUACACCUGGCAUGUCUGAGGGUUUCCAUGCAAAGAUGUCCCGAUUCUCACGGAUGAACUCGAUGAGCGCGCUUUCCUAUUUCGGAUCCAGAUUGGCACUGAUGCUGAAUUGCUUGGACGGAUCACCAGCUUCAAAGUCAACCAGCUUGGUUUCUGCGACUGAUGUAAAUUUUAAGGCCGGAUCAUGCUCUGUAGUAGGUUUCUUCAAAGGGGUCAUAUCAGUCGGAUCAACAUUAUCUUUGUAAUAUUUGAGCUCCUCAGUGGCACAAACCGACUCUGCAUAGGCAGCAUCUCCUUCUUCACACUCCAAAGCGAUCCUGCGGCUUCCGUGAACCGUGAUGGUCCCCUUGUGACCCGGCAUCUUGAGCUGCAGAUACACAUAACAGGGCGGUGCCAUGAAUUUGGCAUAAGCCGGCCGACCAAACAAGGCAUGGUACGGGCUUUGAAUCUUUACCACCUCAAAGGUCAGUGUUUCUGAUCGGGAAUCAUGAUCAUCUCCGAAAGCUACCUCCAAUGCUAUCUUGCCCACAGGGUAUGCAGACUUGCCCGGUAUUACGCCAUGGAAAACCGUAUUUGAAGGCCGUAGAUCUUUAUCCCCGAGCCCCAUACGCCGAAAGGUUUCAUAAUACAGUAUAUUGAUACUGCUACCCCCGUCCAUGAGCACCUUGGUGAACUUAUAGCCUCCCACCUGAGGUGCCACCACCAGAGCCAGCUGACCCGGAUUAUCCACCUGAGGAGGGUGAUCCUCUCUACUCCAUGUGAUUGGCUGUUCCGACCAUCGUAAGUACCGAGGCACGGCCGGUUCAACAUUGUUAACUGCCCUUUUCCGGAUCUUCUGGUCCCGCUUGUCCGAGCUAGUGGUGAAUACAUGAUAUUGGCCACUAUUUAACUGUUUCGGAUUACUCUGGUAACCCGACUGCUGCUGCUGCUGCCUAUAGCCCCCUUGGUCAUUCUGGUUAUGCCGAUUAUCCUGUCCGUUCGGAUUACCAUGCCUGUUCGGAUUACUGUUAAACCCUGAACCGGAAUUUCCUCCACCGUGGUUUGGCCCUGAUCCAGAACCGCCACCAGGAUUAUGAUCAUACCGAAAAGCAUUGGAAUUCUUAAAUUUCCGCAUGAUAUAACAAUCCUUCCACAGAUGGUUUGCUGGUUCCUCCGUUGUUCCAUGCUUUGGGCAGGGUUGAUUCAAUAAAAUAUUCAGGCGCUCCGGGUUGGGACUGGGCCCGCCACCGCGGCCUCUGCCCCUGCGCUGUCGGCCCCGGUUCUGUAUGUUGGUGUUAGCCACGAAAUCCAUGUUGCCAUCCUCUUUACGCUUGCUUCCGCUGCUGCCCCCUGGGUGGUACUGCUGACCUUUGGAGUUGCCGUUCUUCUUUCCCUUCCCUGCCUUUUCAUCAUCAGACACGGGAUCCUUGGUACUAUCAGAAUCAGCAUACUUUACCAAAGCGGCCAUAAGAGUCCCCAUGUCGGUGCAAUGGCGCUUCAUUCGUCCCAACUUCAAUUUUAGGGGCCCAAACCGACAAUUGCCUUCCAAAGUUACCACUGCCGUGUCCGCAUUGAUGCGGUCUGACGAGUGCAAGAUUUGUGAGACGCGGCGUACCCAAUGUGUGGUUGACUCUCCUUCCGCCUGGAUGCAGGCAGUCAAAUCCACUAUCGACAUGGGCUGUUCGCACGUGUCCUUGAAAUUAUUGAUAAACCGAGCUCGCAACUAGGCCCAUGAACCGAUGGUAUUGGGUGGCAGGCUCUUCAACCAAGUGCGGGCCGUUCCCUCAAGCAUCAUAGUGAAAUACUUGGCACAUGCAUCUUCAUCUACGUCAAGCAUCUCCAUAGCCAUCUCAUAGCUCUCCACCCACGCCUCCGGGGGUUGAUCCGCUGUAUAGUUCGGCACCUUGCGCGGCCCUUUGAAGUCCUUAGGGAGGCGCACAUUGCGCAAAGCUGGGAUAAGGCAAGGCACCCCCAAAGCGCUGGAAGUAAGUCCCGGUUCAACUGAGGUGAUAGGACGAACCGGCGGAAGGGUUUGAUGCUGUGCUACUAACUCGGCUUCUCUGCGCGCGCGGGCCCGGUCCACCAAUUCCUGGGCAUCCGGGGCCGGAUUGUUGCCACGGGGUACACCACGCCGUGCAUUGCUGGAUUCAGCCUGCUCUUCCAUGUGCCUGCUAUAACUCCGGUUUGGACGCGGAGUAGAAUGAAUUCACUCGCGGCUGUACGAGUACCUCUCCUGCUGGGCCAGCGCCGUUCUUAGAAGCUCCUUGACCCGGCGCGUUUCUAUUGCCUGUAACGAAUCUCCCUCGAUCGUAAUAGCCUCCAGACGCGCCGCCGCAGCAACCAAAUUAUCCAACGGGUUGGAGUAGUAAUCCGGAGGUGUGGUCACAAUCCGUGGCUCUGGGUUAGGAGGGGGUAGAUCUUCCCCACGGGGUUGAACCGGCGCACCUGUACCGGGUACCGCAGGUCGGUUUACUACUGGCUGAUUGCUGGUGCCUGCUCCAGGAGUAUUAAAAAGAUCCCUUCCUUCAAAUACCGACGGUAAACGAGAUCGGUAUUUCCUCUUCAUGACUUCCUGUGAAGCGUUCUGAUCCAGCAUGAGCUUAUAAGCUUGCGCGUCCAAAGCGGCCCGCUCGGCGGCCAUCCUGACUUCUUCCGCUGCCAAAUCCGCUUUAUCCUGGUGAAUCUGUUCUCUCACCUUUGCAAUCUCUGCACUAUGGGCAUCCUGAUCCAUCGGGUUAACCUCCGCCAUGAGCGCAGCUAACGCAUCGAACAGAUCGGAUAGUACUUGAGCCGGUGGGCGCGCAGGGCCUCCUGCCCCGGCAGCCGCUGUACUGGAAACCAUUGCUGCUGUUGUUGAUGAGUGAGGUGCUGCCUGGGUACCGGCCAUGAAUAUACCGACCCGGCUGGGCAGAUCAGAAGGGUCCGGAAUACUGUCGCCAUCGGAACAGCCCCCAAUCUGACCCUCUUGCACUUGAUAAAGAGACUCAGUUUCCCCGGUUGACGACUCAUCACCGGAGUAGACAACGGUUUCGUCGUCGUAAGCCGAUCUCUCCUCAUAACUUCCUCCGUGGAUGACUCCCACAAAGGCACGCUUCACGGAUGGCUUAACCCGGGCAGGUCGCGCACGCUGAGCUGUCUCGAUGAGGUCGGUGCAGGUGUCCAGCUCAGGGCCCGGUUCACCAAUCUUGCCGAUGAAAACGUGUAUUCCACCGAAGGGGACCCGGUACCCGUACUCGAUUGAGACGGCCUCGGGGCCCCAGCCUGCGUCGUCGAUGUAGAUCUUGCCGCGACGACUCUUGGUCAUCCGGCCCACGGCGUAUCCCUUGAGCCCUUCGAAGCAGCCCUCCGAGAACUCGAAACCAUCGUGCGAUAGCCCCACGGUGGGCGCCAACUGUCGUGGGUUUGUCACGGCAGAUGUCCUAGCCAAAGGACUUAGUCGUGGAGCCAUCGCUACGGGUUAACUCGAAGGGGUUAAAGCAACACAAAGGACACAGGUAGUUUAUACUAGUUCGGCCCCUUCGAUGAAGGUAAAAGCCUACGUCUAGUUUGUGAUGGGAUUAACGAAGUCUCGAUGACUAGGGAGCAAAUCGCUUCACCUAGGCCUCGAGCUGUGGUUGUCUGUCCUUCAACCGCUAUCGGGCCGUCCCCUUAUAUACACGGGCGACGCCCGUCGGUCCCCAGAGUCCCAAUCCCCGGUUCAUAUUCAUACCGGGUUGGUCUCUCCUUAUUCCUAACUUAUAAUACAAGUUUACAUACAAUCCGGGUUAUAGUUACAAAUACUAAACCGAUAACGGUCUUGGGCCUCUACAUAGCAUCUUGGGCUUCAACAUCCUGGAACUGCUGAUGAAGCUAACCCGGCCCAGGUGGGUCGGUUUACGCCCAGUAGUAAUAUCCCCAACAAUAGGGAAAAUAGAAAGUAUGACGCAUGAUCUUUGAUAAGAUAUUGCCUCGUUAAAAACCAUUAUGGGAAACUUUGAGAGAAAACUCAUAAGGGAAAAGAGUGCGAUAUGAUAUGCCAUUGAAAACUCCUUUAAAACCCAGUGGGAAAAUAUAAGGAGAAAAUGAUAUGACAUAUACGGGCACUUGUGUUUAUAUUGUCUCGUUAAAAACCUUUAUGAGAAACCAUUAGGGAAAAACUCAUGAUGGGAAAAAGAGUACAAUAUAUGCAAUCUUAGGUUUGUUAAUAGGUUAUAGAUUUUGGGAGAUUUCUCCCCCUGAACUUUGCAAAUCUGGAGAAUGUGUAAUACGAUUCCAUUGAUAUGAUCAUGACAUCAUGAAUAUUAUGUAGGACUUUCAAAGUAUGUUGUUUGCAUAUUGUUUCCUCACUUGUCUAUAAUUUGUGAGGAUAAGUUAUUUUGAGCAAUGUGAUUUAUGAUAUUGCUUUUCAUAUAACCUGUAGGUAUUGAGUAACACAAGUGGUAGUGUCUUGAUAAAUCAAUUUAUGUGAUUCUGAUGAAUCUCAACCACAUGAUUUUGAGUGUGGUUAAUCAUUCUGUUGUGCCAUGCAUAUUUUGCAAUGCUUUUAGAUAAAGCAAUUAUGUCAGAAUGAUAACUGGAAAUAGCCAUUAAAGCCCAUUUAGAUGACUUCCAUAUGAAGGCUAUUCCCGCAAAUUCAGUCAUUGAUAUGGCAUUGUUGGGAUCAAAGAAAGAGCCAAUAUCAUUAUAUCAUAUCAUGGUCAUAUCUUGUAUUUCCUGAUGGAAAUAUCCAAGAUUUAUUGUGAGCUUGAGAUAUAAGCUAAUAUUUCUUAUACCGGCCAUAUACCUUUUGUUGGGGGUUGCACUAUGAACAAAGAUAACAAAUAUAGUGUCAGGCCUGACGUAGUUUGCAAUUAUGAGUACUUUGUCAUUGGUGAGAUACAUAACUUCAUGUCCUGAUAUGACUUCAUUAUCACCCUUAGGUAUGAAUGGAUUUGUACCCUAUCAGGGGUAGUAUAUAUGACCAUAUUACACGUCUUUUAUUGGUAUGAUAUAUCCACAUUGAACUUCUCGUAUAUGUUUUGGAUAUAUGCAGACUGAUAUGUAUUCUUGAGAGAAUGCUCAAGUUGAAAACUUAAGCUAAAUUUGGUUGAUUCCAAAUUUCCCGUCUUGAGAUGAUUUUGUGCAUGUUUAGGUCUUGUAUAGACAUUGAUGAUGAGGUCAUCAAUAUACACUGAGGUGAUGAAAGUAAAUCAAAUUUAUUCCUUAUUAAACAUGUAAAUAAUCAUCAUUAUUUGAGUAAUCCUUUCCAAGAAGGAACUCAUUUAGUCGGUAGUACCAUAUGAUUUUCGACUAUUUCAAGUCAUAGAGUGACUUAUAAAGUUUUACACAAAACUUGUUGCGAUUUGCUUUUGGAUUCAGAAGUAUAAGCCCUUCAUGGACUUCAAUAUAGAUUUCUGAAACGAGUGACUCAUAUGAGUAUGUAGCCACUUCAUCCAUCAACUGCAUGGAUAAUUUUAUUAUUUUAUUGCCAAUGUUAUUUAGUAUCGAAACAUAAUUCCACUCAUACCAAGCGGGUAUGUUACAUCGUAAUCGAUGUCGGGUCUCUGCGUGAACCCUUUUGCUACAACCCUCGCUUUCUCACCACCUCAUUGACUUUGUUCAUGAAUGAGAAGUUUUUAGUAUUUCAUAUGGAAGAUACUUGUGAGGAGUAGGUAUUACUGCGGUAAAUACCACUCGUUUGCAGAGCGAGUGCUAUCCUUCAUUACUUGCUUCCUUUUUAUGUGAACCAAUAUGAGUGCAAGAGGCACUCUACCAUGGAUUUUGGUUCUGGGCCCAAAAGGUUAUAGCAAUUUGAGAAGAAAUAUAUGUCGACAAAUGUAGUCUUUAGUUUAUAUGAUUCUGAUGGAAUCAUUGAAGUUUGUGGAUAAAUUACUUACUCCUUUUUAACUCCUUGUGAUUUCCUACAACAAAUGGAGUCAAGGUGUUUCAAUGUCCCGGCACCAAAACAUUUGUGCACAUUUAUGCCGGGCAUUGGAUGAUGAGCAUCCAGGGAGGUGUCUUUCAACUUGAUGUUGAAUUACAUUUACUAGUUGAGGAUGUGAUUUCCUCUGUUUCCGCGGAAGCAUAUGAGAAGUUAUAUCUCGUAUUAUCAGAUUUUCUCCCCCUCUUGCUCUCAUUUGGGGAGAAGAGUGGUUUAUCAGGUACCUCCACUCUUCUGACACUUACUGCAGGAAUAUAGAAUUUAGUGACACCUUGUCAUCAGUAAAUGUAUGUGGCAAAUUUGCAAUGUGUUGCAAAUAUAUGAUUCUCUAAACUUCUAGUUCAGAUUCUUUGAGUACGUGGAUAUAAGGAUUGAAUAUCAAUAACAUUUCUAAUUUAUUUCUCAGCAUUUUUGGUGGUACUUAUCUCCCCCUAAUGCCAGAAAAUAUCCUUAUUGCUGAUGCAAUCAGCAUACGGGCUAUGAAUAAUUUUGAUUGACGGAUAAAUUGUUAUUCCUCACAUAGAUCCCUAAUUUUCUGUGAGUGCCCGUUGAUGUAAGCUGGAGUGGUGAUAUCGGUAUGUAACCGAAUUAUCGCAGAUGGGAAAUACUUUGUUGAUUUUCACGUAGUAACUACAAGGGGAAAGUAGUAUGAUAUGCAGUUGGUAUGAUUAAGAUCAUACUUACGGUGUGCUAGGCCGUAUGUGUCCAACAAGAGGCUGGUGAUACGUCCAAAACGUAUCUAUAAUUUCUGCUUGCUCCACGCCUCUUUUGGGUGAUAUUGCUAUGAUAUUUAUACACUUCCAUACACUUUUGAUCAUAUUUGGACUAACCUAUUAACUCAGUGCACCCCAGUGCCAGUUUCUGUUUUCUGCUGUUUUUGUAUUUCAGGUUUUUCCAUUACGAAAACUGCCAGAAAAAUUCCGGAAAAAAUAUAUAAAAAAUCAGCGUUCAGGAAGCUUCCAGGACCCCGAAGGAGAGCCGGAGGGGGGCCACCAGGGCUCCAGGCGCCCUGGUGGCGCGGCCCCCCUCCUGGCCGCGCCGAGGGGGCGCCUGGGCCCCCCAGGACUCCUCUGACGCUACCCUGUGGCCUAUAUUUAACACACGUCCCGAAACCCUCGAGACGGGAACCCUUUUUCGCGAUCUCAUCUCUGUUCCGCCGCCGCCGCGCUUCCAAGAUCGGGAGCGCCAGGAGAACUCUUCCCGGCACCCUGCCGGAGGGGAGGAUCACCACCGGGAGCUUCUCCACCACCAUGGACGCCUCCCGGAUGAUGCGUGAGUAGUCUCCCUUGGACCAUGGGUCCAUGACCAGUAGCUAUGUGAUGUUCUCCUCCCCUUCUUGUGCUUCACUAAUUAGACCUCGUGAGCUGCCCUACAUGAUCGAGGCACAUAUGUAAUCCUUAUGCUGUUGCUAUGAUGAGUUUGCUGGGAUCCGAUGGAUUGUGAGAUUAUAUUCAGAUUGUGUUUGAGUAAUAUAUUUGAUUUACCUCUUUUAUAUUUAUGUUCAUAAGUAAUUCUUGCAUGUUCUCCGUUGCUGUUUAUUGCUUUGGCCGAGUAGUAGGUAGUAACUCCAAGAGGGAACGUUAUGCUUGAUUGUGGGUUCAUGCCCCUCGAUGACUAGCUUGAGUGACAGAAACAUGAGUCUAGGGGAUGUGCUGUUGCCACAAGGGGGAAAACAACGGUGCUUGUGCCCGCGGGUGCAAGGAUUGUUUACUUUACGCAGAGUUAUUUUAAUGCAGUUGUCUAUUGCUUUGAGUUUACACUAUGGGUGGGGCUCGCAACUUAAUACCAGCGAGAUGUUCUGGAUAGAUAUUUCAAGGUGGAUGAUUAGUAGUAGAUGCGAUUUCGGUCUACUUACCUUGGCGUACUGCCCAUGCUUUGAACCUCUACCUUUCUUGCAAUAUAGUUAGCAUUGGUUUGCGCACAUAAUUCUGUCAAUUGCCCAGCUGUAAUUUGUUUACCUCACAUAGCCGUUUUAUCGUCUUUUGGGAGAGAGACAUCACUAGUGAACAUCAUGGCACCCCGGUCCAUAUUACUAUCAUUGAUCACAUCGCUAUUUACUUUCCGCUUUUACUUACUAUUUGCAGCAAUACCUAUCACUAUUAUCACUUGCGUUUGAUCCUUUGUAAACGACAAGGCCGGAGGUAUUGACAACCUCUCUGUACUCGUUGGGAACAAAGUUAUUUGUAUCUGCGUGCAGGUCCACGUUGAUUGAUAAUACACGGUGCCGUUAGCGAUUGACACCUUCUUGUUGAAACUGGGAGUCUCAGGGGAUUCGAUCCUUGGUAUCUUUGCCAAGGGAAACACUUACGCUACACUGCAUCUCAAACCUUCCACUUGGGGUAACCAACGAGGAGCGAGAAGCUAGCAAGGGUAUUUCUGGCGCCGUUGCCGGGGACUCCACUCUUCGAGAUAGGGGAGUUGCAUACUAUCUUUUACCUUUGUUUUAGUCUUGUUAGUUUACCUUUCAGUUUUUGCUUUAGUGUCCUUUAUCGAAAAUCACAAAAAUAGUUAUCUUGCUUACUUGCUGCUAUGGGUUCCACCGAGAACACCAAGUUGUGUGACUUCACGAGUCAUAACAACGAUGACUUUAUCUGCACACCCAUUACUACACCUGCCACUUCAGCACCUUCUUAUGAAAUUAAACCUGCUCUACUAAACUUAGUCAUGAAAGAUCAAUUGUCCGGUGCUGGAGAUGAUGCUGCUUUACACUUAAACAAUUUUGUUGAACUUUGUGAUAUGCAAAAGUACCAAGAAAUAGAUGGUAAUAUUGUUAAGCUUAAGCUUUUUCCCAUCUCCUUGAGAGGAGGAGCUAAAAUUUGGUUUCAAUCUUUGCCUAGAAAUAGCAUAGAUUCAUGGGACAAGUGCAAAGAUGCUUUUAUUGGAAAGUACUAUCCACCUGCUAAAAUUAUCCAACUAAGAAGUAACAUAAUGAAUUUUAAACAAUUGGAUAAUGAACACGUUGCCCAAGCUUGGGAACGCAUGAAAUCUCUUGUCAAGAACUGCCCUACUCAUGGUUUGACUACUUGGAUGGUUAUCCAAACUUUUUAUGCAGGCUUGAACUUUACCUCGCGGAACUUGUUAGAUUCGGCCGCGGGAGGAACCUUUAUGUCAACUACACUUGGUGCUGCCACAAAGCUACUCGAUGAGAUGAUGACCAACUAUUCCCAAUGGCACACCGAACGCGCUCCAACAGGUAGGAAGGUAAACUCUGUCGAGGAGAUUUCCUCCCUAAAUGAAAAAGUUGACUUGAUUAUGUCUCUACUUUCGAAGCAAUCUUCUGUUGAUCCUCGUGAUGUUCCUUUAAAUUCUUUGAUUGCUCAAGAACAAGUAGAUGUGAACUUUAUCUCUAGAAACAAUUUCAAUAAUAAUGCUUAUAGGAGUAAUUUUGGUAGCAAUCCUAGACCAUUCCCCUCUAACUCUUAUGGGAACAACAAUGCUUAUCCUAGCACCAAGAACUCCACCCAAAAAGAUAGAGACUUGCCUGGUUAUGAGAAACUUCUAGAAAUAGAGAAGGCCACUAAGAAUUACAUGCACACCCAAUAUGAACAAAACAAAACCUUCUCGAGGCAAUUAAAUGAGCACACUGCUAUCUUGCAAGGCAUUAGUAGACAAUUGGAGAGCAUAAAUAUUGAGAUUUCUAACCUCCAAACUAGGCUCACUAUCACUGAGACCCAAGUUUCCAAUAUGUCCCACACACAAGCCACUUUGAUAAACCAAAUGGCAGCUAAACCCGAAGUGGUUGCACCCCUAAGGGAGGAAGAAGAUAGAAUUAAGAGCCUUCCUACCCACCACACUGUUGCUACUAUCCAAGUUGUUGAGGAUACCCAAACUCUUAGCACCCAACGCACUCCUGGUCCCAUUGGACCUAUUAAUGGUGAUGCUAUGAACAUAGAAACUACCAAACAAGUGAGCCUAAAGGACACCACUACCACUUUACUUGAUAGUAGUGACCUUGAUUUUGAUAAUUGCACUCUUACCGAAGUUAUUGAUUUCCUUCACAAGAUGUCUAGAGAUCCCCACACUAGCACGCUUAACCUUGCCUUCACAGGGCAUAUCACUAAUGCUCUCAUCAAAACUAGGGAGGAGAAACUUAGAGUAGAAGCCUCCAUUCCUAGAAAGCUAGAAGAUGGUUGGGAUCCUAUGAUUAAAAUUAAGUUGAAUAACUUCUCUUGCUAUGCUUUAUGUGAUGUUGGAGCUAGUACCUUCGUUAUGCCCAAAAGAAUAUAUGACAUGCUUAAACUGAAACCUUUUGAUUCUUGUUCUUUUGGUGUUCGUUUUGUUGAUUCUUCCAUAAAGAAACCUUUGGGGGAGGAUCGAUGAUGUUCUUAUUGUUGUCAAUGAUAAUUAUGUUCCCGUUGAUUUUACUAUUAUGGACAUUGAAUGUGAACCUUCUUGUCCAAUUAUUUUGGGACGUCCUUUUCUUCGCACCGUUGGUGCCAUCAUUGACAUGAAAGAGGGGAAUAUAAGAUUCCAAUUUCCUCUCAAGAAAGGGAUGGAACACUUCCCUCGAAAGAAGAUUAAGUUACCGUUUGAGUCCGUUACACGGGCUAGCUAUUCUCUUACUCUUGAUAAGACUUGAUCUCUAUGCAUUAUGCCUAGCUUAAAGGCAUAAAAGAAAGCGCUUUUGGGAGGCAACCCAAAUGAAUAAAAUUUUAUUUUGCUUUUGUUGUGUCUUGAUGUUGUUACUACAGUAGCAUCAUCAUUGUAUCUUUACUUUUCAGCUUUGUGCCAGGUGUAGCCUCUGAUUGCAGGAAAGAUCAAGAGUUGUGACGUGCUGUCCAGGAAACAGAUUCUGUCCUCGCACAGAAAACUUCGUAUAAAAUAACCAGAUCAUCUUUUUGGUCUGAAUUUUUUCCACAGCGUGCUCUAUACAAUUGUCUUUCAGGCGUCUGUUCUGAGUUUUUUGAUUGGAGUUGCAGAAGUGCCCCGAAAAAUUCAUUUACUGCCUGCUGGUCUGUUUUUCACAGAUUCUGUCCUGUUUUGCCUUUCCUUCAUUUUGCGAGCCUUGAGCUUGCUUUUUCUUUGCAAAAACCUUAUGGCAAUCUAGAGAAACAGUAUACUUUCAAUAAUAUCCUUAUUUCCAGCAAGGAACAAUUAUACUAUUAUGGGUACUAACCUCGCUAAUCAGAUUAUGAUGAGUUAUGUAUGAAGGGAGUUUUCAAGUGUGCGAGGGAAGAUGAUGAAAAGAUUCAGGAGUGUCAAACGCUCAAGCUUGGGGUUGCCCCCAUGCACCCCCAAGAAAUAUUUAAGAAGACUCAAGCGUCUAAGCUUGGGGAUGCCCCCGUGCAUCCCCUUCUCCAUCGACAUUAUCAGUUCGUCUUUCGUUCCACUAUAUUUUUAUCACUUCAUGUGUUAUGUGCUAUGCUUGGAGCGUCUUGCUUUUAGUUUCCUUUUAGUUUUCUUUAUCUUUUAAUAACGAUUCGGAACUCAGCCUUCUUUAUGUGGGAGAGAAACACGCUCCACUUCUACCUAGAACAUAACAUGGAAUUUUCAUGUCUAUCUUUGCUGUGUGUGUUCUUUGUCUUUCAAUAGCUACUUUCAUGCUUAGCUCUUAGUUUUCAUGCUUAUAUUUUUAAAGAGCUUUUGUUUAGUUGGUUGCUUGAACUCUCUUUAUUAUCAUGAUUAUCUUAUUAAGAGAGUUUGCUUCUGUUGCAAUGGUUGAUAUGUCUAUGAUAAAGAUGCUACGUGCAUGAUGUUGCUUGGUAAUUCAUGUUUACUUAUGGUUAGUUUCAAAUAGCUGGAGGGUUUCCAAUGUGUUAUUGGAGUACCAACAUGAUUUGUUUGAAUAUGAUGUGGUAUGGUUUAGUGAUAUCUUCCUUCGAGAAUUUAUUUUGAUUGACUUGCCGUAUGCUCACGCAUAUUUAAGACUGUAAAGAAAGUCUGUCAAGCCUUGAUGAUCUUUUAUUUCUGAGUAGCGAUAUAACUUCCAUGCCUAAUUCAAUGUUGCUUUGUCGCUCUGCAUGAUUAUGGCCGUCAUUUCUCUCUUAGUUGGUCGCUCCCAGUCUUUUGCUAACCUUCGCCUGUACUAAGCGGACUGACUGCUUGUGCAUCCAAAUCCUUUAAACCAGUUAUGCCAUAUGAGUCCACCAUACCUUCCUAUACAUGGUAUUUACCUGCCAUUCCUAACGAAGACUUUCAUGUGCCAUCUCGAAAUUAUUCAAAUAAAUGCAUUCCUAUUUUGUGCCUCUGUUUUAGUUUAUGAGGAAGUAGUGGUUAAUUCAUGAUCUUUUUAAGUUGGACAAGCUUCACCCCGGGAUUGCAUGUAUAAUGUGCAACCCAUAAUAUGAGAAGGAAUUGGCAUAGAGUGCACCCGGCUCAUUAAAAAUUAAUAUAACAAACGAACCCUCCUUCACGCUUUGUUCAUGAGAAAUCAGAAAACUUUGGCAGUGAUAAACAAAGGAGAUUAAGAGGAUGUUAUGAUUCUCAUUCGGGAGCCAUUCCUCGAAACUUGUCCAGCUCAAGAAGUAAUUGGGUUAUCUGCUAGCAUUCGUUGACAAAACAUGCAUAUCCAAAAAAAUAAUUAUUACCUCUGUUUUUAAAACCAAGAGCUCUAGUACAUGCUUUGUCUUUGUUUCCGACUACGGGUUUUCAACCUUGCCAACAAAAGCCACGGUUCGAGAGUCUCCACCUUCUUUUAAAAAGCACCAACUACUGAGAGCAUGAUUGUCAUUCUGAGUGUAAUGUGCAUUGUCCCAAAGUAGCAUUGUCUUCUGCAUGAUUGUGAUAUCGUUUAUUCUGAAAUCAUUGUAUCUAGUCGUCACUUAAACCUUGGAGGUGCCCUUGCAUUUAUGUUUUGCUUCACUAAAGGGGGCAAGCGAGAUAUCACUUUAUCAUAUUUGCACACCAUGCUCAUUACAAAUCUAUUUGAUGUUUCAUUAUCAUGUUGAAAAACUUUUAGUUCUUUGAGAUUUUCUCAAGGCGACUUAAUUACUACAGAAUCAUUGUCUCUGUAAGCUUUUGUCAUUUGACUAUUAAAAAGUCAUAUAUGGUUAAUAGCAUGUCACCACAGAAAUUAUUCUUGUUAUCAUUUACCUACUCGAGGACGAGCAGGAAUUAAGCUUGGGGAUGUUGAUACGUCCAAAACGUAUCUAUAAUUUCUGCUUGCUCCAUGCCUCUUUUGGGUGAUAUUGCUAUGAUACUUAUACACUUCCAUACACUUUUGAUCAUAUUUGGACUAACCUAUUAACUCAGUGCACCCCAGUGCCAGUUUCUGUUUUCUGCUGUUUUUGUAUUUCAGGUUUUUCCAUUACGAAAACUGCCAGAAAAAUUCCGGAAAAAAUAUAUAAAAAAUCAGCGUUCAGGAAGCUUCCAGGACCCCGNNNNNNNNNNNNNNNNNNNNNNNNNNNNNNNNNNNNNNNNNNNNNNNNNNNNNNNNNNNNNNNNNNNNNNNNNNNNNNNNNNNNNNNNNNNNNNNNNNNNNNNNNNNNNNNNNNNNNNNNNNNNNNNNNNNNUUCCGCCGCCGCCGCGCUUCCAAGAUCGGGAGCGCCAGGAGAACUCUUCCCGGCACCCUGCCGGAGGGGAGGAUCACCACCGGGAGCUUCUCCACCACCAUGGACGCCUCCCGGAUGAUGCGUGAGUAGUCUCCCUUGGACCAUGGGUCCAUGACCAGUAGCUAUGUGAUGUUCUCCUCCCCUUCUUGUGCUUCACUAAUUAGACCUCGUGAGCUGCCCUACAUGAUCGAGGCACAUAUGUAAUCCUUAUGCUGUUGCUAUGAUGAGUUUGCUGGGAUCCGAUGGAUUGUGAGAUUAUAUUCAGAUUGUGUUUGAGUAAUAUAUUUGAUUUACCUCUUUUAUAUUUAUGUUCGUAAGUAAUUCUUGCAUGUUCUCCGUUGUUGUUUAUUGCUUUGGCCGAGUAGUAGGUAGUAACUCCAAGAGGGAACGUUAUGCUUGAUUGUGGGUUCAUGCCCCUCGAUGACUAGCUUGAGUGACAGAAACAUGAGUCUAGGGGAUGUGCUGUUGCCACAAGGGGGAAAACAACGGUGCUUGUGCCCGCGGGUGCAAGGAUUGUUUACUUCACGCAAAGUUAUUUUAAUGCAGUUGUCUGUUGCUUUGUGUCGGUGUCAAAACCGGCGGAUCUCGGGUAGGGGGUCCCGAACUGUGCGUCAAGGUCGGAUGGUAACAUGAGACAGGGGACACUUUGUUUUACCCAGGUUCGGGCCCUCUCGAUGGAGGUAAAACCCUACUCCUGCUUGAUUAAUAUUGAUGAUAUGGGUAGUACAAGAGUAGAUCUACCACGAGAUCAAGGAGGCUAAACCCUAGAAGCUAGCCUAUGGUUUGAUGAUGAAUAAUGAUUCUUCUUCUUCUUCUUCUUCCGUCCUACGAACUAAAACCCUCCGGUUUAUAUAGACACCGGAUAGGGUUAGGGUUACACAGAGUCGGUUGCCUUGGUAGGAGAUCCUGAAUAUCCGCACGCCUAGCUUGCCUUCCACGCCAAGGAAAGAAUCUUCCGUACACGGGACGAAUUCUUCUAUCCUGUAUCUUCAUAGUCCUGGAGUCCGGCUGAGAGUAUAGUCCGGCUAGCCGAACACCCCCUAAUCCAGGACUCCCUCAGCGGCCGAAGAGCGCACUAAACGAGAAAAGCUCGGAGGCUAAUACGGAGAGGUGCAGCAAAAGCUGCAAGCUCUCAUGGAAAAACAUGAGGGUUUGGAGCUUGACGUGAAAGCGCAAGCCACCGAACUCGCCUCUGCCGUUGAGGCCACCAAGAAUGCCAAGGCCGAAGCCCAUAGGGCCCUCCAAGAGUUGGAGGAUAUGAGGAAGAUAGCUGCGGGUAAGACAUUCUCGAUGCAAAGUAGGAACAUAAAAGUAAAAUACCUGUUACUUACCCGGAUCCGGAGUUCUCCAGGGGCGUUCUUCGAUCUACCCCGCAGUGCAUCCGACGCCGCCGCGUUCUUCCGGAGCGAAGGGAACAGCUCGACGGAGAGUGUGUUCUGGUCUCAGUAUUCUGAGGCUGGACACCCUGUGCCCUUGAGCGACCAGCUGAAGCAGCUGGCCGUGCUCCACAAGGCGGUCGAACAGGCCAUGAAGGGCUUACUAGUUCGGCCGUGGCCUGGAGAGGCCCUGCCAGGGAGCUACUUCGGGCUAGUGCGGCGGCUGGUGGAGGCCUGUCCGCGACUUGAGAUCAUCAAGCGCUCUGCCUGCAUUGAAGGUGCCCGGAGGGCCCUUGCCCAUGUAAGGGUACACUGGGGCAAGCUGGACGGCGAGAAGCUGGUGAUGGACGGUCCGCCGUAGGGGAAGGAACAUCGCAAGCCCGAGAACUACUAUAAGGAAGUUCUUGCCGGAUCCCGCCUUAUCGCGGAUGAAUGUACCCAUGAUGUAAUCUAUCAAUGAACUCGUUCGUUUCUAUCCUGUAUGCCGAAAACUUGUUCGUAUGCACUUUUAGCAAUGCUUUGAAUUUAAAAUAUUGUUUUCUGUGCGGCCGUUUAUCAAUAACUGAGAGAUGGCGAGUCGCCGGCUUCUGCCCUCAUGCAACUAGUGCUGAGGUGUUCGGGAUAAACCUGCGGGCUCUUGUUCCCAUAGUUGGGUCCUUCGAGGGAGGCCUGCAGCACAACGAACCAGGCAACCAGACUAUAAUGCUUGAACACUCUCACUUAGCCAUAGAACUUUAUAAUUUUAAAUUUCGGCGAAGCCCCUAGUUCGGAAGGCCGAAUUCGGGGCACUAUCCACACCUUUUAGCAUUUAACCAGCUCUCCAUUCAAAAACGGCAUAAGCCUUUAAGGGCUCGAAAAACCUCUCGAACAGCGACCGGUCUCACGCCCUAUCAUGACAGUCUGUUUUAGCUUUCUCCACUGAGGCGCUCACCCACCUGAUCUGGGGCGCAAUCGCAACGGUUCUCCUAGUGCUACCUUAGCCGAUAGAGCGGAACGUAAGGUACCAAAACAUAGGAGCCGGGCAAACCCAACAUAUGACCAAAAUCAUGACUCAGAGCCGAUGCAUAUAGUGCUAUAAGUUCGGGGUGCCGCACUUGGGAAAGUGUGCGGACUUCUCACGACCAGAUGAAAAGGGUGAUGAAGCCCCUGGCGUGGUUUGCCGUACCAUGGUGUACGGGUGCCAUCAUGUUAUGAAAUAAACAUAUAUAUAUAUAUAUAAAGAUUAUAAUGCAAAAAAUAGACUAAAGCUAUGCAUUGUUUAUAAGAAGGCUGUUUACUCAAGCCGAACGAUACAAUUAGUGCAAUAAGCGAAAAAUGUUUUAGACCAUAUGACAUGUCCUGACUAGGCGCAGGCCGUGGAAUUUAGAUACAGUUAUAUUGCUCGGAAUAGAGACCACCUGAGAGUUCCAUAAUGCGGCGUUGCUUUGUCUGCUUUCCUGGGUCUUGUAUCGUCUGUGUGGCAGCAUUGCCGAACAGGUUGUCCAGACUAUGGAGUCCUGAAAGUAGAAAAAAGAGAAAGAAUCCGGUAGCCCCUAGUGCGUUUGACGCCGUACUGUAGGCAUGCCGUCGAUGUGCCCCUUCCCCUAUGCCCAUGGAAUUUUAAGGGCGUACUUGUGUACUCUAGGUACUAGCUCUGCUAUGCAGCUAUGGCCAGGGUUGGGGCCGCUUUGCUACGCUUGCUCCGAACGCGCCAGUUGGUCUUGCUGCAGAUUGCUCCGGGCGCAUUUUGCACUGUCCGGAUUUUUAGCGUCCGGACUGGAGAGUUGCCUUAAAAGGCUGCUUUGAACCUCCGCUGCGAGUGCCGCUGUGUGCUCCUCCGUCCGGAUGGAGCGUUCGGUGUUUCCGCUGACCGUGAUUAUGCCACGAGGGCCUGGCAUCUUGAGAUUGAGAUAUGCGUAGUGCGGCACCGCGUUGAAUUUGGCAAACGCGGUUCGUCCGAGCAGGGCGUGGUAGCCACUGCGGAACGGUACUAUGUCGAAGAUUAACUCUUCGCUUCGAAAGUUAUCCGGAGAUCCGAAGACCACAUCAAGUGUUAUAGAGCCUGUACAGUUGGCUUCUACACCUAGGAUGACGCCUUUAAAGGUCGACCUUAUUGGCUUGAUCCUUGAUGGAUCUAUGCCCAUUUUCCGCACUGUAUCCUGAUAAAGCAGGUUCAGGCUGCUGCCGCCGUCCAUGAGGACUCUUGUAAGGUGAAAUCCGUCAACUAUUGGGUCGAGAACCAAUGCGGCAAAACCGCCGUGACGGAUGCUGGUGGGGUGGUCCCUUCGAUCGAAAGUGAUCGGGCAGGAGGACCAUGGGUUGAACUUUGGGGCGACUGGCUUCAUCGCGUAUACGUCCCGUAGUGCCCGCUUCCACUCCCUUUUGGGGAUGUGGGUCGCGUAUAUCAUGUUCACCGUCCGCACUUGUGGGGGAAACCCCUUCUGUCCUUUGUUGUUCGGCGGCCUGGGCUCCUGCUCGUCGUCGCUAUCCAGCCCCUUGUCUUUAUGUUCGGCAUUUAUCUUGCCUGCCUGCUUGAACACCCAACAAUCUCUGUUGGUGUGAUUGGCUGGCCUUUCGGGGGUGCCAUGAAUCUGGCACGAGCGGUCGAGUAUUCGGUCCAAACUGGACGGGCCCUGGUUAUUCUUUUUGAAUGGCUUCUUCCGCUGACCGGAUUUAUAGCCUCUGAAUCCGGCAUUUACUGCCGUAUCCUCAUUGCUGUCGCUGCUAACGCGGCGCUUUUGAUUAUGUCGACGUGACCUGCCACCUUUGUCCUUGUUAUCCGGAUUACCGGUUUUCUUUGAUAAGUUGUUGCUACGAGCUAGCCAGCUGUCUUCGCCCGCGCAAAAGCGGGUCAUGAGUGUCGUGAGGGCUGCCAUGGACUUCGGCUUUUCCUGUCCUAGGUGCCGGGCCAGCCAUUCGUCGCGGAUAUUAUGCUUGAAGGCCGCUAGGGCCUCUGCAUCCGGACAGUCGACUAUCUGAUUUUUCUUUGUUAAGAACCGUGUCCAGAAUUGCCUGGCCGAUUCGUCUGGCUGCUGAAUUAUGUGGCUUAGGUCAUCGGCGUCCGGCGGUCGCACAUAAGUGCCCUGGAAGUUGUCGAGGAAUGCGGCUUCCAGGUCCUCCCAAGAACCGAUCGAAUCUGCAGGCAAGCUGUUAAACCAAUGCAUGGCUGGUCCCUUAAGCUUGAGUGGGAGGUAUUUGAUGGCGUAUAGUUCGUCGCCACGUGCCAUGUGGAUAUGAAGGAGAUAAUCCUCGAUCCAAACUGCCGGAUCUGUCGUACCAUCGUACGAUUCUAUAGUGAUGGGUUUGAAACCCUCUGGGAUUUUAUGAUCCAUUACUUCGUCUGUGAAGCAUAGCGGGUGUGCGGCACCCCUGUACUGGGCUAUGUCAUUACGCAGAUCGGAAGAGCUGUGCUUGUUCUGUUCGGCCCGGCCGGAUUUAUGUUGUCCGGACUGAAAGUUUGGGCGUCCGCGCGAUCCGUAGAUCGAUCUUGUUUGCCUCACCUUAUCCUCCAGUACGUCUCGCAGGUCUGGCUCGUUUACCCGUGCCUUGGUAAAGCGGCGGCGGGGCAUGGCUUAUUUGGCUGUUCGGUAGGUUUCUCUGUCGCGGCCACGGGGUGGCCGAUCUGCCAUGUCUUGUGCUUCCUCCUCUGAUAGGGGGAGCGGCCUGUGCUUAGGAUAAUUUUUGGAGGGGCGUCCGAGUUCAUACUCUUCGGCCGCAAGGACUUCUGUCCAUCUGUCAGCUAGCAAAUCUUGAUCAGCUCUAAGCUGUUGUUGCUUUUUCUUUAGGCUGUUUGCUGUGGCUUUAAGCCUGCGUUGAAAACGCUCUUGUUCGGCGGGGUCUGAUGGUACGACGAAUUCAUCGUCUCCGAGACUUGCCUCGUCUUCGGAGGGAGGCAUAUAGUUGUCAUCCUCGACCUCUUGUUCUGCCGCCCUCUCAUGAGGGCUGGAUUCUCCAUCUUCCUGUGCCGAAUCUUGCUGGGGUUGGUGCUCUUCGGCGCUAUCCGGGGUAGUAUUUUCCCCUGUGCCGGAAUCACCAUUCUUGCUUUGGCGGGAUUUAGAGCGGCGCCGCUGACACCGGCGUUUGGGAGGCUUUCUAGAAGUGCCAUCCUCCGCUGUUCCAUCGCCAUCUCCGUCUUUCGGAGCGUCCACCAUGUAUAUGUCGUAUGACGAGGUGGCAGUCCAGCGCCCUACAGGUGCUGGCUCUUGUUCGUCUCCUCCUUCGUCGUCCAUACCGAUGAAGUCUUCGGAGCCGAAGUCAAGCAUGUUGGUUAAGUCGUCGACAGUGGCUACUAAGUGGGUGGUGGGCGGGCUUUGAAUUUCUUCGUCGUCCGAAUCCCAACCUCGCAGGCCAUAGUUCCGCCUGGGCUCCCCUGAUAAAGAGAGAGACUUAAGAGAGUUCAGUAUAUCACCGAAGGGUGAAUGCUGAAAAAUAUCCGCAGCGGUGAACUCCAUUAUAGGCGCCCAAUCUGAUUCGAUCGGCAGGGGCAAGGGAGUUUCGGAACUCGGGGAAGAGUCCGGCUCCUCGGAGUCAUGGGCCACGCGGAGUGCGGGGCUGUCGUUCGGCUCGAUCGCCUUUGAGAUCGCAGCCCCUGAGGUGACGUCCAACCGUUCAUCCUCAACGAACGCAACGGGCUCCGAAUCGAGAGUCGGGGCCGGAGCGUGUGCGGCCUCCAGGACACUAUUCGGGGGCAGAGCUAUAUCAUGUCCCUCGAGAUGGUGCGGCACGCUUGGCUGUGGAUCGAAUCCGUCGAAGAUCAAGUCUCCUCGGAUACCUGCCGUAUAGUUUAAAGUUCCAAACCUGACUUGAUGGCCAUUGGCGUAGCUUCCGAUCUGCUCCAGAUGGCCAAGGGAAUUGGCCCGCAGAGCGAAGCCGCCGAAGACGAAGAUCUGUCCGGGGAGAAAAGUCUCGCCCUUGACCUCGUCGUUGCUGAUGAUCAAAGGAGCCAUCGGACCCGAUGGCGACGACACAGAGGAACUCUCAACGAAAGCACCAAUGUCGGUGUCAAAACCGGCGGAUCUCGGGUAGGGGGUCCCGAACUGUGCGUCAAGGUCGGAUGGUAACAGGAGACAUGGGACACUUUGUUUUACCCAGGUUCGGGCCCUCUCGAUGGAGGUAAAACCCUACUCCUGCUUGAUUAAUAUUGAUGAUAUAGGUAGUACAAGAGUAGAUCUACCACGAGAUCAAGGAGGCUAAACCCUAGAAGCUAGCCUAUGGUAUGAUGAUGAAUAAUGAUCGUUCGUCCUACGGACUAAAACCCUCCGGUUUAUAUAGAUACCGGAUAGGGUUAGGGUUACACAGAGUCGGUUACAUUGGUAGGAGAUCUUGAAUAUCCGCACGCCUAGCUUGCCUUCCACGCCAAGGAAAGAACCUUCCGGACACAGGACGAAGUCUUCUAUCUUGCAUCUUCAUAGUCCUGGAGUCCGGCUAGCCGAACACCCCCUAAUCCAGGACUCCCUCACAAACACUCAAGGACUAUGGCGUCAACAUGAAGAAUGUGCCUCUCCUCUAUGACAAUGAGAGUGCCAUCAAGAUUGCUCACAACCCAGUUCAGCACUCGAAGACAAAGAACAUUCAGAUUCGUCAUCAUUUUCUUCGUGAUCAUGUGUUGAAGGGCGACAUUUCUAUUGAGCAUGUGAAGACUGAAGAACAGCUAGCUGAUAUCUUCAUAAAGCCUUUGGAUGAGAAGAGAUUUAGCAAGUUGCGGUGUGCGCUAAAUAUCUUAGAGUCUUAGAAUGUACUUUGAAAAAGGCACACAUCCUAACACUUAUGCAAAAUUGAUGACUUAGAUGUGCAACACAUAAAGAAACGUUUUUCUUCAAUCAAUGAAGAAUAACACUCUAAGUGUGAAGAAAUUAAUGAAGAAUUUGAUUCUCAGAACCCUACGACAAUUGUACGCGGUGUCUGAAAUCAUCAUUCUUAUACGGUGGGUCACGCCACCACCAAAGUUGAAAAUCUUCAAUUUGAGUUUUUCCUUAGUUUUUCAAAUUCUUCAACUUUGCAAAAUCUUCACUUGUUCGGUCGUUUUUCUUCAUUCGCUAUAUAUAUAUAUAUAUAUAUAUAUAUAUAUAUAUAUAUAUAUAUAUAUAUAUAUAUAUAUAUAUAAGUUUUUGCCCUCUACAACAUUCACUUAUAGCUAUUUUUUCGAGUUGGUUUUUCUGCUAAGUGAAUGUGAUCGGACCCUUCCCUCUCUGCUAUACUCAACCCAAUCUAUUCACAAAUUCUUCAUGUGCGUUCUAUUUGUAACUCGUUCAAAAUCUUUACUGUGUCCCUGUCAGCUGAAGAAAUUGCGAACGGAUCGUUAAAACUAAUCUUAUCCAAAGUUUCGGUUUUGCCACUCAAACCGUUCCGCAUCCCACGAUACAUUAUUCUACUCACCCACGAUCUUACACGAUCUUCACUACACUAUACGUGGGUGACACAUGUAGUGCGAAGGAGAAGUGUCAGGGGCAUGUUCGUCCCAAAAUCUUCGGGCGAGCAGUUUUUCACCGUGGCUAUAAAUACCCCCGUCCCCUUCCUCACUUCCUUUACUCCGCUCGAACUCCCUCUCCCGCUCGAGCUUCCCAAACCCUAGCGCCGCCGCUACUCCAUCGUCGCCGGUGAGGAAGAGCUUCACUGCCUCGACCUCGUCGCCGUCGUACUCGCGCCGACCGCGGAAAUCUUCACUCCGCCGCCGCCGUAGACGUCUUCCUCUGCCAAGUUAGGUCGUGGAAGAUCUACACCAACGAAAUUCACUUCUCCAUCUCUGUGUUCAUCGUGUUCUUCUUUCAGGCUUAAUAAAAGUUACUUUUACUGCCCUCUUUGAUUGGAAAGUUUUCUACAAAAUCUUCAAGGGUGUUUUAUUCUUCAAUCCUCACACACAAAACACCUCACAAGUCAUGUGUUAUUGAUUCGUUUCUCUAUGCAUCAUUUUUCUUCAAGAUUCCUCAAUUGUGUGGAUCUUCGAUCUAUACAACUCUGGAACCUAAGACAAAGCACGCUUAGUGAAAUUCUUCAAGAUUCAUCUGGUCAAAUUCCUCAAACUUGUUCUCUUUGGAAAACCCUCUGAGAACGCAUAUGACCUAUCCAAAUUCCUCGCAACUAUAUGAAGGAAAUAUGCCCUAGAGGCAAUAACAAAGUUAUUAUUUAUUUCCUUAUAUCAUGAUAAAUAUUUAUUAUUCAUGCUAGAAUUGUAUUAUUCGGAAACAUAAUACUUGUGUGAAUACAUAGACAAACUAAACGUCACUAGUAUGCUUCUACUUGACUAGCUCGUUAAUCGAAGAUGGUUAUGUUUCCUAACCAUAGACAUGUGUUGUCAUUUGAUUAUCGGGAUCACAUCAUUAGGAGAAUGAUGUGAUUGACAUGACCCAUUCCAUUAGCUUAGCACCCGAUCGUUUAGUAUGUUGCUAUUACUUUCUUCAUGACUUAUACAUGUUCCUAUGACUAUAAGAUUAUGCAACUCCCGUUUGCCGGAGGAACACUUUGUGUGCUACCAAACGUCACAACGUAACUGGGUGAUUAUAAAGGAGCUCUACAGGUGUCUCCAAAGCCACAUGUUGGGUUGGCGUAUUUCGAGAUUAGGAUUUGUCACUCCGAUUGUCGGAGAGGUAUCUCUGGGCCCUCUCGGUAAUGCACAUCAUAUAAGCCUUGCAAGCAUUGCUACUAAUGAGUUAGUUGCGAGAUGAUGUAUUACAGAAACGAGUAAAGAGACUUGCCGGUAACGAGAUUGAACUAGGUAUUGAGAUACCGAAGAUCGAAUCUCGGGCAAGUAACAUACCGAUGACAAAGGGAACAACGUAUGUUGUUAUGCAGUCUGACCGAUAAAGAUCUUUGUAGAAUAUGUAGGAGCCAAUAUGUGCAUCCAGGUUCCGCUAUUGGUUAUUGACCAGAGAUGUGUCUCGGUCAUGUCUACAUUGUUCUCGAACCCGUAGGGUCCGCACGCUUAACGUUACGAUGAUAGUUUCAUUAUGAGUUUAUAUAUUUUGUUGUACCGAAGUUUAUUCAGAGUCCCGGAUGUGAUCACGGACAUGCCGAAGAGUCUCGAAAUGGUUGAGACAUAAAGAUUGAUAUAUUGGAUGGCUAUUGUCGGUGUCAAAACCGGCGGAUCUCGGGUAGGGGGUCCCGAACUGUGCGUCAAGGUCGGAUGGUAACAGGAGACAAGGGACACUUUAUUUUACCCAGGUUCGGGCCCUCUCGAUGGAGGUAAAACCCUACUCCUGCUAGAUUAAUAUUGAUGAUAUGGGUAGUACAAGAGUAGAUCUACCACGAGAUCAGGGAGGCUAAACCCUAGAAGCUAGCCUAUGGGUAUAAUUGUGUAUGAUGAUGGUUGUCCUACGGACUACAACCCUCCGGUUUAUAUAGACACCGGAUAGGGUUAGGGUUACACAGAGUUGGUUACAUUGGUAGGAGAUCUUGAAUAUCCGCACGCCUAGCUUGCCUUCCACGCCAAGGAAAGAACCUUCCGGACACGGGACGAAGUCUUCAAUCUUGUAUCUUCAUAGUCCUGGAGUCCGGCUGAAGGUAUAGUCCGGCUAUCCGAACACCCCCUAAUCCAGGACUCGCUCAGUAGCCCCUGAACCAGGCUUCAAUGAUGACGAGUCCGGCGCGCAAAUUGUCUUCGGCAUUGCAAGGCGGGUUCCUCCUCCAAGUUCUUCAAGAAGAUAAUAAACACCAAAAAUAGUGUCCGGCUCUGCAAAACAAGUUUCCACGUAUUGCCAUAUAGAGAAUAAUGAGAACACAAAUCAAAUCUGCUGACGUAUUCCGUAAUGCGUCAUGACACUGCGACCAAGCCUUCUGUAUGGAUUAUUUUUACUGUUCCACCGCGGCACGUUCAUCGAGGCGAUUUCCUUGGCACGUCUUGUCGAAGCAGAGAUCGUGUGCCCCUUUUAACGGGAUUCUCAUUAAUACGGACGUGGGUAACCCAACCGUGCCCGUUUAGAACGUCCUGUCUUAACUAAAGGCUAGUCCAAGACGGUUACGGGGAGGGCUCUUGAUAUUCGGCCUCUUUAUAAAGAGACCGAGACCCUGCUCCCCUCUUGUGUUCUCAAAACAAGUUCGCCCAUCGCCUCGAGUUCCAACACCCAAGGCUCUUAUAUUCUAGGCGCACCGGACCUUUCGACAAUGUCCGGCUCCGGCCUUCAAGGCCAAUGGAUGCCUUCCUCCGUUAAGGAGGAGGACGUAUCAAGGUUGAGAGAGGCUAGGUACCUGACCAGCGAGAUUCCGCACAGGUUGCCCGCUCAAGGGCAAGCGAUCCCGAGCCCUCAUCCUGGUGAGAGCGUAGUAUUCGUCUCCCACCUCCUUCGGGGUUUAGGCUUCCCAACGGAUCCUUUCGUAAGGGGGCUGAUGUUUUACUAUGGGCUGGAGUUCCAUGACCUAGCUCCGGAGUCCAUCCUCCAAAUCUCCUCCUUCAUUGUUGUGUGUGAAGCGUUCCUCCAUGUCACCCCUCACUUCGGAUUAUGGCUCAAGACCUUCAAGGUAGAACCAAAGAUAAUCGAGGGACGUCACAUAGAGUGCAGAGGUGCUGUUAUAAAAAGAAUUACCGAUGCUCCAUGGCCCGAGGGCGCUUUUCAAGAGGAGCUCGGUUUAUGGCAACAGGAGUGGUUCUAUAUCACCUCUCCUCGGGGCACCACUUGGGUGGCGCCUCCAGCCUUUCGCUCGGGCCCCCCACCACGUUUAACAUUGUGGAUCAAUACAGGGCUAGAUUGGGGCUUGCCCAAAGACGUUCCUCUGUUGCAGGGCCGCAUAAAGGAGCUCCUGAAAGGAGACCUCAACCUGGUCAAGGUGACACAAGCCAUGCUGAUCCACCGGACAUUGCCCGGCCAACGUCGCCCCCUUCGCCUGUGGGAGUUCAAUCCGGAGGGGCCGCGAACUCUCCGAAAUUUCAUGGGCGUGACGCCUAUGGAGAUGUAUAAACUGUUCUUCGGACCACAAGAAGUGAGUCCGGAUUUGACCGAGGACGCCGGUUUAAGCCGCAACCGUCUGGAUACCGAAGUAGGUGACCUUGUGCCUGGACCUUCUAUCCGUACAAUUGAUUUAUUUUUAACAGUACUUCUCCUUUUAUGCAGGAGUGGAUAGCGAAAGCGAAGCUGAUCCGGUGUCCGGCUCCCCUUCCCGAGACCAGGCUAGAUCCCGUGCUAGUCAGGAUGUUAGAGGUGGCGCCUCUGGAGGGAAAUGAAGGGGCGGACAAGGAAACCAUGGCCUAUUCGAAAGAGGCCAUUCCAAAGGGGGGAAUCGAUAAUUCCUCUCCUAAGGGGAAGAAAAGGGCCGCCUCUGAUGACCCGGGCGCCGUAGCUCCAAAGCGGGGGAAAGCAUCCACGUCAGAGGACCCGACGCCGGGGAGCCCCUCGGCCGAAUUAAAUCCUCAAAAGGAGCAGCCCUCCAGGGAGCCGUAAGUAGAAAGAGAGUUGUUCUUUUAAGAGAAAUCUUUGAUUUAUAUCUGUGAAGUUUUAACCGAAACCUUACCUUGUAGUUCGGACCUCGACCUUUCUCAGCAGAGCUCGUCGUCGGGGGAUCUUCUUCUGGAGAUGAUGGAGAGCGGAACGCCUCCUUCUUCUACAUCGCCUAGCAAGGCGGGCGACGCCGAAGUGUCGUCGCAGAGGAUUGCUCCGAAUCUGCCCGAGGCAGAAGGUGAUCAUGCGGCCCCCCAAGGUUCUCCGUGUCCGGCCUCCAAAGAAGGCCAUGGGACGACUCCGGCACCAUCUGGUGUUCGGUCGGAGGAGCUGAAGGUUCUGCUGGGUCGAGCCUCUGUUUCAGAGGAGCAUCGUGUGUUGACGCACACGGUAAUUGAAAAGAUUUCAUCCGCGGAAAGCGGACUGAACGAGGCCGUCAAGAGUUUACUGGCGGGCCUUGAGGUACGUUCUGAAUAACGAACAUUAGUGUUAAUUGCGCAUAAUAACAAGCGCCCUGUGUAGAUAGUAGCCCCUGAGACUCUGUGUGUCGCAAAGAUGUGCGGCGCGCAGAGGAUCUUAAUCCCAGGUCCUUUAAGUGGCACCUUUGUAUGUAGGUGGCAGAUUGUCCGGGGUCAAGCCGGACUCGAGAUUUUGCCGAAAUGAGACGACAACUUGAUGAGGCAGAAGCCGACAUCGUGCUUGUUAACAAGCGGCUUGAUGAUGCUCAAGGUAUUGGGUUUAUUUGGCGAUUGUUAGUAAGAGGAGCUUUUUGUAACAUCUUACCGUGUGUAUGCUUGAUGCAGAUGGUGCGGCGGCCGUAGAAGGACUUAGGGCCGAACUCGCCAAAGCAAAGGAGCAAGCCAGAAAAAGCGAUGCGGCUGCCGGAAAAGCCCGUGAAGAGCUAAAAGCCGAACAGGCUUCCCAUUGCCGAAGCAAGGAGGAGAUGGCUGAUAUUGCCGUGAAGUUAAAAAGUGCUACUGACCAUUGCAAACUUCUUGAAGAGGAAGGUCGAGCCAGGCAGACGGUCUUGGAGAAGGCCGUUGCCGACGCCAAGGACGCCCGCUCUGUGAUGAGAGCGACAAGGGAAGAGCUACAUCAAGCCGGACUAAUUGCGGAUGGAAAGCCCUUCCUGCUGCGAAGAAAAUUCUGUGAUCCGAAGUUCGCCCCGUUGGACCGAGCGUGGAGCGUGGAGGACACCUAUCUGGAUUUGGCGGCCAGUGCUGCUGAGGCGACCAGGUACUUUCAUGAUAAGAAAGAUCAUGAAGUGGAAAAGCUCUUCUGGUCGCAGUUCACCAAUCCAGAGCGUCCACUGGCAGUGGACGAUCGCCUGGCCCAAUGGGCCGAGCUGAAUAGGUUGUCCGGACACGCCAAGAGCUAUGCCAUGGAUCGCCUAUGUCCGGGGAGAUCGAAGCCGAAAAGCUAUUUCAGCUUGGUGCAGCAAUUUCUUGACGUGAUGCCUCAGAUUGAAGCUCUGAAGAGGUCAGCUUGCACAGAGGGCGCUCGGCUGGCUCUUGCGCGUGUCAAGACAUACUGGGCAGAUAUGGAGCCCACCGUUGUUGCGUCCCGUGAUUCGGAUAAAAGCCGAAUACCUUCCGAGCACUAUUUUGAGGAAGUCCUCGCGGGCGCUCGUAUAAUUGAGACGCAGUGUUCGAAAGAUGCUGUUUUGUGACAGCAUAUGUGAUCAUAGAUCAGUAUUUUUAUAAAUUGUAAUGGCAUAUUUUAGACUUGUGCCUUCAAGUAUUAAAUAACACCUCCUGUGUGGCCGUUUUAAUAUAUAUAUAAAUUCUGAAAGAUUGCAGUCGUUGGCUUCAGCCCCCACGCAUAUAGUGCGGGGGUGCGCGCAGAAAACGCAUUAUCACACUUAACCCAACGUCUUGGUCCCACAAAGGAGGUGAUAGCGCCGCGGGCCAGGCAACAGGACUAUAAUGCUUUAACACUUUCACUUAGCCAUAGGAGCUUGACAGUGGGACUCUUUAAGUAGCCCUUAAGUGGCAACUGCGUUUACCCGAAUUCAGGACGCGUGUGAGCCUGACUGGGAAGCGGCCCUUCGUCAAAACGGAGGAAUUCGAUAAAUCCCUAUAAGUCAUCGAGUGGCGACCAGUCUCUCGCUACAUCAUGACAGUCGGUUUUCGGCUUUCUCUACUGAGGUGCUCGCCCGGCCAAACCGGGGCACAAUCGCAGUAGUUCUCCUGGUGCUACCUUAGCCGACAGAACGGAACGUAAGGUGGCCGAACUCAGGAGCCGGGCAACCCAACAUAUGACCAAAAUCAUGACUCAGAGCUGAUGCAUAUAGUGCCAAAACUCGCGACGCCGAACACUCCCUAAGGUGUUCGGUCUUUGUGGGUGUGUGCAGGACAACACCCUCGAAAAAGAAAAAAGCCCCUUGUGUCCAGGUACGAGCAAGAAUUCUAGCAUGGCCACAUGCCAAAACGCCAGCCUCCUCCUUGGUUAUAGUGAAAUAAACCAGGGGAUGUAUAGCAGCAAGAGACAGUAAAAAAUGUUUACGCAGGGUCUUAAUCUAAAAAGAAUCCUUUGGGGCGGGUCCCUACUGCACGUCUGUGCCUGUGUCUCCGCUGUGCCAUGUCCUGGACGGGCGUCGUACGACGUUCAUCUGUAAAAGAGAAGAACUAAAUUGAAAAUGGGUCGUGCGGAUCAAAAAGAAUAAUAAACGAAAUAUAAAGUGGAAAGGAUACGGUCGAGCUUUAUUGCCUCUGCGUACAGCCCCUGGUGUGGCAUACUUAGCCUAUAAUGAUAAUGGGCUUGUGCCGAACUCAUUGAGUCCGGGUUUGUGGCCUUUUAUGAUUUACAUCGAAAAAGUCCUUUGGCUGGCGAGGCCAUUUUAUUGUGCGGCUGUUUAAGCGGCCGCGCAAUCCUCCGAUUGGAGGAGGCGUAUUUUAGUAUGCUCCCUUUAAAGAGAUGAUGCCUCGAGGACCGGGCAUCUUUAGAGUGAGGGAUGCAUAAUGCGGUAUUGCGUUAAAGCGAGCGAAAGCUCCGCGUCCCAUUAGUGCUUGAUAGCGACUUGAAAACGGGUCUACGUGGAAGGUAAGCUUUUCACGACGAAAGUUAUUGGCAGAGCCAAAUAUGACUACAAGCCGGAGAAAACCCAUACAAUGGGUGUCCGGGCCUGGUGCUACCCCUUGAAAGGAGGUUUUACUGUGAUGGAUUCUUGCUGGGUUUAUGCCCAUGCGGCGAAUUGUAUCCUGAUAUAUCAGGUUUAGUCCACUGCCCCCGUCCAUAAGGACAUUGGUGAACUGGAAUCCGUGUAUUAUUGGAUUAAGUAUCAGGGAAGUCCGGCCCGCGUGCUUGAUAUUUCAAGAAUAAUCUAGCUGAUCGAAAAUGAUUGGCUUUAGUGACCAGUGGCGGGACUCCUGAGAUUUAGGCUUGAAUGUGCGACCCUUUAUGGGUGCCUCAUGCCUUGUUAUGUGAAGUGAGUUCACUGUUUUGACUUCUUGCGGGAAGUUCUUUUGCUUCCUGGUGUUCUGCUUUUGGGGUUCGUCCUCUUCCUCACUUGGUGUAUCGAGCCCCUUGUGUUCGGCGUUAAGCCUUCCGGAUUGUUUGAAAACCCAACAGUCUCUGUGGGUAUGAUUAGCAGGCUUACCAGGAGUACUGUGUAUCUGACAUAUCCUGUCCAUGAUUCUCUUUAGGCUGGACGGAUCUUCCCUAUUAUCCCGAGGGGGUGUUUUUGUCUGAUUUUGUCGUGAGCCUUUGAAUCCGGCAUUGACUGCCGUGCUCUUCGGACUUUUUCUUUUGAUUCGGCGAUGAUCCUUAUUGCGCCACGGUUUCCCGUUUCCAUCCCUGAUUUCCGAUGUACUUAGGUCGCUGGGGUUGCACCGUGCCAACCAGCUAUCCUCUCCUGCGCAAAAGCGGGUCAUGAGGCUUGUGAGUGCGACCAUUGUUCUAGGCUUUUCCUGACCGAGGUGUCUGGCGAGCCAUUCGUCUCGGACAUUGUGCCUGAAAGCCGCUAAGGCUUCGGCGUCCGGACAAUCAACUAUUUGAUUCUUUUUAGUGAGGAAUCUGUUCCAGAACUGCCGAGCUGAUUCUCCGGGCUGCUGAGUUAUGUGACUGAGGUCGUCUGCAUCCGGGGGACGGACGUAGGUCCCUUGAAAAUUUGCUCGGAAAGCGUCCUCGAGCUCUUCCCAACUUCCAAUUGUGUUUUCGGGAAGGCUUUUAAGCCAUUGCCGGGCUGUCCCUUUAAGCUUAAGAGGUAAAUAUUUUAUGGCGUGGAGGUCAUCUCCUCUAGCCAUAUGUAUGUGGAGGAUAUAGUCCUCGAUCCAGACUCCAGGGUCUGUUGUUCCAUCGUACGCCUCUAUGUUAACGGGUUUAAAUCCCUCUGGGAAUUCAUAUUCCAGGACCUCAUCGGUGAAGCAUAGGGGGUGUGCGGCACCCCUAUAUUUGGGUGUGCCGGAUUCUGACGGUGGAUUUUUUGCAUUGCUUGUGAGAGCUUGCUUUCUUGGCCCGUAAAUGGACCUGGCUGGGCCAUGAUGCGAGUCUUUGACUGGGUCUCAUGCCGCAUUAAGUGCGGCGCCGUUUGCCGUUUUGUAGUGGCCGAGAGGUCAUCUAUCCGACCGUGUAGCCUUUUUGUUUUUCGGGUUUGGGGGCUCUAUGGCCUCUUGGUCGAAUUCGGGCAGUAGCUUUCUCUUCGGAUAGCUUUUGGUGCGGCGGCUGCCGCCGUAUUUGUCUGCGGUCUUGAUUACUUUGCUCCAUCUUGUUUUGAGUGCAUCUUCCGCUGUCUUUAGCUUUCGCUUCUGCCUUUUCAGGCUGCAUGCUGUAGCCACGAGCCUUUCUUGGAGAUUUUUCUGCUCCAUGAUUUUAUCGGGCGUGGUAUCGUCCGGAGUUCAGUUAUGACCGGGGGAGGACUGUUCGUCCUCUCUUCCCGUGUUACCCUGUUCGGACGGCCGUUCUAAGACACGCUCGUCAUCUGCCGGGUCGUCCUGCUCUACGGCUGGGUCUUGAUGGAGGUGGGGCUUAGCUCGGCGUUUACGUCGCCGUUUUGAGUGCUUUUCGGAGGGUUUACCCUUCCUUUCGCUCCCUUUUUCCUCAUUGUCGAUUUUUUCAGGUGUAUCCACCAUGAAUACGUCGUUAGGUGGGGUUGAGGUCCAGUGCCCUAUGGGUGCUGUUCCAGUUCAUCUCCGUCUUCGUCGUCCGUACCGUCGAAGUCUUCGGAGCCGAUGUCAAGCAUGUCGGUUAAAUCGUUGACAGUGGCUAUUAAGUGGGUGGUGGGCGGGCUUUGAAUUUCUUCGUCAUCCGAAUCCCAACCUCGCAGGCCGUAGUUCGGCCUGGGCUCUCCUGACAAAGAAAGAGACUUGAGAGAAUUCAGAAAAUCACCAAAAGGUGAAUACUGAAAGACGUCCGCGGCGGUGAACUCCAUUACAGGCGCCCAAUCUGAUUCGAUCGGCAGGGACGCGGGAGGUUCGGAGCUCGGAGAAGAGUCCGGCUCCUCGGAGUCAUGGGCCACGCGGAGUGCGGGGCUGACGUUCGGCUCGAUCGCCUUUGAGAUCGCAGCCCCUGAGGUGACGUCCAACCGUUCAUCCCCAAUGAAUGUAACGGGCUCCGAAUCGAGGAUCGGGGCCGGAGCGUAUGCGGCCUCCAGGACACUGUUCGAGGGCAGAGCUAUAUCAUGUCCCUCGGGAUAGUGCGGCGCGCUUGGCUGUGGCUCGAAUCCGUCGAAGAUCAAGUCUCCGUGGAUGUCUGUCGUGUAGUUUAAGCUUCCAAACCUGACUUGAUGGCCAGGGGCGUAGCUUUCGAUCUGCUCCAGAUGGCCAAGCGAGUUGGCCCGCAGAGCGAAGCCGCCGAAGACAAAGAUCUGUCCAGGGAGAAAAGUCUCACCCUGGACCUCAUCGUUGCUGAUGAUCAAAGGAGCCAUCGGACCCGAAGGCGACGACACAGAGGAACUCUCAAUGAAAUCACCAAUGUCGGUGUCAAAACCGGCGGAUCUCGGGUAGGGGGUCCCAAACUGUGCGUCAAGGUCGGAUGGUAACAGGAGACAAGGGACACUUUAUUUUACCCAGGUUCGGGCCCUCUCGAUGGAGGUAAAACCCUACUCCUGCUAGAUUAAUAUUGAUGAUAUGGGUAGUACAAGAGUAGAUCUACCACGAGAUCAAGGAGGCUAAACCCUAGAAGCUAGCCUAUGGGUAUGAUGAUGAAUAUUGUGGUUCGUCCUACGGACUACAACCCUCCGGUUUAUAUAGACACCGGAUAGGGUUAGGGUUACACAGAGUCGGUUACAUUGGUAGGAGAUCUUGAAUAUCCACACGCCUAGCUUGCCUUCCACGCCAAGGAAAGAACCUUCCGGACACGGGACUGUCGGUGUACUAAAGUAGGGGUACCUUAGUACCCCCGAACUUGUGCACGGGCAGUUGUAGCACGCCGCGGCAAGGCUGGCCAUGGGAGCGCCAAGAGUCUCCACGGCCCUUUUUGGCCGAGAGAAGACCAAGCAUUCAAGACAAGGCCCCCGGCAAGAGGAGCUUGCCGGGCCAAGGAGGCAAGGCCCCGGCAAGAGGAGCUUGCCGGGACGACCGAGCCAAAGCAUCGAGACCCCGGCAAGAGGAGUUUGCCAGGAAGGCCGUUUCAGGCCCAAGGUUACUUCACUAACACGAGACCCUGACAAGAGGGGCUUGCCAGGAAGACUAGAAGCUCACAUCACAGAAGACACGCCUCGGCGCUAUAUGCGCCCCGGCGGGGCCCGGGGGGCGACAAGCUUCAGAGCCCGGCAAGUUCCCGGGCCCGGCAAGGCACUUGCCGGGGAGAGCUGUGCUGUGUGCCCGCGCUCCAGCUCAUCGGACCACGCGUCGCGCUGGGGACAUUCCAGGGACGCGUGGCGGGUGGCUGCGCAGCCUGGGGGACACGGUGGCACUCCGCGGUGGUGGAGCCAUCGCCGUGGCAAACGGAGACGCAAUGGCAGACGCUUUUGGGGUCGACGGCGACGGGCAUUAAAUGCUCUUGUCCCCCACUGUCAAAGUAGGUGGCGACCACUGUUCACGCACUGUAGCUCCACUAUUCCCGCACUGUUACAGCUACCACCCCUUUUACAUUUUUGCCCUUUCUCCUACGUUGACACCUGUCGGUGACCCCUUGCACUAUAAAAGGAGGCCCGAGCACAACGUAGAGGCGGGUUCGAUUCAUUGGUCAGUUCGGUUCGGAACCUAGAUCACUCAUACACUCGGUGUAGCUAGUUCUUCAAGCUCCCGAGCUCUCAAACCCAAUACAAACUAAGCAGGAGUAGGGUUUUACGCGUCCACCGCGGCCCGAACCUGGGUAAACCGCCCGUGUGCUCACCACGAUCUGCUCUUCGUGCACCCUCCGCCCUCUCACCGGACAAACGAAGGGGCUCCGGUCCCAUAGGUGCUCGUGGAGGACAGUUUCCCCCGACAGCUUUGGCGCGCCAGGUAGGGGGGCAUCGAGGUUGUGCGAACCUGAUCCGGCGUUUGCGCGGGCGCAUUCUUCAUCAACCUCUCCGAAUUCGUCAGCUUCAUCAACAACAGCACCAUGGCCCCGAAGAAGAAGGCUUCGGAGGUCGGAGGCCCAUCUGCGUCUCAUCCGCCGCUACCAGAGCCAACGGUGGGCGGGGGAGACGCCGUCGGAAGGGUGGUCGCCGGCGAGGACACUCGCGGCGCCACCAAAUCCAAGAACAGGAUGGACGACCGAGCCUCGGUCUCCGUGGAAGCGUCGCGUCCAUCCCAGCAAACGACAACCCAGCAACGCCAUGUCACAGGAGGUGGCAUCCGCUUGCUGGGCCAAGGGCAAACCCGGGGUUCGCGGGACGCCCCGGACCACCGUCCGGGCACAAGCAAAGCGAAGNNNNNNNNNNNNNNNNNNNNNNNNNNNNNNNNNNNNNNNNNNNNNNNNNNNNNNNNNNNNNNNNNNNNNNNNNNNNNNNNNNNNNNNNNNNNNNNNNNNNNNNNNNNNNNNNNNNNNNNNNNNNNNNNNNNNNNNNNNNNNNNNNNNNNNNNNNNNNNNNNNNNNNNNNNNNNNNNNNNNNNNNNNNNNNNNNNNNNNNNNNNNNNNNNNNNNNNNNNNNNNNNNNNNNNNNNNNNNNNNNNNNNNNNNNNNNNNNNNNNNNCUGUUAGGAGUCCGAGCAUAUCCCGCUCCUCGCGCCGCUCGCCCCCGCUCCCCUCCACUCCAGCAGAAGCGCUCGCAAGGGCGCAACUGCUCCUCGACUACCCUCCAGCGGCGGACAAGGCCGAAAACUGGAGGGCCACCAUCCAGAGCCUGAUUGCCUUCGCCAAUAACGAUACGCCGCAGCAGCCGGCGACCUCGCGGCCGCGGCAAGUCGAGAAGACGAAGGCCGACGGCGACAAGACCGCCGGGGGUGCAACCACCGUGCACUCCCCGCCGCGGAAGCAGAGGACGCCGCCCCGCUGGAACAACGCCGACGACGGCUCCACGGCGUCGUCGGACCCGCGGACUCGUCGGGACCAGCGCCAGGUCCUUGACAACCGGCGACAAGAAGACGCUCGAACAACGAUCGAGCGCCGCCGAGAAACUCGGCGACAAUCAGACCAGAGAGCUGGGAACGCUGUCGACGCGCGCGCGCCCGGUGAACCAGGCGACUUGCCGUACGCGGCAGGCUGCCCUGCGUUCACCCGUGAGCUGCGGCGCGUCCAGUGGCCCAGCACGAAGAAUUUCAAGCCCGACGUACCGGAGAAGUACGACGGCAAGACGUACCCCUCGGAAUUCCUCAGCAUCUACACAAUCGCUGUACAAGCUGCCGGGGGGCGCGACGAGAAGAUAUUGGCAAAUUACUUCCCGCUCGUGCUUAAGCCGAACGUUCGUUCGUGGCUUAUGCACCUGCCGGAAGGCUCCAUUUCUUCUUGGGCAGAUCUUUGCCAUCAGUUUGUUGGCGCCUUCACGGGCGGCCACAAACCCCACGGCCAGGAGAGCGAUCUCCACAUUCUGGCCCAGAAGGAAGGAGAAUCCCUGCGCAAGUACAUCCAACGCUUCAGCCGUGUACAUCGCAACAUCCCCGACGUCCACCCUGCCGCGGUUAUCAGCGCGUUCCACCAGAACGUGCGUAACCGCCGCAUGCGUGAAGAAAUGUCCAUGACCAAGAUUCGGGAUGUCAGCGAGCUCUAUGCUCUGGCUGAUAAGUGCGCACGCGCAGAAGAGGGGAGGAAACUCCCCGGGGAUGAUGCUGACGCAGGAGAAAGCGACAGCGACGACACCGCCCCGGCAAGGAAGAGCCAGCGGCGGAAUAACAGGAGAAAGAACAAGAAGGAAGUGCUUGCCGUCGAGAAGUCCGGCAAGGAGGCUCUCGCCAAGCAAACGCAGGCUGGCGGCUCCGGCAAGGAGCCUGCCCCUGUGGCGGCAGCCGACAAGCAGGACGGCUCCGACAAGCAAUACUGCAAGAUCCACCGCACCAAGGGCCACGACCUCUCCAACUGCAAACGCGUCGAGUACCUCAUCGAGCAGCAGAAAGCUGAGUACGAGAGGCGCGACAAGGAGAAGGCCCAAGGUGGUGGUGGAGAACCAAGCAAGAAGCGGCCAUUCAACGACCGGGGAGGACGCCGCGGCAAGGCCAAGCAGCGGCAAGGUGAUCGGCCUCCCCGGGGCCGCGACAAGGAUGAAGAAGACGACGACGAAGAUAUGGAGGAUGAGGAUAACAGCGAGCAGGAGUUCCAGAAGGCCACGGAGGUCCUGUGCGUCGACGGUGGCGCCUCUCUGCACGCCCCCCACCGCCAGCUUAAGCAGUGGGUGCGCGAGGUGAACGCAGCAGAGCCACCCGUGGAAUCGCACAGGCUCCUCAAAUGGUCCAGCACGCCCAUCAUUUUUGAUCUUGAGGAUCACCCUGAUCGCACAACUGCGGUCGGGUGCUUGCCGAUGCUGGUCUCACCCACCAUCCGCAACCUCAAGGUCACUAAAAUGUUGGUCGACGGCGGGGCCGGGCUGAACUUGAUCUCCUCUGCUGUGAUCAAGAAACUCCAAAUUCCAGAUGGCGAGCUCGAAGAGACCGGUUCUUUCCAAGGAAUCAACCCGGGGAGGAGCAAGCCCAAGGGGAAGAUAACUCUGCCGGUGACCUUUGGCGGGGAGCUCAACUUCAGAACUGAGCGCAUCACGUUCGACGUCGCUGAUAUCCCGUUGCCAUACAAUGGGAUCCUCGGCCGUCCCGCCCUCGCCAAGUUCAUGGCAGCUUCCCACCACGCCUACAACGUACUCAAGAUGCCGGGGCCGAUAAGCGUUAUCACUGUCCACGGCGACAAGAAGGAUGCGCUUGUCUGCGCUGACAAGAUCUACCGGGAUGCUGCAGCUGCGGCAGAAAAGGACACACUUGCCGCUAAAGCUCCCGGGGUGAAGAAGACGCAGACCAAGUCCGGCAAUUGCUCUGGGGCCCACUCCGGCAACCGCACCUCUUCGGAGUGCUGCGCUGCCGUCGAGGACGUUCCAUCGAGCUUCACCGGCAAGUGUAAGAAGGGGAUGGCCGCUCCUCCGGCAACCAAGAGGGUGUCCGCCAAGGAGGACGGCACUGGUGGUACCUUCACCAUCAGUGCCACACUUGACAGCAAAUAGGAAAGCGCGCUUGUUGCCUUCCUGCGGGCGAAUGUCGAUGUGUUUGCAUGGCAACCAUCUGACAUCCCCGGCGUUCCCAGGAAGGUAAUUGAGCACAAGCUUGCCCUUUGUCCUCAUGCGCGGCCCGUCAAGCAGAAGGUGAGGAAACAAGCCGUGGAGCGCCAAGAAUUCAUCACCGAAGAGAUCAAGAAGCUAGAGGCAGCAGGCCUAGUGAGAGGUGUGAUCCAUCCGACGUGGUUGGCAAACCCAGUCGUCGUGCGCAAGGCCAAUGGGAAGUGGAGACUGUGUAUAGACUUCACCGACGUGAAUAAAGCAUGUCCCAAGGAUCCAUUCCCCUUGCCGCGCAUUGACCAGAUCGUUGACUCCACUGCCGGAUGUGAGCUACUCUCUUUUCUUGAUGCAUAUUCAGGCUACCACCAGAUCUUUAUGGCCAAAGAAGAUGAAGAGAAGACCGCAUUCAUCACUCCAUGUGGCACUUAUUGCUUCAUACGCAUGCCAUUUGGACUGAAGAAUGCAGGAUCAACAUUUGCAAGGGUAGUGCACACUGCUUUCGAGCCACAAAUCCACAGAAAUGUAGAGGCUUACAUGGAUGACAUCGUGGUGAAGAGCAAGAGCAAGGAACCCCUGGUCCAAGAUUUGGAAGAGACAUUUCAGAACCUGCGCAAGAUACAGCUCAAGUUGAACCCCGAGAAGUGCGUCUUUGGAGUCCCCUCCGGCAAGCUUCUCGGGUUCUUUGUGUCACAGAGGGGGAUUGAAGCCAACCCCGACAAGAUUAAAGCCAUUGAGCAGAUCGAGGCCCCGGAGCGCGUCAAGGAUGUCAGAAAGCUUGCAGGUUGUGUGGCUGCCCUCAGUAGGUUCAUUUCGAAGUCUGCAGAGCGCGCCCUACCUUUCUUCAAAAUCUUGAAGAAGGCAGGUCCCAUGAAGUGGACUCCGGAAGCGGAGGCAGCGCUGCAAGAUUUGAAACGGUACCUGUCCUCCACUCCAAUACUUGUCGCACCUAGACCGCAGGAAAAGUUGUUGCUAUACCUAGCGGCAACCAACCAGGUGGUUAGUGCUGCGUUAGUAGCAGAGAGGGAGGCCGACGAGGAGUCUACGCCACCGGCAAGCGAAUCCAGCGACAAGCAGGGGGCCGCUCCGACAAGCUCUGGCCCCGACAAGAACAACCCUGCGCAGGAACAGGAUGAAGUGCGGAAGAAGAUGGUGCAGCGCCCGGUGUAUUUUGUGAGUUCCCUCUUGCAGGGGGCUAGGUCAAGAUACUCCGGGGUGCGGAAGUUGCUUUUCGGCCUCCUCAUGGCCUCGAGAAAGCUGCGCCAUUACUUCCAGGCACAUGAGAUAACGGUGGUCACUCGCUUUCCGCUGAAGAGGAUAUUGCACAAUCCAGAAGCAACAGGCAGGAUCGUCGAGUGGGCACUGGAGCUGUCGAGCUUUGGACUCAAGUUUGAAAGUACUUCAACCAUACAGAGCCGAGCUUUGGCAGAAUUCAUAGCCGAGUGGACCCCAACACCCGAUGAAGAAGUCCAAGAAACAAGUGCACCCGCACAAGAAGCGACGAGCGAAUGGGUAAUGUACUUUGACGGCGCCUUCUCGCUGCAAGGCGCCGGUGCUGGCGUGGUGCUCAUCGCGCCCACCGGGGAGCACCUCAAGUAUGUUAUCCAGAUGCACUUCCCGAGAGAGCAAGCGACAAACAACACUGCUGAGUAUGAAGGCUUGCUUGCCGGCCUCAGGAUUGCGGCCGAACUUGGGAUCAGAAAGCUAAUCGUGCGGGGAGAUUCUCAGUUGGUGGUCCGGCAAGUUAACAAGAGCUACCAGAGCCCUUUGAUGGAAGCUUAUGUAGAUGAAGUGAGGAAGCUGGAGGAGCACUUUGAAGGCCUGCAAAUGGAGCACGUCCCGAGAUCUCAGAAUGAGAUAGCAGAUGGCCUUUCAAAGUGUGCUUCGAUGAAGUUACCUGCGGAACCAGGGACCUUCUUGCUCAGGCUGACUCAACCAUCCGUUACGCCAUCAAUUGGGCAGUCCAAGAAAAGAAAGUUGGUCUCCGGCGAUUACUUGCCGGCGGAUCUUCCUGAAGCCGCCGCCAAGGUCCCCAAGAUCAACAAUCAGAACGCUGAGGAACAGUCUGCUCCUGCAGAUCCAAGGAUCUGUACAGUUGAAGCAGGUGUUCCCGACAAGCCUCGCCCCGGCGAGCUUGCCGGGGGAUCACCAGCUCCGGUGGAACCGGAGGUUCUUGCCGUAGAAGCCGAGGUCCCCGCAGCGGCCCUCAUGCCUUUAGUCCUUGCCGUUGAGCCCCGGGCUCCGGCAUGGGCACGGCAGAUCGUCCGUUUUCUGCAAACUGGAGAACUUCCCGACAACCCAGAAGAAAUAGAAAAGAUAACCAGGCAGUCAAGUAUGUACCAGUUCGUGGAUAACGAGCUGUACAGAAGAAGACUCAACGGUGUCAGGUUGAAGUGCAUCUCCAGGGAAGAUGGACAGAAGCUGUUGGCGGAAAUACACGGAGGCAUAUGCGGCCACCACAUUGGCGCAAGGGCGCUUGCCGGGAAAGCUUUCCUGCAAGGGUUCUUCUGGCAAGAAGCCCUCCAAGAUGCAACUGCACUAGUAGCCAAGUGUGAAGCGUGCCAGUUCCAUGCAAAGCAGAUUCAUCAGCCAGCUCAAGCUCUCCCAACAAUUCCUUUGUCCUGGCCCUUCUCGGUCUGGGGCUCGAUAUCCUCGGCCCCUUCCCCCGAGCCGUCGGGGGCUUUGAGUACUUGUACGUUGCAAUCGACAAGUUCACAAAGUGGCCAGAAGUGGAGCCAGUGAGAAAGGUGACAGCACAGUCAGCGGUCAGGUUCUUCAGGUCAAUUGUUUGCCGUUUCGGGAUCCCCAACAGGAUCAUCACCGACAACGGUGCACAAUUUACUAGCCGCACCUUCAUGCAGUACGUCCAAGACCUUGGCGCCAAGGUCUGUUUCGCUUCCGUUGCUCACCCGAGGAGCAACGGUCAAGCGGAAAGGGCCAAUGCUGAAGUGCUGCGCGGGCUCAAGACGAGGACCUUUGACAGGCUGCGUAAGUGCGGAAGAAAUUGGAUAGAGGAGCUGCCGGCGGCUCUUUGGUCAAUCAGAACGACACCAAGUCGAGCCACCGGACAGACACCCUUUGCUCUAGUUUAUGGAGCAGAAGCAGUUAUCCCCACGGAACUCGUAUACGGGUCUCCUCGAGUGCUCGCUUAUGAUGAGCUCGAGCAAGAGCAACUGCGGCAAGAUGACGCACUGCUCCUUGAGGAGGGACGUCUCCAGGCUGCUGUACGAGCUGCUCGAUACCAGCAAGCCUUGCGUCGCUACCAUAGCCGCAAGGUCAAGGCCAGGAGUCUCGAGGAGGGCGACCUUGUUCUUCGGCGUGUUCAGUCCGCCAAGAAUUCCAACAAGUUGACGCCGAAGUGGGAAGGCCCUUAUCGGGUGAGACAAGUCACGAGGCCCGGCGCUGUCCGCCUCGAGACCGAAGAAGGCUUACCGGUGAGCAACUCCUGGAACAUAGAGCAUAUUCGCAAGUUUCACCCAUAAGGCGCGGUUGCCGUGAUCCGCUCCGGCAACCACCGUUUUGUACAGGCCUUGCCGCUGUUGCAUGUAACCCCUUGUACAAAGCCAGGCGCAGACCCUGGCAGCAGAUAAAGAAGCUCCCCACGGAACUCGUGUACGGAUCUCCUCGAGUGCUCGCUUAUGAUGAGCUCGAGGAAGAGCAACUGCGACAAGACGACGCACUGCUCCUUGAGGAGGGACGUCUCCAGGCUGCUGUACGAGCUGCUCGAUACCAGCAAGCCUUGCGUCGCUACCAUAGCCGCAAGGUCAAGGCCAGGAGUCUCGAGGAAGGCGACCUUGUUCUUCGGUGUGUUCAGUCCGCCAAGAAUUUCAACAAGUUGACGCCGAAGUGGGAAGGCCCUUAUCGGGUGAGACAAGUCACGAGGCCCGGCGCUGUCUGCCUCGAGACCGAAGAAGGCUUACCGGUGAGCAACUCCUGGAACAUAGAGCAUCUUCGCAAGUUUCACCCAUAAGGCGCGGUUGCCGUGAUCCGCUCCGGCAACCACCGUUUUGUACAGGCCUUGCCGCUGUUGCAUGUAACCCCUUGUACAAAGCCAGGCGCAGACCCUGGCAGCAGAUAAAGAAGCGCUGGCGCCCCAAGUUUUAGCAUGCAUGCUGAGUCGAGUCUCGUCCUUGGUUAGGGUUGAUAGUUCUUAACUGUCGCUAACCCCUAACUUAGAGGUCGAGUCCGCGUCUUUUUCCCGUCCUUUCCCUUUGGCUCGCAGGAAUUGCAUGCCCUUGCCGGGCCGUUCAAGGACAAGGAAGAGGAGAAGGACGAGCCAGCGCCUACGCCCCGACAAGCCAGAGUCGCCGGGGGCUGCAACCUCAGAUAAGUCUUCACAUCCCUCUUCAUGCAUUCUUUCAUGGACUGCGGAAUACGAAAACCUUGCUUCCCCUUAAAAGCUACCGUGCUCUCUUAAGCGACCGGCCCCGGAGCGCGUUCUCGGGGCCCGCUUCUGAUAGUAGCCGCGGCGGCAAGAGGAGGAAGCAAGGGGCCGGAACCCGCCUCCUCCCUUGCCUCUGAGCACGAGGAGGGUCGAGGGGCGCGAGAAGACGGCAGGGCCUGUUGCCGGGCGGCGAAAAGUCUAUCUUAACGAUGCAAAAGGUUUCGCUCCUUUGCCGCGGGUUGUACCCGCGAGACAAAUGAUCCGGCAAACAUCCCCUUUUCAUUAAAAACGUUCCACUCAGGUACAGUUCAGAGAGAAUGAAAACAUGAAAGAAGGGAUUACAAGAUUUAAACGCAACUAAGGCCCGAGGGCUUACAAGCUGAAAAGAGAUAAGGUGCCCGUAAUCCCUUUCUUGUCUCUCUCCUCAGGAGGUAGGACAAGGAGACGAAAAGGGCAAAAGGGGCACCUAGGCGAGCUACGGGUGGCAGAAGGCACCAAGAGGAGAUCCGGGGCUCCGCCCGGGGGCUCCGGAGGCUGGGUGAAGACGGAGGCGCCGGAGGUGGAGCUGGAAGAUGAGGCAGCGGCCUUGCCGCCAGCCUCUUCCUCUUCCGCAGCCUCGCCACUCCGGCCGCCCGAGGAGACCAAGCCCCGGCAAGAGGAGCUUGCCGGGCCGGAGAGAAGACCCCGGCGGUCGUCGCCGCGAGCUAGGGUGAUGACGGCGUCUGGGGCGCAUCUGGAACACGAGGCACCGGGACGUCAGCACGCUGUCGAGGUCGGCCCGUACUCCGACUUCACGGCCUUUGACGCCCGCCCUCUGUCCUCCUCAGCAGCCCCCCUACGCCAGCCGCCCAAGGAGACGACCCCGGGGAGUUCACGGAGCCAGCGACGCGGAUGAUGGGGUCGCCGGUGCCACACGGAGCUGCGACCGACGCCUAGUCGGACCCGUCAUCCCGGCGACCGCUCCCCUCGUCGUCGCUGUCGCUCCCCUCCUCGUCACUCUCGCUCGAGGAGGAGCCUUCGCUGUCGGAGGAGCUAUCCACGCAGCACCGAGCCCGGGUGCCGAAGUCCCCGAAGGCCUUGACGGAGAGGAGGUCAUCCCCCAUCAGCUUAAAGUGGAGGGUGAAUCCCGCCAUCAGGCUGUGGAUCCGGGCGAAUGACUUCCACCCUCGGCCAAGAUACACUACGCCGGGGGCUCGGGAUUCGACGUGGACUCGCGUACCACCGAUCCCGCAGCCCCUCAUGCGCAGGUUCAGCAUCUCAGGCUGCUCCACCUCCAACACGCUCGCAAACGGAGCGGGAAGGCGGAGGCGGCGGCGAGGCGCCCGGCGCAGCCUGAUGAUGAACUCGCAGGGGUCGUCCCCGAGGUGGACCGCGGGAAACAAAGGGGCUGCCGGCGGAGGCGAGGCCGACGCGCCGACCCGUCCACCUCGUCCACGACCUCGUCCACGACCUCGCCCCCUCCCCCUUCCCCUAACGGCCGGCUCCGCCGCCGCGGGCGCAAGGGGAGGAGGGGCGCGCUGCCUAGCGGCGACCCUCGCCGCUACCGAAGAAGGACCAGGGUUACCUCCCUCCAUCGCAGAUGGGAGAAGGAAACCAAAAGCUGAAGAAGGAAGGAGAUGGAAUGCGGAUUUCCGCUGCCCCCGUUCGCUCCUUAUAAAGGGGCGGAGUGGGGGCACGGCCGCCCCGCUCCACCAAUCGAAGUGGAGGAAGGGCAGGCGACUGGAGCCGACCCACUACCUCGACCCGCGUCGGCCCGGCUCCCUGCCUCCACCGCCGCGACCCCAAGUGCAUGAAGACCACGUGGCGGGCGCGCAGGACCAAGGCGACGGAUGAGGCGACCUCUCCCCACCCGUGAUCGUGGGGAGCGGGUGCCCCGAAAACCGCGCCUCCACGUCUCCCUCCACUUAAAGAGGGAACGGGCGUUUCGCCCCUUUUUCGGAGAAAAGGAAUCGUGCGCGACGUGACACAUGCCUGCGCGGUCCAGCCCCGCGCAUGCCGCCCACGUCACGCACACCUCGCACGCCUCGCCCCCACGACGCCGCGAUAAGCGCGCGCCACCUGGGGAAGGCGCGGCGGGUACGGAGUUAAGGAGCAACGCGACCCAGGCCACGCGUGCCCGUGCACUGUUAGGGCCUGGCCCAACAACGCUCGACACCGUGUAUGGCCCAGGCCCGGGGGCUCCUGUCGGUGUACUAAAGUAGGGGUACCUUAGUACCCCCGAACUUGUGCACGGGCAGUUGUAGCACGCCGCGACAAGGCUGGCCAUGGGAGCGCCAAGAGUCUCCACGGCCCUUUUUGGCCGAGAGAAGACCAAGCAUUCAAGACAAGGCCCCCGGCAAGAGGAGCUUGCCGGGCCAAGGAGGCAAGGCCCCGGCAAGAGGAGCUUGCCGGGACGACCGAGCCAAAGCAUCGAGACCCCGGCAAGAGGAGUUUGCCGGGAAGGCCGUUUCAGGCCCAAGGUUACUUCACUAACACGAGACCCUGACAAAGAGGGGCUUGCCAGGAAGACUAGAAGCUCACAUCACAAAAGACACGCCUCGGCGCUAUAUGCGCCCCGGCGGGGCCCGGGGGGCGACAAGCUUCAGAGCCCGGCAAGUUCCCGGGCCCGGCAAGAUCAAGACCCCGGCAAGGCACUUGCCGGGGAGAGCUGUGCUGUGUGCCCGCGCUCCAGCUCAUCGGACCACGCGUCGCGCUGGGGACAUUCCAGGGACGCGUGGCGGGUGGCUGCGCAGCCUGGGGGACACGGUGGCACUCCGCGGUGGUGGAGCCAUCGCCGUGGCAAACGGAGACGCAAUGGCAGACGCUUUUGGGGUCGACGGCGACGGGCAUUAAAUGCUCUUGUCCCCCACUGUCAAAGUAGGUGGCGACCACUGUUCACGCACUGUAGCUCCACUAUUCCCGCACUGUUACAGCUACCACCCCUUUUACAUUUUUGCCCUUUCUCCUAUGUUGACACCUGUCGGUGACCCCUUGCACUAUAAAAGGAGGCCCGAGCACAACGUAGAGGCGGGUUCGAUUCAUUGGUCAGUUCGGUUCGGAACCUAGAUCACUCAUACACUCGGUGUAGCUAGUUCUUCAAGCUCCCGAGCUCUCAAACCCAAUACAAACUAAGCAGGAGUAGGGUUUUACGCGUCCACCGCGGCCCGAACCUGGGUAAACCGCCCGUGUGCUCACCACGAUCUGCUCUUCGUGCACCCUCCGCCCUCUCACCGGACAAACGAAGGGGCUCCGGUCCCAUAGGUGCUCGUGGAGGACAGUUUCCCCCGACAGGGACGAAGUCUUCAAUCUUGUAUCUUCAUAGUCCUGGAGUCCGGCUGAAGGUAUAGUCCGGCUAUCCGAACACCCCCUAAUCCAGGACUCCCUCACACGCCUUUACCGCAUCACGCCGACGUCCUGCAUCGACAUCGACUUCGGCGCCAGGCCAUAUUUCUUUUAUUACUCACUUUGCAUAAAUUAUUCAUUAUGCAACGAUUUUUUAUUUAUCAUUAUUACCAUUAUCUCCCGUUUGCACUAUUUUUUGUGCACAGGAAAAUGAUCCGGGGACUUCAGCGUCACUCUGCCGGUCGGCAUCGACCGUGCUAUGUCACCACUUCGGCGUGUCGAGCUCUCCGCUCCGCCACCUCGGGACCAGCUUGGGGGAUAGAACCUUGUCCCGCAUCAAGCUCGGACUACGAACACAUUAACCAGCUGAGUCGCUUUCAUGCUCAAAGCUUUAAUUUCUAACUUGUGUUCGGUUCGAUCAAGCGUUAUACUUUUUUGAAAAAAAAAGUUGCUUGUAAAUUUUUUUUUCUUGUCCAAACUUUGUUCACACAUACUUGACGCACUACCCGCGCUCAUUAUACCUGGGGGCUUCUUUAACAGAAGCUUAUUAGUACGGGCUUUAUGCCCAACACAUGUGUCACACUUCCGCAUGUACCUUUUAUUCACCAUUAUAUGCAUCGAUAUGACUUAAGUUUUGGCCAAGCUGGGUUGUCUGGCUCCUGUGCUUACCCCUACGUUCCCGAUUGUUCGGCUACGUGGUAAAGGGAGCACCUCUGCGAUUGUUACUGCCGGGUCAGCCGGAUGUGUACCUCAGACUGGGUGAAGCCGAAAGCUAGCGUUCUUAAGGGAAUACUCGGUCGGUGAACUAAAAGAUGAUUUCUUACCUAUUUAUUUAUAUGCCCCCAGAUGUUUUUUCUGCGUUUGCAGUUCGGACAUGCACCUUAUGGCAUGCCUCCCAGAGAAAGGAACCCCUAACGGAACUAUUCUCUCUGGAAGAUGUUUCUUACUACCCAUGUAAUAUAACAUAACUAGUUGGGCACUUGUCUGAUAAAGCACCGAUGACCCCUACGCCUGGUCUCCAUGCAUACCCCGGUUCUUAUAUAACCGUUAGGGUAUUCGGACACACUCCGGACCGUCAGGUCCCGAGGUCGAAGCGAAAAGGUCGGCAACGACAAACGAUCUACAAUCCGGCUAGAAGGCAUUACACAUGUCAAUUAUAAUUAUAUAGUCACUCUAACCAUUCGUAUUCCUCUUCAAUACCAUCUAACAGGCUGUUUAAUUUACAGUCCUGCUGGGAAUAAUUUGUUUGUGACGCAUAAAUUCGAAUACCCCGUUUACUUGGGGGCUUCCUUUAUGAAGCUUUUCCUGUUGCAUAUGAUUAUACUUGUACGACUUCGUUCCUUGUUCGUGUAUUAUGGCACAAUAUGCACCAUAUUGACUUAAGCGAUUUGCAAGCUGGGUUGCCUCGCUCCUGUGUUUACCCCUACGUUCCCGGUUGUUCGGCUAGGGAGUAAAGGGAGCACCUCUGCGAUUGUCACGAUUGGGUCGCCCGAGCCGGACCUCAGACUGGGUGAAGCCGAAAGCUAGCGCUCUUAUAGUUUUCAAUGAUGGUCGGCAAACAACGGAACUCAUGAGUACAAAAAAUCUAUUGCACAAGUCUCAUAAUAACAAUGAGCACCGAAGAAAGGUAUCGGUGAGGGUACUAUUUUCUUCAAAGAUGCUUCUUACACUUCACGGUAAUAUAGCAUAAGUUUCCUGAGCGCGCUUUGUCUGUUACAGCCUUAUGGCCUGAUUGCCUGGUUAUUGGAAACACUGUCGAUAUUCUCGGCCGAUGGAGUACAUAACACUUUUCGGUCCUUGACUGAAGAGGCAGAAGCUGACGGUCGGUUAAGACGCGUUUAAAGUUCGGUUGAACAUAGAUAUGAUAUAAGUACUUCGGUACAUGCAAUCAUUCUUUUACCCAAGUCACUUGGGGGCUCUUAAAUUUAUAUGAGCCGUUUUAUAAUAAGUGUUCUUCUUCUUAGUCGUUGCAAAGUUUUGUUAUUAUCUAUCACUUCUUUUUUUCGACACGAGUGUGCGGUCAAAGUCGCUAGAGCUUAGUUUGCUAAACUGGCCUGAUGAGAAGUACUCCGCCCCGGGAUAGGAGGUUGAAGCCGUAGGCUGACCCGCUCGAAGUCUUGAGAUAGGAUGUAUCAUGUUAAAGCACGACAGAAGCACUUCUUUUUUCUAAGACCAACUUUCGGAUUGGCACCGAACACUUGAUAUUGUUCGGACGUCAUGUUUUUACUGACGUUUCUUGGUUUUCCAAGCCUUUUGGCACUUUUAAACUAUUUGUGCUUUUCCAGCAUUAGUCUCGCAGUGCAACGCCGGACACCUUUAGGGAUUCGGCAAAAACAUUCUCAGAUAUUGUUAUAUAUGCAUCGGUUUCGAAUUGUGUCUUCGGUCAAUAGUUGGGUUGCCCGGCUCCUGCACUUGCUUCCUACGUUCCGUUUUGUUCGGCUAGGCGUGCAAAGGGAGAACCAUUGCGAUUGUGCUUCCAGCUCACAUGGUUAAGCACCUCAGUGGAGAAAGCCGAAAACUGACUGUCACAAUAAGCGUAAGCUGGUCAGCGAUCCGAUGACUAUGUUAAAUAACAGGCCACUCAUAACAAUGGUCGAAGUGUUUACGGCUUGACCUCGACUGUCGCCGAACACUACCGGGGGCUAUUAAUUAGCCUCCCAAACUAAAUCCUCGAUAUUUUGUUCUUACAUUAGAGCUGAGGUUUAAUGAUCAUGCUUAGCAUGACAACCCAAAGAAAGGUACCGAUAGAGGGACUAUUUUCUUUGGAAGACAUUUCUUCUGUUAAACAGUAAUAUAACUCUCUGCGUACCUUUGUUUAUAAAACCGUAUGGCCAUAUUGCCUUGUUUGUUGUAAAUCUUUGCCCUUAUGAAGGCUUUAUAAAGUAGGACAAACACUCCUCGACUACUGGCCGAGGAGGUGGAAGCCGAUGGUCGGUCAACAAAGUUUUGUACAAUGUGGAUCCAAGCAUUAAUGACGUAAAGUACUUGGAUACAUAGAGUCAUUACACAUAAUUUGUGAUUUUACUAUGGAUAUUGAUCCUUAAUUCGGCCACCCGUGCCCGCAUUAAGGCUCGGGGGCUACUGGGCUUUGGGCUUGUUAUUUACAAAUAUUAAAGGGGCACAUUGAUCCCCUGAUCUGGUGUUGCCACCCGACCAGUGUCUCGGGGGCUACUGCAUUGCUUGUCCAAUGCAAAAAAAAUUAUGUGCAAUAUAGGUUCCGAGGAGAUUUUGAUCCUCAGGUUGGUCGGCCGCACCCAACCUGAGUCUCGAGGACUGAGCACGCCGCUUUUUGUGUCCCGAAGUAUUCUGCCGAGCUAGGACUUGAUCCUCAGGCCGAUUUUGCAAAUCAACCUGAGUCUCAGCUGUUACUGGGAUCAGCGGUCUUAUGUCAUCCUUCAGGUGCAUCUCGGGUUUUAGACCGAUACACACCUUGAGAGCUACUGGCUAUAUAUCUCGUCAGAGAAUAAAUUGCAUCAAUAAAAAAUAUUGACAAAAAUCGGCCCAUAUUCGGGGUGGUGCACCACCUCGGAAGCAGUCCGGCAUAAAGCUCGGGCGCUAGUGGCUGGCUCCAUAAAGGGCAUCUCCGGCAUUAAGUUAGGCUAAACUCCAUCAACUUUUUUGAACCAAGGUGAUAUGACUCCUCAGAUAUAGUCCGGCGUUGGAGCCUGGAUAUAGUCCGGCGUUGGAGCCUGGACACAGUCCGGCGUUGGAGCUCGGAUACAUUUCGGCGUUGGAUCUGGGAAGCGGGCUUGGGCGCUGGAGCUCGAGUGCGCGGAAGAUAGAUAGGAAAAGGAGGAAGAAGGCGUAGGUAAAAAAAGGUGGAUCCUUAUCCCCUUAUAUGGGUCGAUGCGGUUAUGCGUCCCCACCUACCCAAACAAACUCGUUUGCCUCCCAAGCGCCGUGGUAAAUGGCGCGGUUGGGUUACCCACGUCCGUAUUGAUGAGAAUCCCGUUAAAAGGGGCACAUGAUCUCUGCUUUGACAAGACGUGCCAAGGAUACCGCCUCGCUAAACAAACUGAGGUGGAACAAUGAAAACAAUUUAUAUAAGGAGCUUGGCCGCAGUGUUAUGACGCACUGCGGAAUACGUCAGCAGAUUUGAUUUGUGUUAAUAUUAUUCUCUAUAUGGCAAUAUGUGGAAACUUAUUUUGCAGAGCCGGACACUAUUUUUGAUGUUUAUAAUCUUCUUGAAGAACUUGGAGGAAGAACCCUCCUUGCAAUGCCGAAGAAAAUUUGCGCACCGGACUCGUCGUCAUUGAAGCCUGGUUCAGGGGCUACUGAGGGAGUCCUGGAUUAGGGGGUGUUCGGAUAGCCGGACUAUACCUUCAGCCGGACUCCAGGACUAUGAAGAUACAAGAUUGAAGACUUCGUCCCGUGUCCGGAAGGAUCUUUUCUUGGCAUGGAAGGCAAGCUAAGCGUGCGGAUAUUCAAGAUCUCCUACCAUUGUAACCGACUCUGUGUAACCCUAACCCUAUCCGGUGUCUAUAUAAACCGGAGGGUUGUAGUCUGUAGGACGACCAUCAUCAUACACAAUCAUACCAUAGGCUAGCUUCUAGGGUUUAGCCUCCUUGAUCUCGUGGUAGAUCUACUCUUGUACUACCCAUAUCAUCAAUAUUAAUCUAGCAGGAGUAGGGUUUUACCUCCAUCGACAGGGCCCGAACCUGGGUAAAAUAAAGUGUCCCUUGUCUCCUGUUACCAUCCGACCUUGACGCACAGUUCGGGACCCCCUACCCGAGAUCCGCCGGUUUUGACACCGACAAGUAUUUUAAUGCGCUCCCUUUAAAGAGAUGAUGCCUCCAGGUCCGGGCAUCUUAAGCGUGAGAGAUGCAUAAUGCGGUAUUGCGUUAAAGCGAGCGAAAGCUUCGCGUCCCAAUAGUGCUUGAUACGUCUUGAAAACGGGACUACAUGGAAGGUCAGUUUUUCGCGACGAAAAUUAUUGGCAGAGCCGAAUAUGACUACAAGCCAGAGAAAACCCAUACAAUGGGUGUCCGGGCCUGGUGCUACCCCUUGAAAGGAGGUUUUGCUGUGGCGGAUUCUCGCUGGGUUUAUCCCCAUGCGGUGGAUUGUAUCCUGAUAUAUCAGGUUUAGCCUUCUGCCGCCGUCCAUAAGGAUAUUAGUAAAUUUGAACCCGUCGAUUAUUGGAUCGAGUAUCAGGGCAGUCCGGCCUGCGUUUUUGAUAUUUCUAGAAUAAUCUAGCUGAUCAAAAAUGAUUGGUUUUAAUGACCAGUGGCGGGACUCUCGAGGGAUAUGCUUCGUUGUGUGUACCUUAAUUGGCGACACACGUUUUGUGACGUGAAGUAAGUUCACUGUUUUGACUUCUUGUGGGAAGUUAUUUUGUUUCCUGGUGUUCUGCUUUUGAGGUUCGUCUUCUUCUUCACUUGGCGUAUCGAGCCCCUUGUGUUCGGCGUUAAGCUUUCCGGACUGUUUGAAAACCCAAUAGUCUCUGUGGGUGUGACUAGCAGGCUUCGCAGGAGUACUGUGUAUUUGACAUAUUCUGUCCAGGAUUCUGUUUAGGCUGGACGGUUCUUCCCUAUUAUCCUGCGGGGGUGGUUUUGUCUGAUUUUGUCGAGAGCCUUUGAAUCCGGCAUUGACUGCCGUGCUCUUCGGAUUUUUGCCUUUGAUUCGGCGUCGGUCCUUAUUUUGCCGCGGUUUUCCGUUUCAAUCCCUGAUUUCUGAUGUGCUUGGGUCGCUGGGGCUGCAUCGCGCCAACCAGCUAUCCUCUCCUGUGCAAAAGCGGGUCAUGAGGCUUGUGAGUGCGGCCAUUGUUCUUGGCUUUUCCUGGCCGAGGUGUCUGGCGAGCCAUUCGUCUCGGACAUUAUGCCGGAAGGCCGCUAGGGCUUCGGCGUCCGGACAAUCCAUUAUUUGAUUCUUUUUAGGGAGGAAUCUGUUCCAGAACUGCCGAGCUGAUUCUCCGGGCUGCUGAGUUAUGUGACUCAGGUCAUGUGCAUCCGGAGGGCGGACCUAUGUCCCUUGAAAAUUUGCCCGGAAAGCAUCCUCGAGCUCUUCCCAACUUCCAAUUGUAUUUUCGGGAAGGCUUUUAAGCCAGUGCCGAGCUGACCCUUUAAGCUUAAGAGGUAAAUAUUUUAUGGCGUGGAGAUCGUCUCCUCUAGCCAUGUGUAUGUGGAGGAUAUAAUCCUCGAUCCACACUCCCGGGUCUGUUGUUCCAUCGUACGCCUCUAUGUUGACGGGCUUAAAUCCCUCUGGAAAUUCGUAUUCCAGGACCUCAUCGGUGAAGCAUAGGGGGUGUGCGGCGCCCCUGUAUUUGGGUGUGCCGGAUUCUGAUGGUGGAUUUUUUGCAUUGCUUGUAAGAGCUUGCUUUCUUGGCCCGUAAAUGGACCUGGCUGGGCCAUGAUGCGAAUCUUUGAUUGGGUCGCAUGCCGUAUUGGGUGCGGCGCCGCUUGCCGUUUUAUGGUGGCCGUGGGGUCGUCUAUCCGACCGUGUGGCUUUUUUGUUUUUCAAGUGUGGGGGCUCUAAGGCCUCCUGGUCGAAUUCGGGCAGUAGUUUUCUCUUCGGAUAGCUUUUGGUGCGGCGGCUGUCGCCGUACUUGUCUGCGGUCUUGAUUACUUUGCUCCAUCUUGUUCUGAGUGCAUCUUCUGCCGUCUUUAGCUUCCGCUUCUGCUUUUUCAGGCUAAGUGAUGUGGCAACGAGCCUUUCGUGGAGAUUCUUCUGCUCUAUGGUUUUAUCCGGCGUGGUAUCGUCCAGAGUUUUAUUAUGGCCGGGGGAGGCCUGUCUGUCCUCUCUAUCCGUGUUGCCCUGUUCGGACGGUUGUUCUGAAACAAGCUCGUCGUCUACCGGCUCAUCCUGCUCUACGGCUGGGUCUUGAUCGAGGCGGGGCUUGGCUCGGCGUUUAUGUCGCCGUUUUGAGUGCUUUUCGGAGGGUUUACCCCUCUUUUCGCCUCCUUUUUCCUCGUCGUCAUUUUUUCCAGGGGUAUCCACCAUGAAUACGUCAUUAGGUGGGGUGGAGAUCCAGUGCCCUAUAGGUGCUGGUUCCAGUUCGUCUCCGUCUUCGUCGUCCAUGCCGUCGAAGUCUUCUGAUCCGAAGUCCAGUAUGUCAGUUAAAUCAUCGACAAUGGCUAUUAAGUGGGUGGUGGGUGGGCUUUGAAUUUCUUCGUCGUCCGAAUCCCAACCUCGCAGGCCAUAGUUCGCCCUGGGCUCUCCUGACAAAGAGAGAGACUUGAGAGACUUCAGAAUAUCACCGAAAGGUGAGCACUGAGAGACGUCCGCGGCGGUGAACUCCAUUACAGGUGCCCAAUCAGAUUCGAUUGGCAGGGGCGCGGAAGGCUCGGAUUUCGGAGAAGGUUCCGGCUCCUUGGAGUCAUGGGCCAUGCGGAGUGCGGGGCUUGCGUUCGGCUCAAUUGCCUUUAAGAUCGCAGCCCCCGAGGUGACCUCCCGCCGUUCAUCCUCAAAGGACGCAGCGGGCUCCGAGUCGAGGAUCGGGGCCGGAGCGUGUGCGGCCUCCAGGACACUGUUCGGAGGCAGAGCUAUAUCAUGCCCCUCGGGAUAGUGCGGCGCGCUUGGCUGUGGCUCGAAUCCGUCGAAGAUCAAGUCUCCGCGGAUAUCCGCCGUGUAGUUUAAGCUUCCAAACCUGACUUGAUGGCCAGGGGCGUAGCUUUCGAUCUGCUCCAGAUGACCAAGCGAAUUGGCCCGCAGAGCGAAGCCGCCGAAGACGAAGAUCUGUCCGGGGAGAAAAGUCUCGCCCUGAACCUCAUCGUUGAUGAUGAUCAAAGGAGCCAUCGGGCCUAAAGGUGACGACACAGAGGAACUCUCAAUGAAAGCACCAAUGUCGGUGUCAAAACCGGCGGAUCUCGGGUAGGGGGUCCCUUACUGUGCAUCAAGGUUGGAUGGUAACAGGAGACAACGGACACUUUAUUUUACCCAGGUUUGGGCCCUCUCGAUGGAGGUAAAACCCUACUCUUGCUAGAUUAAUAUUGAUGAUAUGGGUAGUACAAGAGCAGAUCUACCACGAGAUCAGGGAGGCUAAACCCUAGAAGCUAGCCUAUGGGUAUGAUUGUGUAUGAUGAUGGUUGUCCUACGGACUACAACCCUCCGGUUUAUAUAGACACCGGAUAGGGUUAGGGUUACACAGAGUCGGUUACAUUGGUAGGAGAUCUUGAAUAUCCGCACGCCUAGCUUGCCUUCCAUGCCAAGGAAAGAAUCUUCCGGACACGGGACGAAGUCUUCAAUCUUGUAUCUUCAUAGUCCUGGAGUCCGGCUGAAGGUAUAGUCCGGCUAUCCGAACACCCCCUAAUCCAGGACUCCCUCAGCUAUAUUCGGACACCGGAAGUGUUCCGGGUGAUUUCGGAAAAAACUAGAGUGCCGGAGGGUUACCGGAACCCCCCGGGAGAAGUAAUGGGCCUUAUGGGCCCUAGUGAAGAGAGAGAGGGGCGGCCAGGGUGGGCCGCACGCCCCCUCCCCCUCUGGUCCGAAUUGGACUAGCGGAGGGGGGCGGCGCCCCCCUUUCCUUCUCCCUCUCCCCCUUCCUUUCCCCCUCCUAGUAGGAGUAGGAAAGAGGGGAGUCCUACUCCUACUAGGAGGAGGACUCCUCCUCCUUGGCGCGCCCACAAGGGCCGGCCGGCCUCCCCCCUUGCUCCUUUAUAUACGGGGGCAGGGGGGCACCUCUAGACACACAAGUUGAUCUUGGUGAUUGUUAUCUUAGCCGUGUGCGGUGCCUCCCUCCACCAUAAUCCUCGAUAAUAUUGUAGCGGUGCUUAGGCGAAGCCCUACGAUGGUAGAACAUCAAGAUCGUCACCACACCAUCGUGCUGACGGAACUCUUCCCCGACACUUUGCUGGACAGGAGUCCAGGGAUCGUCAUCGAGCAGAACGUGUGCUAGAACUCGGAGGUGCCAUAGUUUCGGUGCUUGAUCGGUCGGGCCGUGAAGACGUACGACUACAUCAAGAGCGUUGUCAUAACGCUUUCGCUGUUGGUCUACGAGGGUACGUAGACAACACUCUCCUCUCUCGUUGCUAUGCAUCACCAUGAUCUGGCGUGUGCGUAGGUAAAUUUUGAAAUUACUACGUUCCCUAACAGUGGCAUCCGAGCCUAGGUUUUAUGUGUUGAUGUUAUAUGCACGAGUAGAACAAAAGUGAGUUGUGGGCGAUAUAAGUCAUACUGCUUACCAGCAUGUCAUACUUUGGUUCGGAGGUAUUGUUGGAUGAAGCGGCCCGGACCGACAUUACGCGUACGCUUACGCAAGACUGGUUCUACCGACGUGCUUUGCACACAGGUGGCUGGCGGGUGUCAGUUUCUCCAACUUUAGUUGAACCGAGUGUGGCUACGCCCGGUCCUUGCGAAGGUUAAAACAACACCAACUUGACAAACUAUCAUUGUGGUUUUUAUGCGUAGGUAAGAUUGGUUCUUGCUUAAGCCCGUAGCAGCCACGUAAAACUUGCAACAAACAAAGUAGAGGACGUCUAACUUGUUUUUGCAGGGCAUGUUGUGAUGUGAUAUGGUCAAGAAAUGAUGCUUAAUUUUAUUGUAUGAGAUGAUCAUGUUUUGUAACCGAGUUAUCGGCAACUGGCAGGAGCCAUAUAGUUGUCGCUUUAUUGUAUGCAAUGCAAUCGACCUGUAAUGCUUUACUUUAUCACUAAACGGCAGCGAUAGUCAUAGAAGCAUAAGAUUGGCGAGACGACAACGAUGCUACGAUGGAGAUCAAGGUGUCGCGCCGGUGAUGAUGGUGAUCAUGAGGGUGCUUCGAAGAUGGAGAUCACAAGCACAAGAUGAUGAUGGCCAUGUCAUAUCACUUAUAUUGAUUGCGUGUGAUGUUUAUCUUUUAUGCAUCUUAUCUUGCUUUGAUCGACGGUAGCAUUUUAAGAUGAUCUCUCACUAAUUAUGAAGAAGUGUUCUCCCUGAGUAUGCACCGUUGCGAAAGUUCUUCGUGCUGAGACACCACGUGACGAUCGGGUGUGAUAGGCUCUACGUUCAAAUACAACGGAUGCAAAAAAGUUGCACACGUGGAAUACUCAGGUUAUACUUGACGAGCCAAGCAUAUACAGAUAUGGCCACGGAACACAGAGACCGAAAGGUCAAGCAUGAAUCAUAUAGUAGAUAUGAUCAACAUAGUGAUGUUCACCAAUGAAACUACUCCAUCUCACGUGAUGAUCAUACAUGGUUUAGUUGAUUCAGAUCACAUGAUCACUUAGAGGAUUAGAGAGAUGUCUAUCUAAGUGGGAGUUCUUUAGUAAUAUGAUUAAUUGAACUUAAAUUUAUCAUGAACUUAAUACCUGAUAGUAUCUUGCUUGUUUAUGUUUGAUCGAGGAUAGAUGGCCCGUGUUGUUGUUCCGUUGAAUUUUAAUGUGUUCCUUGAGAAAGCAAAGUUGAAAGAUGAUGGUAGCAAUUACACGGAUUGGGUCCGUAAUUUGAGGAUUAUCCUCAUUGCUGCACAGAAAAGUUACGUCCUGGAAGCACCGCUGAGUGCCAGGCCUGCUGCUGAUGCAACUGACGAUGUUAAGAACGUCUGGCAGAGCAAAGCUGAUGACUACUCGAUAGUUCAAUGUGCCAUGCUUUACGGCUUAGAAUCGGGUCUUCAACAAUGUUUUGAACGUCAUGGAGCAUAUGAGAUGUUCCAAGAGUUGAAGCUAAUAUUGUAAGAAAAUGCCCGGAUUGAGAGAUAUGAAGUCUCCAAUAAGUUCUAUAGCUGCAAGAUGGAGGAGAACAGUUCUGUCAGUGAGCAUAUACUCAAAAUGUCUAGGUAUAAUAAUCACUUGAUUCAAUUGGGAGUUAAUCUUCUAGAUGAUUGCAUCAUCACUACAAGGAUACCCCGUAUAAAGCAACACAAAUUCCACAACGUUUUGACUAUAUGUUGCGAAAUUCAGCGUAGAUACGCAUAUAUGCGUUGCAGCUCAUGUGCUGCAGAGUUGCAGCUCAUGACCAUACUGUAGUACAUAAGUUGCAACAGAACAUGUAUGUUGCCUGGUAUAUGUUGCAAAUUAUAUCUGUUAUAGGACUGUAAAUAUACGUAACAAAAAGUAAAAGGUAAUUAGACAUGCCUGUACACAUAAGGAAUUUUGCAUGCAAAUAUUUGCUAUCCGUUCGAGCGAAAUCAAAUCGUGUGAAGUCCCUCUUUUAUUCUUGGAUACGGAUUUAUCUCAGACAAAUAUUUUUUUUUCUUUAGGGCUAGAUUUCUUUAAGUGAUCUCAGACAAAUAGGGGUAGAUCGAUCUAGGUCUCUCCCUCCAACUACGACACAAAUCAAUAAUGGAAUCUCCUCUUGUUGAGCGACAGCGGAGCUGGGCCACAGGCAGCUGAGACCAUUGCCUGCCUGGGGCGUGAGAAAAGGUCCCAGCCCGCUGUAAACAACAAAUCUUACGACCUGGCGCACAGCCCGCUCCUAACCUCUAGCUGGGCCUCACAUCUUAGCCCAAUACUACGCUAGUCAAGAGAUCAAACCGGAGAGCUUCCGGGCCGGACGCGCUAUCUGACUGGGCCGGGCCAUUCGGGCCGUCACAACAAGCCGUCGCUAAAAUAGCAAAAAGUAAUGUUUGAUCAAGGAAUCGAACUCACGAAGAAACGAUUGAUUGUUAAUGUCCUCUACCAAUCAAACUGCUCCAGGUUGAUGGUUACUAGGCCGUCCAAAUAUUGAAGACUAAAUGCAUCGACAAGUCAAUUUUUUUCUGGAAACAAAAUCUUCCAUUAAACAUUUUUGAGAUAUACGCUGAAUAACCAUUAAAUACACAUUUAACACUUUUGUGAUCUACGAUAGAAAAUUUCGACAUACACAUUGAACAUUCUUGUGAUAUAGGCUGAACAACUUUUAAGUACACAAUGAACAUUUUUUAAAUAUGUUGAACCUUUUCUUGAUAUAUGCUGAACAUUUUGGUAAUGUUUGUUCAAAAAAAUUUAAUACACAAUCAAUUUUUUUAUAAUGGAUGGUGAACUUUUUCAUCAAAACAAUAAACAUUUUUCGUAAUAUAAGAUGAACAUUUUUUAUAAUACAUGGUGAACUUUUAAAUACCACACAGAAAAGAGAAAAAAAGAUAAAAUAAGAAGAUAAAUAUAGUAGAAAAUAAAUAAAAACAAAGGAAAAAAAGAAAUCAAAACAAAAAAAAAGAAAAAAAC